GAGGAGCGAGAGGGCGGCGGGCGGCGACGGCGCGGGGCUGGCGACGGCGAGGGGCGGGCCGCGGCGCGCGGGACCGGAAAGGGAGGCCGCCUGGGCGGCGGAGCACGGAGAGGGGUAGGGGCACGGGAGGCGCGCGGCCCUGGUGGCUCUGAGACCGAGCAUGUCUGGCCGGCCGGCUAACUGUCGCCGUCGUCUUCGCCGCGACGGAAGAGGAAGGGGGGUGGGGAAUAUGCGGGAGCGACUAGGAUAGAAAAUGGGCCUUUUUGGCCAAAAAAUAUUGGGGCCUGCUAGGAAGUUUACUAAACAUCCGCUACUUGGAGGAGCUCGUGGAUGCCUGGUCGCUCGGUUGCGUCAUGGCGGAGCUGCUCGCCGGCGAGCCACUGCUCCCCUGGUCACCGCGCGACCAACCAGUUACUCAGAAUCUUCUGUGUGCUCGGGUCCAUGCCGCUCGUCGUCGUAGGACAGAUGCCGCCGACCCGUUGAAAAGUCAGCCGACUGCGCGAGCUGUUCUGCGAGGAACGCCUGACACAUGCUCACGUAUCGAACGAAGGAGGUGGCGGAUGUCCUCCGCUCGAUCUGCCGGUUAAGGGAUAGACUUUUACCAAAAAUAAACAAGAAAACACAACGUCAACCCUAGGAUUGGAGUUGGAUGGCACAGAUCUUGGUGGAGGAAUCUGUACGCAUAAUUAUGUCCUUCUGUGCAAAGAGAAGCAUGGCUUGGUGUGAUUUUGCCUUCGAUCCUUCCCCUUCUACUCCCCGCCCAGCAGCAGCAGCAGUCUAGAGUCCGAAGUUCCGGGGCCUAAGAACAUCUCUAGCACACCCCCUAUAAUGCCCYGAUCCGUAAAAUAAUCGUUAAAAUACGAAUCGGGAUGAAAAAUACUGUCAGACCAGAUCCUGCAAACGCGUCCGAUUCGUAAAAAUUGUGGGGCGCGGCAAAAGUCGUCCUCAACCUUCAGAUUCACGGGGUGGAAGGCCGACCAAAGCUCGUCCCUUAUCCACAACGAGAUUUGGCGCGAGGGAAAUUUCCGUCGUCCCCCCCCCCUCGUCGGCAGCCAUUGCCCCGCCCAUCACGUGCUCCGAACCUUCUUCUCCGCCAUGGAAGCCUUCCAGCCAGCGGAUCUGGUCAACGUGGAGGUCGCGCACGAGCAAUCCCGUCCGACGAAUCUCGUCGUGGAUCAUGUCGCUCCCGCUGUCGCCAACGCGCCAGCCCGCAAGCGGCAAGGCAACGUUAUCGUGCAGGGCGACAUUCCGGCUGGCCCAGCCGGAAGGGAAGGCGUGUCGGGCGCCGCCGCUGUUGCACGAUCUGCCCGACCGUCGGCGGGGAAGAUGAACAAGGUUUCAGACGUGAAGCGGAAGAAGGUUCCUACGAAGAAACCUCCGGCCACUCCAUCCGCCCCGGUGAGACGUUCCCCAAUGAUGCCUUCCUACGGCGAUGCUUCCACCGCAUGCGAAGUGUUCGAUGAAAGGGCCGGAAGGUAUGCAUCUUCUCUCACUUAUUUUUGCUUCGAUUAUUCGCCAUCGUAGUAGGUCGUGAUGUGCUUUCACUCGAUGUAGCCGUGGUUCGAACAAUGCCGCUGCCGAGUUCGUGAACUUGUGGGCCACCAACGCAGUCGACAUUGAUCAAGCCCCGAUCGGUGGUUUCGAUUACAAUAAAUUGAAGGGUGGCAUUGAUGACCACGGUGGUGAAGACGAGGUGAAGGAGAUGGAUGAGGGGACGUAUCAACAAUAGAGCUUGCGGGACACGAUAAAUUCCAUGUUACAAUCAAAUGAGGUAUUGCUAGCGAAGUCUUUGGAUGCAAAGAUAGAGAUGGCCGAGAAGAAGGCACGAGAGAAGCAAGAGAGGUGGAAAUUGCUCAAGGAAGUUGAGGUGAGAAAAGCACGUGCUGCUGAGAACAAAACCAUGACCAACCUUCUUGCCAAAAAGAAUAGGAUCAUGACUUUGAACCGCAAUGACAUGGACGACAUCAACAAAUAAUGGCAUGAUAUGACAAGGAGAGAAAUCUUGAAUAGAAGGGUGCUUGCGUGUUACAAUGGUGGUGAUGGUUUAUCCUCUGGAAUCGGAACAGCUGAUUUCGGUGCCGGAGUAGGAACAAGUGCAAGCGAUGGAUUCGGGGCAGUCGUUGGAUUCGGGGGCGGCGAUGAACUCAAUGGUGCAGAAUGAAGAACGACCAGGAUGCAUGAAGUCCUUUUGCGUUUGUCUUUCAACCUAUGCUCUCAUUUCGCGCGCGAACUAUGCUUUAUUGUUUAAAUACAAACUCAUUUGCCGGAAUCUCCGUCAAAUUCCAACUAUGUUUUAUUGCGUGAUUUUCGGUUUGCGGGUCGCCGCGGUGGCGUCCGAGCAGACCCCGCAUUGACGACCCGUAUAAUAGUAUCUUCUGUGAAUAUGCUUUUAUACGAGUCCGUUUUGGGGGGGUCUAUCUCUGGCCGCACCCGCGCCGGCCCGCAAAACCAGUUUUUUCACGAACUGUAAAUGGCUUUUUCGGGUCGACAUUAUAUGGGGUCUGCUAGAGAUGCUCUAAGGGCAUUUCUACCCAACCCCCUAAAGUAGCGGAGGAUCCAACAGAGUAAACCCUUAGGCUCUGUCCGAAAGUUUUUCGGGAGCCAACUUUUUAAAAUCGCUCUGAGAAGUAGGUUUCACACAGACGAGGAUUAUGUAGUACAUUUUUUGCGAAGACAAGAAGCAAUGCCAGCCCAACUUCGCGAAACCGAGAAGCAGCGAUUGGUCGAAAUUAUAUAGGAAUGCCCUUCUAAAGUGAGCCUUGCGUACUCAAUCGCUACAAGCCGAACCUCAUAUCACGCCCAAGAUGCGACCCUAUCCUCAAUUUGGCAUGAGGGCCUCGUCAGGGAUAGAAGCUCAUCUCGUCGUGUCGCAAAAAUGGAUAUCGUUACAAGUACAUGUACUGAAAAGAAGAGAUAUAUAAAUAGAAUUGGCUUACAAUCGCCACAAGCUACAUCAGAGUCACAUCAGUACAUUACAUAAUCAUCAAGAGGAAGAGCAGGGUCCGACUACGGACGAAAACAAACGAGAAAAGAAGAACGACGUCCAUCCUUGCUAUCCCAGGCUGCCGGCCUGGAACCCAUCCUAGAUCGAUGAUGAAGAAGAAGAAGCAACUCCAAAUGAACAAUCAACGCGCUCGCGUCAAGUAACCUUUACCUGUACCUGCAACUGGUGUUGUAGUAAUCUGUGAGCCACAGGGAACUCAGUAAUCUCAUUUCCAAAGGUAUCAAGACUAGGAAAACUUAUUAGGUGAGGCAUGGUUAAGUGGUGAGGUUGCAGCAGUGGCUAAACAUAUAUUUGGUGGCUAAACUUACGAGUACAAGAAAUCAGAGGGGGAAGAUCUACGCAUAGCGGACGUGAACUACGGUUGAUCAAAUGAAUGAUCCUGAACACCUACCUACGUCAGACAUAACCCCACCGUGUCCUCGAUCGGAGAAGGAACUCACGAAAGAGACAGUCACGGUUACGCACACAGUUGGCAUAUUUUAAUUAAUUAACUUCAAGUUAUCUAGAACCAGUGUUAAACAAAGUUUCCACGUUGCCACGUAACCGCGGGCACGGCUUUCCGAAAGAUUUAAACAAAGGUUAAGCAAGCAGUAACAUAGCCAAUAAGUGGUUUGCUAGGUCGAACAGAUUGAAGGUUAACAUGGCAUUGUUGAGAGGCUGAUAUUUAACAUGUGGUAGGCAACGAGACAUAAUCGAUAAAAGCGAUAAAACUAGCAUGGCAAUGAUAGUAAUGGUAUCUGAGGAAAUGGUCAUCUUGCCUGAGAUCCCUCUUGGAAGAAGAAUGACUCUGUGAAGCAAACGAACCGAUGUAGUCGAACGGGUCCUCACAUAUGACACGCUUGCGGAACUCUAUCGAGACGGAGGAAACCGGAAACAAGAAUCAACACACGAUAUUCAGCACACGAUGCACAACACAAAUGAUGCAUAACCAGCUGAUAACAUGCAAGUCACGGCAUGACAAUUCACACAAACAAACACUACACCUUAAGUGAAGUUCAAUAUGCAACGAGUUGCAUAUUGACGAAACUCCACGUUUAUUUAUUUAAUUCUAUCCCGAUUAGGUACACGACAAUAUUAAAUGUGGUUAAACAUGGCAAGAGGUGAAGCGUAAUUAAACUACCUAUCUAGGCAUUUUAAAUAAGGUUGGAAAUGACAUAUAUCAUCUCCGAAACGACCUCACAUGUUAAUUUACAAUUCUAUCCAGAUCUAAACUAACACAUUUAAUUGGUUAUUAAACAACAAAACAAAUAGGUUCACGUGAUUCUACGCGUUGUUACAAGCAAUUUACACAUAGAGAACAUCUCCAACGGAUCUACGGAUCAAAAGUUACAAGCACCGCAAGAUAUGAUGGCAUGAAUGCAAUAUGUGUGCAACGGCGGUCACGAGCACUUCAAAACAUACAACCAGCAAGGGAAAAUGAAACUACACGAGAUUCUAAGCAAGUUUCAUGUAGGACACGAUCAAAAUGGAGCUACGGUUCAACAUCUACGAGCAAAACAAGAAAACACCACAAUCUGCCAAAAUCAGCCACAUAUCAUUUUCUACACCCCACAACUACGAGCUACACAACUCCAAUCUAAUCAACCAAGGCAUGAAACGAUAGAGGGCAAGAAGCACUACAACAAACAACUAACAAAAAUUAGCAUGGCAUCAUGGAUCACUAGGGAAAGAAGUCACAAAAUGGCCACUCACACACUAUUUCAGACUUAGUGAAAAUUACACUUCAUGAAAGUGCAGUUUUCGAUCUAAAGCUAUAUUGACAGCAGCAAAACCAAAAGCUACAGGACCUCAAAUAGCAUGAAAAUUUACAGCAAGCUAUAUAAACAUAAAUUCUAAAACUAAACUCCAUUGCACCAACCUCAAAAGAGCUACAAAUCACAAGAUACAAGCAAGACAAGACAGCAACAAAAUAUAACAGAUUUCAGACUUAGAAAUAUUUCAGCUCCCCCAAAUCAGCACUGUUUCUAGCAACUUGAGAGCAAGCAAACCACACAUAAACAUGCAUUUCUAUUACAACCAAAAUACCGGGGGCUAGACUAAACACCAAAGAACAACUCCCUAGUUGACAACUUAAUCAAACGAAACACGGAAUAAAUCCUACGGAAAAGACAAGAGGCCAACAUGGCAAAAUAUCGCGCGAACUAACUUCCUCAAAAGCUAAAACUAAUUGCACAGAAAAAUCCAAUGGAUUUUUUUUACCCCGAAAACAUAUAAAACAUGUGGGGUUGCAACACGAAAAUAUUGUCACACGUAAAUGAGAGAAAAUAACCUAUACACGGAAAAUAAACUAGCAGUAAACCCUACACGCAAAAAUACGAGUGACCGCUCUAAAAUACAUGGAAAAAUGGUUCCUAAAACAUGGGCAUUUAUCUAAGGCAUUCGGGCAAACCGGAUACGCGCGAAAAAUAAAUACGGGACGCAAUCAUAUUAGGACAGCAUGUUAAUCUAUGCAUACGGCACGCUAAACGUCUUCAAACAAAUAUGCAAGUUGCACCAACGUAUUCUACGCGCAAUACUACGCGAAAUCCAAAUGCUACAUGUCGCGAUCUGAUUUACGGAUUGAAAGAUAGGGGCAUUAUAUAUUCGUCUAUUUCCUGAAAAAUAUAUAUUGUCAGGAAAAAUCCUAAUAAUCAAACGGGCCGUAUUGGGGGCGCUUUACACCGAAAAUUGCACAGGCGGGGGAUAGUCCAGUCUCACCUUGGGGCCUUCGGGCCGGAGGGUGGUGGAGGAGGCCAGCUGGAGGCUUGGGCCGAGCGGGGCUGCUGGGCCGCAGGGUCCAGGAGCGCGGUCAACGCCUGGAGGAGACCAUCGGGCCUGCUGGCUGCUGCUGGGCCUCAUGGGGGCGCGCGUCCCACAGACGAAGGCGGUGUGGAGCUGGGCCGGCGGGACGGGGCCGGCGUGGGCGAGCGAGGCGACGCGGCCGAGGAGCGGGGCUCCUCAUCGUCCUCCCGACGCUGCUCGUGCUCGAGCGCUGCAGGGGCGGCGGCGGCUGGCUCUGCACGCGCCGGUGGCCGAGGUGGCGUGGGAACCCGGGCAGACGCCGGCGCCGGCGCGGAUCUGGCGUGUCCAGGCGGAGGCAGGCCAUCGGGCGGCUUCCUUCAGGCUCGGAGCGGCGGAGAUGGUAGGCGCAACGCCGACAGAGCAAGAUGGCGGCGGCGGUCACCGACGGCGUGGAGGCGGGGCAUCGGGGAAGGUCCGGUCGCGAACUCUGACGAGCUCCGACGGCUCCUGGUUCGGCGGGGAGCUGCGGGAUGGCCGGCGAGUGCGGGCGCGAGGCGCGGGGAGCUCGGGGCAGGAGGCAGAACGGGCGGCGGCGGCGGCCGGAUGGGCUUCGGGCGGGCCACGCACGGGCUCGGGCGGGCCCGGCGGCGUGGGGGAGGAGAGAGAGGUGGGAGAAGUUAGGGUUAGGGGUAGGUGGGCGCGGAAACACAAGGAGGGAUUAGAGAAAGGCUGUCUAAAAUGCACCGAGGGGGGUCUAUUUAUAGAGAAAAGGGGGCUAGGUUAGCCGGAAUUUCGUUCCGGAUCCAACCGUGCGGUCGGAUUCGAACGAUUCCGAACGCGGGAACGGUUACGAGGCCGCGUACAGUGGAUAUCCGGAGACGAGCGGGAGAACGGGUGGCGCGACAACGAAUUUUAAAACACCGACGAACGUCCGACGAAUAACCGAAGACGGCGCCGCUACGGUCGACCGUUCGGGUACCAGACGGUCUCCGAUUGCGACGAAACUUGACAGGCGGGCUACCUAUAUUAAAAUAACUCCGCACGUCAAAUCUCAUCCCAAUGAGAGAAAGUUUUACGUACACUUUUAAAAACAAAAUUCGAACGAUGCUGCGGGCGCGUGCGUGUGCGGUCGGGCUCAGAACGGACAACGAUGAGAACCGGCAACUAACAACGGAUGCAAGUUUUAAAAACUGGAGGCAACGGAGAUGUCGAUGCAAUGCCGAUGAUGUGAAUGAUGCGAUGAUGAUGCGACAAAUAAAAAUAGACACACGACGAAAACGGAGAGAGAGGGGAAUCUUCUGGAACAUCGACAUCGGGCUGUCACAACUCUCCUACACUACAGGAGGAUCUCUCCCCGAGAUCCAAGAAUGAAAGGGGGAGAGGAUGAGAAAGAACAAGUGGUAAAAACUUAAUCGCUUCUUUGCCAAACGAGUGAAACAAUGAUCCCUGAAGGUUGCAAAGCGAUGAGGAGUGAUAUGAGAAAGAAGCAAGAAUCCACGGAAAAUUUCGGCAGCACUUCGGUAGGAAAAUGGGACAAAAAAUUCGAUAAGAAGAGAGAAUUAGACAAUAUACAUAACAAACAACUAAAUAGAACAAGGGAACACCAUGAUCUUGAUAGAACAAGAAGCUAGACCCAAAAGAGCAACAUCACAAAGCCUCCGGAACGAUAGAAUAGGAACUAGCUCAUACGGAAGAAGAGAAUGAAGAGAGAAUGACAACUACUAACUCCAAUGUACUUGGCAAGCAUCCUUGCAAGAAGAAUUGGACAGAGUUGUUGGAAAAACAACAACGACAAGAACAAGAUAGUAGUGGGCUUAUGGAAACCUUUUCAAACUAAUGAAGUGACAACCAGCCACUAACAAAAACAAGGAUUGAUUGGGAGAAACAAGAUAUGGACAAUUCUUACACCAAGAGGAUACAUUGAGAACUUGGAUUAAUGACAAGCACCAUGAUAGCAACAAUCCAUAGGAAAAGCUUUAGGUGAAAUCCAAACCAAGAUAGCUCAAUGAAGAAAUCAUGGGUUGAAACUAUCUCAUGAUCAUAUAAUUGGUGGGUUUAAUUAUCUCAUUCUUGAAAGGAAUUUUCUUCGAGGCUCCUACACUAACAAGAAUGCUAUAAUACCACCUCACAGGAUAAAGGAAGAACAAUUGCACAUAUAAAUGCAAGAGAAAGGAUACUUGAGUUUCUCCAACAAGAAUCUUGAAGAACACUUUGAGAAUGAAUUGAGAACAUGAUCCACUCCGGAAGAAAAAUUGAAACCAUUUGAUGAAGCAAGAAUAAGAAUUAUGUUAUGCUUAUCCUUCAUCAAAUUAAAUUGAUGACAAGCAACGGAUUUAGCAUACAACUUAUUCCUCUUGAAAGAAUCUUGAAGAGACAGAGAGAUAAGCACCACUUGAAGCAUAAUUGAAGGAAGCACCGGUAAGAAUUCACAAUUGAAUGGGGAUACCAAGAAUGCAUGGAAACACAUGAGAAUGAAGAGAUCAUGAUCCACCUAACAGAAAACUUGAAUAAGGCACCGGAAUAAUCGAGAGACGAAUGAAGAGGCAACAAUUGAGAAGAAUUGAGGAUGAAGCUGAAAGCUGAGAACGAAGAAUCUUCUAAAAUGAUGGCCUUUGGAGGAUCGAGAAAUAAAAACAACUCAGAAAUGCACCGGAUAGCAAGAAAGGGAUACUCAUGAUUGACAGCAAAUAAGAUGAUGGCACAAGGCUGAAAUGAUGAAUCUCCAAGAGAAUGGACCAAUAUUUGAGGGAAACACUCCUUGGAAUUGCAAGCUAAGAAUGAUGACGAGAAACACCACCACGAAUAACUGAGACACUCCAAAAAUAAUGAAGAAUGCAUGGUUGAGCCAAAUAUGAGAAUUAACUCAAAUUGAUCUUGAAGAAGGAAUAUGACUAAUGAAAUUCAUACUUACGUCAUAGUUGAAAAGAAUUAUAGAUCUCCGGAAGAUUACAAGAGCUAUAUAAGAUCUUGGGAAAAACCUGUGGGUUAUGGGCCCACUCAAAGAAACCACCGUUGAAAGGAUUGAAAGACAGAUUGAAUGCACUGGUACAAAUGAAAACUACAUGAGGUUGAGAACCUCGAAAUACUUAAAGAAUAGAAAACACGAAACUUCCGAGAUAUCUUCAACACACCGAAUACAAAGAGAAGAAUGAAUAACAAGAUGGGCUAAAAAGAAUUUCCAACACAGGAAAGAAUUUAAAGGAUAGAAAAAGGAUAUAAUGAACAUGGAUAGCUGAAUUAAAUUCACCGGGAAAAGACCACAAGAAUGAACAAAGAUGAACAUGAAGCUCCUAAGAAUCUUCACAAUGAAUCACCGGAUACGACACGGAAUAAAAGAUAGCUGAAGCAACAAUGAAAAGAGAACUCUUGGAUGAAAAUUGAAUCACCGAAGAAAAGGGUGGGAGGGCGGGGAAAAACAACGAUAACUUGGGACAGAUGAGAUGAACUCCGGAAUAAAAUGAGAGAAUGAUCUUGCAAAAUUGCAGAGGAAUUAGUUCACUUGGAGAGAAACACACCGGUUGGAAAAGAAUUAACAACUCCAGUUGACAAAAUUGAUAAGACAAUUGAUUGAGCAAAAGGAUUAGCACUCUCAUAGAAAUGAGAACCGCUCUUGGAAAGAUAUGAAAUCACCAUCUGACAUCGAAGCAACUCGAAUUACCAUAUUCCAACAAAACAAAGGGUGCGGCUUAUGAAACAAGCUAGAACAAACUCAUGAUAAAGAUUUCGUCCGAUAUUUUCGUGGACAUGAUCGCACGGGCUCGAACCAUACAUUAGCCAUCAAGUGCAAGGCAGUGCACCCGACAUACGAAGCGUCCCCGAGUCGUAGCAAGCUACAAGGACUCUUUAAGACACAAUGUGUACCGUUGUAAGUCGACCGUGAACAAACAAAUCCACUAGAUGUCGAACCCCAACCUAACAUCAUGCAUUUGCUGGAAGAUUGUCCUAUAAGUAACUACUUGAAUUCCCACCUAUGAAUUCCCGAAAUUUCUGGUCAUGCAAUCUGGUACACGGAUACAAGGAGUAAUAAUCACACAACUCCUAUACUAACCCGUCACCUGUAUCACAUCCGUCAACACACAACCAGAAUCUCAGACCUUCAUCUACAACAGACCCUCGUGAUCACAACGAUACAAAGUAUGGCAGUACUCCCGAACAAUCUGCACCAGUAUUGGGGACAUCGGGGUUAUCUCGCCACUACUAGUAUUGAAGCAAUUACAGACAUCCUUCGUUUUGAGAUACUAAGAAAUCUGAAUGAUAACGAUGUGCUCAAGAAUCCCCUGGAGCUCAACUCCCCGGAAGAAAAUCAAGUCAGACAGGAGGCACCAAGACAGAACUCCGUCACAUCGACAUCAUAUAGAUUCCAAAAAUAUCUGCGUGAUCCUAACUUUUUUGAGUGGGAAGAGGAGUAGAAUAAAUUAUUACGUCAAGAUUCCUCACCAGAGCAUAGAAGAUGAGAAAAAGAAUCCUACUCUCCGAUAUAUAACUAAGACUCAAAUAGUUUUUCACUAGACUCGACUCGGCCAAGUUCGAUCAAUCAAGGAGGCUCCUAGGUCGGUACUGCUCUCAUACCAACUUGUCACGCCCAAGAUGCGACCCUAUCCUCAAUUUGGCACGAGGGCCUCGUCAGGGAUAGAAGCGCAUCUUGUCGUGUCGCAAGAAUGAAUAUCGUUACAAGUACAUGUACUGAAAAGAAGAGAUACAUAAAUAGAAUUGGCUUACACUCGCCACAAGCUACAUCAGAGUCACAUCAGUACAUUACAUAAUCAUCAAGAGGAAGAGCAGGGUUCGACUACAGACGAAAACAAACGUGAAAAGAAGAACGACGUCCAUCCUUGCUAUCCCAUGCUGCCGGCCUGGAACCCAUCCUAGAUCGAUGAUGAAGAAGAAGAAGCAACUCCAAAUGAACAAUCAACGCACUCGCGUCAAGUAACCUUUACCUGUACCUGCAACUGGUUUUGUAGUAAUCUGUGAGCCACAGGGGACUCAGCAAUCUCAUUUCCAAAGGUAUCAAGACUAGCAAAGCUUAUUAGGUGAGGCAUGGAUAAGUGGUGAGGUUGCAGCAGCAGCUAAGCAUAUAUUUGAUGGCUAAACUUACGAGUACAAGAAAUCAGAGGGGGAAGAUCUACGCAUAGCGGACGUGAACUACGGUUGAUCAAAUGAAUGAUCCUGAACACCUACCUACGUCAGACAUAACCCCACCAUGUCCUCGAUCGGAGAAGGAACUCACGAAAGAGACAGUCACGGUUACGCACACAGUUGGCAUAUUUUAAUUAAUUAACUUCAAGUUAUCUAGAACUAGUGUUAAACAAAGUUUCCACGUUGCCACGUAACCGCGGGCACGACUUUUCGAAAAUUUUAACCCUACAGGGGUGCUCCAACUAGUCCAUCACAAAUUACCACAAGCCGCAUAGAAAUCCUCAAUCACGAAGCUCGCGAUCUCAUCGGAUUCCUUAGUGGAAAACCUCAACUCUGAGAUUACCCAAAGCAUCACCGGAAUCCCGAUGCACAAGAUAUUUCGUCAAAGGUAAAACUAAUCCAGCAAGGCCGCCCGACGUGUCGACGAUCCCGAUAGGAGCCACGUAUCUCGUUCUCAGGACACGACGAAUGGAAAAGCCUACAGGUACCAAACCUCGAGUUGCCCCGUGGUGGCCCCGCAGUCUGUCCAGUUUGGACCAACACUCAUGAGGAGCACUGGCCCGGGGGUUGAUUAAAUUAUCCUCGGGGUCCGGAAAGUCCCUAUGCAAUUUUAUUAGGUGAUUAGGCAAAUGUAGUACCAAAGUUGGGCCUUGCCAGACCAGCUUUAAUCUAAAACUAAUUAUCAAGGGGGUCCCCAUAACAACCCCGAUCGUGUUAGGAGCGCUCAAAUAUGGAACAUAACACCGGUAGCCGAAACUAAGGGGGCAAAGGUGGAAGAAAACACCAGGCUAGAAAUGCCGAGCCUUCCACCUUUUACCAAGUAUAUAGGUGCAUUAAAUUAAAUAGCAUUUAAUAUGAUGAUAUAACAAGGAACCCAUGCUUUCACAUGGAAGCAACUGCACCUGCAACUAGCAACGCUAACACAAGGUUAAGCAAGCAGUAACAUAGCCAAUCAGUGGUUUGCUAGGUCGAACAGAUUGAAGGUUAACAUGGCAUUGUUGAGAGGCUGAUAUUUAACAUGUGGUAAACAACGAGACAUAAUCGAUAGAAGCGAUAAAACUAGCAUGGCAAUGAUAGUAAUGGUAUCUGGGAAAUGGUCAUCUUGUCCGAGAUCCCGCUUGGAAGAAGAAUGACUACGUGAAGCAGACGAACCGACGUAGUCGAACGGGUCCUCACAUCUGACACGCUUGCGGAACUCUAUCGAGACGGAGGAAACCGAAAACAAGAAUCAACACACGAUAUUCACCACACGAUGCACAACAUAAAUGAUGCAUGAGCAGCUGAUAACAUGCAAGUCACGGCAUGACAAUUCACACAAACAAACACUACACCUUAAGUGAAGUUCAAUAUGCAACGAGUUGCAUAUUGAGGAAACUCCACGUUUAUUUAUUUAGUUCUAUCCCGAUUAGGUACACGACAAUAUUAAAUGUGGUUAAACAUGGCAAGAGGUGAAGCGUAAUUAAACUACCUAUCUAGGCAUUUUAAAUGAGGUCGGAAAUGACAUAUAGCAUCUCCGAAACGACCUGACAUGUUAAUUUACAAUUCUGUCCAGAUCUGAACUAACACAUUUAAUUGGUUGUUAAACAACAAAACAAAUAGGUUCACAUGAUUCCACGCGUCGUUACAAGCAAUUUACACAUAGAGAACAUCUCCAACGGAGCUACGGAUCAAAAGUAAAAGCACCGCAAGAUAUGAUGGCAUGAAUGCAAUAUGUGUGCAACGGCGGUCACGAGCACUUCAAAACAUACAACCAGCAAGGGAAAAUGAAACUACACGAGAUUCUAAGCAAGUUUCAUGUAGGACACGAUCAAAACGGAGCUACGAUUCAACAUCUACGAGCAAAACAAGAAAACACUACAAUCUGCUAAAAUCAACCACGUAGCACUUUCUACACCCCACAACUACGAGCUACACAACUCCAAUCUACUCAACCAAGACAUGACAUGAUAGUGGGCAAGAAGCACUACAACAAACAACUAACAACAACUAGCAUGGCAUCAUGGAUCACUAGGAAAAAAAGUCACAAAAUGGCUACUCACACACUAUUUCUAUUGCAACCAAAAAUACCGGGGGCUAGACUAAACACCAAAGAACAACUCCCUAGUUGACAAUUUAAUCAAACAAAGCACGGAAUAAAUUCUACGGAAAAGACAAGAGGGGAACAUGGCAAAAUAUCGCGCGAACUAACUUCCUCAAAAGCUAAAACUAAUUGGACAGAAAAAUCCAAUGGAUUUUUUCUACCCCGAAAACAUAUAAAACACGUGGGGUUGCAACACGAAAAUAUUGUCACACGUAAAUGCGAGAAAAUAAGUUAUACACGGAAAAAUAAACUAGCGGCAAACCCUACACGCAAAAAUACGAGUGACCGCUCUAAAAUACAUGAAAAAAUGGUUCCUAAAACAUGGGCAUCUAUCUAAGGCAUUCGGGCAAACCGGACACGCGUGAAAAAUAAAUACGGGACGCAAACAUAUUAGGACAGCAUGUUAAUCUAUGCAUACGGCACGCUAAACGGUGUCAAACAAAUAUGCAAGUUGCACCAACGUAUUCUACGCGCAAAACUACGCGAAAUCCAUAUGCUACAUGUCGCUAUCCGAUUUACGGAUUGAAAGAUACGGGCAUUAUAUAUUCGUCUAUUUCCUGAAAAAUAUAUAUUCUCAGGAAAAAUCCUAAUAAUCAAACAGGCCGAAUUGGGGGCGCUUUACACUGAAAAUUGCACUCGCGGGGGAUAGUCCAGUCUCAACUUGGGGCAUUCGGGCCGGAGGGUGCUGGAGGAGGCCAGCUGGAGGCUUGGGCCGAGCGGGGCUGCUGGGCCGCGGGGUCCAGGAGCGCGGUCAACGCCUGGAGGAGACCAUCGGGCCUGCUGGCUGCUGCUGGGCCUCAUGGGGGCGCGCGUCCCACAGACGAAGGCGGUGUGGAGCUGGGCCGGCGGGACGGGGCCGGCGUGGGCGAGCGAGGCGACGCGGCCGAGGAGCGGGGCUCCUCGUCGUCCUCCCGACACUGCUCGUGCUCGAGCGCUGCAGGGGCGGCGGCGGCUGGCUCUGCACGCGCCGGUGGCCGAGGUGGCGCGGGAACCCGGGCAGACGCCGGCGCCGGCGCGGAUCUGGCGUGUCCGGGCGGAGGCAGGCCAUCGGGCGGCUUCCUUCAGGCUCGGAGCGGCGGAGAUGGUAGGCGCAACGCCGACAGAGCAAGAUGGCGGCGGCGGUCACCGACGGCGUGGAGGCGGGGCAUCGGGGAAGGUCCGGUCGCGAACUUUGACGAGCUCCGACGGCUCCUGGUUCGGCGGGGAGCUGCGGGAUGGCCGGCGACUGCGGGCGCGAGGCGCGGGGAGCUCGGGGCAGGAGGCAUAACGGGCGGCGGCGGCGGCCGGAUGGGCUUCGGGCGGGCCACGCGCGGGCUCGGGCGGGCCUUGCGGCUGGGGGAGGAGAGAGAGGUGGGAGAAUUAGGGUUAGGGGUAGGUGGGCGCGGAAACACAAGGAGGGAUUAGAGAAAGGCUAUCUAAAAUGCACCGAGGGGGGUCUAUUUAUAGAGAAAAGGGGGCUAGGUUAGCCGGAAUUUCGUUCCGGAUCCAACCAUGCAGUCGAAUUCAGACGAUGCCGAACGCAAGAACGGUUACGAGGCCGUGUAGAGUGGAUAUCCGGAGACGAGAGGGAGAACGGGCGGCGCAGCAACGAAUUUUAAAACACCGACGAACGUCCGACGAAUAACCGAAGACGGUGCCGCUACGGUCGACCGUUCGGGUACCAGACGGUCUCCGAUCGCGACGGAACUUGACAGGCGGCCUACCUAUAUUAAAAUAACUCCGCACGUCAAAUCUCACCCCAAUUAGAGAAAGUUUUACGCACACUUUUAAAAACAAAAUUCGAACGAUGCCGCGGGCGCGUGUGUGUGCGGUCGGGCUCAGAACGGACAACGACGAGAACCGGCAACUAACAACGGAUGCAAGUUUUAAAAACUGGCGGCAACGGAGAUGCCGAUGCAAUGCCGAUGAUGCGAAUGAUGCGAUGAUAAUGCGACAAAUAAAAAUAGACACACGACGAAAACGGAAAGAGAGGGGAAUCUUCUGGAACGUCGGCAUCGGGCUGUCACACCUCAACACAUGAAAGUCAGGAGUUGAUUGAGAUUACAUUCCACUAGCCUUUUUGAAGUGAGUCUCGCGUACCAUUUUGAUACUAUUUCGAUUGCUAGAACCUGAUUCCCCGUCGAACCGGGCCAAUAUGACCUCGCCCAAGCCAUGGCCGAACGGGCCUUAGCCUAAUUUUCUAGGCCACCAGUCCAUGCGUACAUGACGAGCUGAGCACGUCCACACGAAUCGCUACUCCAUCGAGAAGCUGUCUAAGUCUGUGUUUGGUUCAAAUUUUUUUUACCAACUUCCGCUUUGAAUAGUUAAAAGCUAACCAAAGGGGUAAAUGUUUAAAAUUGUAGCUUUUUCUAGUGUAAAUUUUAAAGCUGGGGGUACCCCAACUUUUCAUCUUCUAACUUUUCUACAACAACUUUUCUAGAAUCUACACCUCAACCAAACACAACAUAAUUAUUUCAGGAGGCUAGUGGAGAUUCGAACGGGGCCUUAGAGCAUCCAAAGCUAGAACUUGCAAAACGGUCUCUCAAACGUCCGCGGACGCAUCUGGACGCGUCCGUGAACACUGACCGGUCACAUCUUAAGUAAUUCAUUUUAUAUUCGGAUACAUCAAAUUCAUAUUAUUACAUGCAACGUAAACCUAAUACUAAGAGGAGGUCGUCCGACUCCAUCGUGCCCAUGUCCGGCGGCUCGCUGCGCCCUUCGUCGCGUCGGUCCCUUCGUCGACGAGGUAGAGUAGGUCAUGAGACACUAGCCGGCUCACGGGAGUCGACCUCAUGCCGUCUCUCAUACCCUAUUCAUCCUCGUCGGAGCCCGUAACCCAGACGGUGUCGGUGAACGUGAGGUCGAUGACAGAUCCCUCCUGGAAGGAGCCAACGUCUACCACGAUGCGAUUGCGAUGCCCGCACUGGUGCACCCUACAGGGCGCCAGAGAGCGUGACUCCGCCUCUCCAACGUCCACCACCGCCUCCCGCGCCCGCUGCCUCGCACGAGGGCACGCUGCGCCAUGCUAGCGUCCGCGGUCGCCCAUGGCGCGUCCUCGACGCGCCAAUGGAGAGGUUGCGUGUCCAUCACGUCGUUCAUACGCUAGACGGACCGCAAUGCCUCUCAUGAGGUAGCGACACCGGAUCCAAGCACCGGUUGUGCCAAUGCAAUGGAUUCCCGACGUUGUGAGUUCGAGCGCUGCCGAAGGGCGGCCGCCUCCCGGGGGCGGCGGAGCGCAAGCCAGGCGGCUAUCUCCUCCUCGGGGCCGCGUUGGAUGAGCUCGUGAUCGACGGAUCUGCAGGUAAAGGACUCGAAUCCGCUGCCCGUCAUGCCAGAUAAGGCGGGAGGAUCACUAGAUGGGGGAUUGGAAGGCGGAUGAGAGUGGAGGGGAGUGGAGUGAAGUGGUUAGGGUUUGAUCCGACGAGCGAAUGAGGACGAAUAUAUGCGGGGUCGAUGCGGGCCAUUGCGGGCCUGCCCAGGCGCCCUCAUACCCGCCUCAUAUUUGGACUGGAUAUGAGGCAUGCCGGUCAGCCUGGGCGUUUGAGGCCGGGUUCAGAGGCCCGUCUGGGUCAAACAUCGUGACCCUUCAAUGAUCGGGUAGCCUGUUUGGGCGUUUGAGGGGGUAUGAAGGGUCCGAUUAUAGAUGCUCUUAGUGGAGUAUUUUUAUUCGAUAAUUUUUUGUCGGACCUAACCGACCCCCUAUAUAUAACACACUAUUUUUUGCGUUUAAUUUUCGGCCAUUCAAACACAUUUCUUUGCUUCUUUAUUUCAUUCAAUGUCAUUUUGAUAUGUUGGAGUACAUAAUUCACCAAUUCUUUGCUACAAGAACAAAAAUAAAAUAAAAACCAUAACUAGACACUUUAAAAGAUGUCCAACUUUGCUUCGAGUAGUUGAAUUAAUAUAUUCUUUAUGUCUUCAUUGUUGGUUCUCUCUAUUGGCUUCUCAAGCACGCACACUUAUUUCUUCUUUGAUUCCGACAAAUUGAUGUUGCUUCACAUUUAGUCUCAUCUAUAGUCUCUACUCUAGCAACGAGUGGAUGAACAUCUAUCAAAUUUUGUGCUAUCAAUAGAUCGAUAUAAUCUUCUUACCAAUACCAAAAGUUGGAUCCAUCCUACACACAGAUUUAACCAAACAACGAGCUACCAAAAUUGACGAAUCCGGUAAACAACCCAAUCAAAACAAGCACAUACCCCACAUCUUUUUUGCACUUGAAGAACAUCCAUCCGGGAUGUUCCGGCAUGGUGAAAACUCGACGCACAACCUGCCGCGGGCAAUGCUCGCACUGUAUGACCAACAACGGGUAGCCGACGAGCCACUAGGCUAGAGCCGAACCCAGACAAUGGUCCGACAUGUCUUUGUCGACAAACCCCCAACGGAAGAGAUCCGAGUGGCUGGAGGACGAGUCAUUAGAAUAAGGCACGUUUUCAUCGGAUGUACGGAUUAAAAGUUAUAUCGGUUUUAAUAUAAGAUAGUGUGACUCUUUUCAGUUAGGCGCCACACAAAGUGUGGCUCAUUUCUCUUAGGCGUCACACAAGCAGGAGUGUGGUCCCGGGUGCCACGCUGGCCAGAAGUAUAACACCCAUAUGCUAAGCGCUACAUAGUGUAGUGUGACGCCUGACUGUCGGGCGUCACACAAAAGGGUCAGCCGAGUGAUUUUUUUAAACGCAGUCCAUUUUGUGAAUUUGUUUCGCCCCACGGAUCAAUUUUAUCAAUUUUGCCUCGCCUAUUCGAGCAAUCCUACCUCGAAAUCACUCAUAAGAAAACCUUCCCACGCAUCUUAGUUGAUGGAAAAGCUGGCCAAUAGAAUAACUAAUGCAUCUAAAGUUGUCAGAUUCGCGAUUCUGAAUCGGAUCGGAGCUCUGUUGCUAGGAUCGUGAACUGUAGAAUCUUAACUACCAGGAUCGUAGAAACUUAGAUUCUAUAAGUAAAAUCGUAGAAUCGAAAGAGCUAUUUUGGAUCGUAAGAUCUUAACAUUCUAAGACUUGAGUCACGAUUCUGAUAACUUUGGGUGCAUCACACUUCCAAGUUAACAUCUAGAUUCGUCAUACAAUCCAUCACAACUAUCAUUCUAUAUAAAAUCUAAACCAAUGGAAAAAACAUGACUACGCUGGAAUGAUCUUCAACUUCGCCAACAUCUGAAAGUGAAUUUUACAAUAAACAAAGCACUUACUCUGUUAGUCAAAAUACUGUAUAACCAAAACUGAAAGAAGCCUAUAAAUUGAUAAAUAAGAUUUCAAGAUGCAAUAGGAAUUCAUCCUUCAAUUGAUAAUGGACCAAUCCAGCAUCUGACUGCGCCUCAGCGCCCUGCCCCAUGGCAGAAAGGCGACGAGGUCCUGGACCUUACCCCCGUGUCCGUGUCGACCACACCCACAACCUGUGAUCGAAUCCGCAAGCUCUAAUCUCCCUAGGGCAUGACAGAAAGAGAGCAUUCAAAAAAUAAAAUGAGAGCUCUAAUACUGAUCUGAUGGCUUAUUUGCCUUUUAUGCUUAGUGCAUUCUCUCUCAUAGACAUAAAAAUGGAAGUUUCAAUAUUGGAACUAUGCAAGCAUAAAGACUAAGAAACAGAAAGAUUGUAGGCUGAUAGUUAUAGAGCUAGCUCCAAGGAAUGAACUGAAGAAGCAGGACAUGGUCACUAAAAAUCAAAAAAACCACUAUGUCAUCUCCACUUAUACUUUAAGAAAAAACAUAUAACUUGCUCAGAAUGUGAUGUAACCAAGCAGAUGGUCCACAAGUUGGACACCCAUUCUGUUUUCCACACUUAUUCUUCAUAUUAGAUCUCACUACGGAAGGAGAAAAACUCUGCAAAACAACUAAUCCCUCUGUUUAUAAAUAUAAGUCUUUUUAAAAAUUUCACUACGGGUUACAUACGGAUGUACAUAGACAUACUUUAGAGUAUAUGUUCAUUUAUUUUGCUCCUUAUGUAGUUCGUAGUGUAAUCUCUAGAAAGACUUAUAUUUAGGACGGAGGUGGUGGAUCUGAAGAUUGAACAGAAGAAGCACAGAACAUGGUGCUGAAAUCAAAACCAAACAAAGGGAACUACCUGCCAAUCCACUGUGCACCCCUCCACACAAAUUUUAGCAGUGUAAAAUCCACAAGGAAUGCUGAAAUCGUUGCAGCACGCAGGGCGCAGAGCUACAGGGGUAAAAAAAUAAAAAUCCUCACUGCCCAUCAGCGGCGCAACUCGGAUGGCAAAAAACAGAACAGACUAAACAAGGGAAAAAUAAAAGGCGGCACACGGCGUAAAUACCCCCGCCGGCGGCAAGCCGUGCUAAGGCCCUGAAGGCCUGGACGAUUCGCCAUGCAUCUCCCCUCCAUGCUCCAUCUCCUACUCUCUCUCUCUCUCUCUCUGACUGAGCAGGACCGAACCCCCCGCCUCUCAAACCUGGUCGGUUUACUUGCAAACCCAGUGAAAAGGAAAACCCAGACCGCAAGACACAAAACCAGAAAAGAGAUAGGACCAUGCUCUCAGAUCCACGCUUAAAGAAAUCUGACGGACAAAAAUUUCGACUGAGCAAGAAACCAAAACCAGUCGAUUGAAAUUUCGCAGAAAUGAAGGCGAAAGACAGGGACAGAUAUACCAAAGAGCCAAGACUAAAACAUGACAAAAGUACCACUGGAAUCGGUUCAUGCCUGAGACACAUGGGCGGCCAAAUUAUAGUAAAGAAAAACUUGUUAAAAUUUUGUUCUAGUGUACGAGUAUAUAUAGAGUACUAAAACACACACAAAAAGGUGUAGAUCAACACAGGACCAUCGCCUACCAAACCAAAUAAUUAUUACAUAUGAUUAUACAUAAAGGAAGCUAGAACCUAUUCGUUGAAAGCCAAGUUCAUCUUUCUAAGAUUGGGUGUAAUCCACACUGGAGCCGGGCAGUUGGACCAAAGCUCGGGAGACAAAACUUCCUCCCUGCUGUUAUUACCCAAGUUUAGGAUUCCCAUAUCACGGGGAUUGUUCUUGAAUCCCUUUGUCCACAACACACUGUCAUCGGUAAAGUAGGCAUGUUUUCCCUUGAGAGCUGGAUAGUCUUCAGCAGUAAGACAAAGUGAUUGAUUGUGUCCAAGAAACAACACAUGGUCGCACAAGCAACUGAUUUUCUCAAUUUCCUUUCCUGAAGCAUCGAAUUCAUCUAUUAUAACUUCUCCAGUGUUCCAAAACACAAAUGCCCCAGGCUCGGGUUCUAAAUCACAGUGCUCAUAUAAUCUCCACACUUGAAGAAGAUUGCCCCAUGGAGCUUGUACAAUGUAACUAUUCAGAAACCGCUCCUCAUACUUACACGCCGGUACAAUCGUCUUCGUCGUAACAAAAGGGCUACUUAGAUCGAAAGUGUGGAUUUCUCCGAAUGAAGUAACUGCAUACAGCAGGCCGUUCUUGUAAAUGCAAUCAUCAUAGUGGGUGCAUGGUGGCAGCCAUCUCCAACUAUUAUCCCCUGCCCUUGCAAAUGAGAGCUGACAAAAUGGACCGUGUAUGAGCACCACAAUGUAUCCAUUGCAUUUAUCAGAGAACACAAAAGCUUUAUGGUGAUGCGUGUUCCUCAGCUCUCCAAGAGCCAAGAUCGAUGGCGAAGCGUAAACCAUCAUUCCGCUGUGGUAUGAGUACUCGUACUCGUGAAGAGCACCAGAGUCAUUAUAGAUGGGUUUCACAUGCUCCAUGGUGAUCACCGGAGGAAGAUCAAUCUGUUCGCCAGUGAGGGGAUUGACAAGGUGCAUCUCAGAUCUGUCAUCAACUGUUACAAGCAAGCCUUGCGAAGACCCAAUCAGAUGUCUAUUUCUGAUAGGUGGCCCUGGAAGAGUUAGCUUGUACGUCCGCUUCUCCGCGAGGCUGUAGAGGCAAGCAACGCUCUCGCCGGCAGAUUCAGAGGUGUAGAGGAGGCACGGCGUCUGGGGGCGCGUGUAGUGCCCAAGGCUGCGCAGGCUGGAGCUCGCGGAGCGCCAGGAGGAGCAAACCGAGCCGGCACGGACGAGGUCAGGGAUCUCGAGGGUGGCAAAUAUACCCAUCAAGAUAUCCUGAGGCAGAUCAGGCGAUGCGCCCUCAGUAGUCUUGAUCGGUAGAGGAUGCUUGCAGGAUUUCUUGAGUGAACCUGGAGUGAGGCGUAGCAGCCUAGGCAAAGCUCUGAGGACCAGCGAGCACAGAUAUGCUGGGUGUAUAGCUAGACUCCAUAAGCUCAUAGUCCAGGCCAGGCUACAGGCCUCCGUAUAGGCAAAAUCAAUCUUGGACGACUUGCAAAGAGCCAAUGCCGGAGGAGGAAGAUACGGAGCUUCGGUUAUAGUCCGAUUAUUCUCAGGUGUACCGCCGGACUUCAUGAUCUACAGGCAUCCGUAGGCUUUAAUUAAUUAGAAAAGUUACAACUUUGGAUGGAAACAGAGGGUAAGAGUUCUUGGGUAACUUAUACUCCUGAUUCGGAUACGCGAAGAAGUGGAUUGGAUUGGGCGCUCGGGGAUUCUUUUCUCCUCUUUUUCUACUGACUGAUGAUGAAAGGACGGACUUGAUUCGAGUCCCACUCGGUUUGCUUCUCAGAAUCCUUCUACUUUUUUUUGUCUACCAAAGGGCGGAAGGAAAUUAUAGAGCACAGCGGAGCACGCGCGUUGACCUGGUUGGAUUGCAAUACGUGGUGGAGGCGGCUGCGAGUCCCGGAUCCCGGUUUUAGGAACCUUCUACAGGUUUCUAUCCGUUUUUUCCGGUUAUGGGAACUUUUUAAAAGAUUUCAUGUAACCGUUUUUUUUACUUAUUCUUUUUUCCUGUUUCUGUUUCAAUAAUGUUCUGAAUUUUCAAAAAAUGUUCCGGAAAUUGAAAACAUGUUUCGGAAUDYGWAAAAAUGUUCUGUAAUUUUUUUUUAAAAAAAUUCCGUAAAUUUAAAAAAAUGUUCUAGUUAAUUUUUUAUACUAAAAUUGUUUUACGGUUUUUUUAACAAAAAAAAAAAAAAUUGUUUCCGUAACUAAUUUAGUAAAAAAAAUUAUUACUAAGUGUAGUGUCGUNNNNNNNNNNNNNNNNNNNNNNNNNNNNNNNNNNNNNNNNNNNNNNNNNNNNNNNNNNNNNNNNNNNNNNNNNNNNNNNNNNNNNNNNNNNNNNNNNNNNACCAGGGACCCCACAAGCCCUCAUGGUGCGGCCGAAGGGGGGGGGGGGCGCCUCCCAGGCUUGUGGGCUCCCUGGGCCUCCUCUGCCCUAGCUCCUUCGCCUAUAUAUUCCCUAAAAUCCCAAAAAAAUCAAGGGAGCCACGAAAAUACUUUUCCGCCACCGCAAGCUUUUGUCUCCGCAAGAUCCCAUAUGGGGCACGUUCUGGUGCCCUGCCGGAGGGGGGAUUCAGAUACGGAGGGCUUCUUCAUCAACACCAUGACCUCUCCGAUGAUGCGUGAGUAGUUCACCAUAGACGUUCGGGUCCAUAGCUAGUAGCUAGAUGGCUUCUUCUCUCUCUUGGAUCUUCAAUACAAAGUUCUCCAUGAUCUUCAUGGACAUCUAUCCGAUGUAAUCUUCUUUUGCGGUGUGUUUGUCGAGAUCCGAUGAAUUGUGGAUUUAUGAUCAUAUUAUCUAUGAGUCUUAUUUGAGUUUCUUCUGAUCUCUUAUAUGCAUGAUUUCAUAUCCUUGUAAUUCUCUUCGAGUUGUGGGUUUUGUUUGGCCAACUUGAUCUAUGAUUCUUGCAAUGGGAGAAGUGCUUGGUUUUGGGUUCAUACCAUGCGGUGACCUCACCCAGUGACAGAAGGGGUAGCGAGGCACGCAUCAUGUUGUUGCCAUCAAGGAUAAAAGAUGGGGUUUUCAUCAUUGGUUUGAGUUUAUCCCUCUACAUCAUGUCAUCUUGCUUAAGGCGUUACUCUGUUCGUCAUGAACUCAAUACACUAGAUUCAUGCUGGAUAGCGGUCGAUGUGUGGAGUAAUAGUAGUAGAUGCAGAAAGUAUCGGUCUACCUGUCGCGGACGUGAUGCCUAUAUGUAUGAUCAUUGCCUUAGAUAUCGUCAUGACUUUGCGCGGUUCUAUCAAUUGCUCGACAGUAAUUUGUUCACCCACCGUAAUAUUUGCUAUUUUGAGAGAAGCCCUCUAGUGAACACUAUGGCCCCGGGUCUACUUCACAUAUCAUAUUUUCAGCCUUACACUUUUACUUCGUUGCACUUUCCGCCUUCAGAUCUCACUUUGCAAUCAAUCUUGAAGGGAUUGACAACCCCUUUAUAGUGUUGGGUGCAAGCUCUUUUGUGUUUGCGCAGGUACUCUGGACUUGACGCGAUUCUCCUACUGGAUUGAUAACUUGGUUCUCAAACUGAGGGAAAUACUUACUGCUCCUGUGCUGCAUCACCCUUUCCUUUUCAAGGGACAAACCAACGCAAGCCAAGUCUCCAUCAACGUGCCAAUUUCUGGCGCUGUUGUGUGUUGCCGUAGCAGAAGAAUUUCUGGCACUGUUGCCGGGGAGGAUCAAGUCAAGAACUCAUCCAAGUAAGUGUCGCGAACUCAUCUCUUGCAUUUACCUUUUUGCCUCUCGUUUUCCUCUCCCCACUUCUUAAAAACAAAAUUUACAAAAUAUUUGCCUUUUUCUUCAUUUGCCCUUUUGUUCGUUUGCCUUUUUCGUUCGCCCUUUUCUCUCGAUUGCUUCCUGUUCGCUUGUGUGGGAUAGUCUACCUGUCCUCAUGGAUAGACUUCGAAUGAUACUCCCGAGAACGAACUUCUCAAUUUCAAGCAAAAUGAGGAAGAAAACUUAAAGGACGCUUGGUAUAGGAUUUGCAAUGCUCAGAGUAGAUCUACUCGUAAGCAAUCUACUACCGUCCUGCUUCGUAGUUUUUAUGUGGGUAUUUCUCCUUGGAGUAGGUAUAUUCUUGACACCAUCGUAUGCGGACGGAGCUGUAAUAAAUUUGGUAGGCUCACCCCCACUCAUGGUUAAUGGAACUACCUUAACUCUGGAACAUGUGAUGCGUAGGCUGGACGUCAUUGAAAAUAAAGUUGCUACGAUCGAACUCAUUGAGAAUUUGGAUAAAAAGAUCCACAAUCAAACCACUCAGUAUGGAUCCAAGGUGGGAAUGGUUUUUAAAAAUUUAAAGGAGAAGGAACCCCCAGUUAACGAAAACUAGGUCAUGAUUCCGCUAGGAUUGGCAAACUAGAGGAUGUUAUAACCAACUUGGGUUCCGCUUUUGCCGCUGUGCAGAAUACUCCAAACUUUGCCCACAAUAAGGCCACCAAGUCCAUUUUUGUUCCUAAAAAUAGUGGUGAAUCAUCUAGUAAGAAAGAUGAAGACCUUAAGAUGAUGAGUGAUCACGCUACUUAUGGUUUCAGCACCAAAGACGACGAUACGUGAUUCUAUCGCUUUAUGCCUAGCUAAGGGCGUUAAACAAUAGCGCUUGUUGGGAGGCAACCCAAUGAAUUUACCUUCUUCUUUCUAUUUUGUUGCGUCCACACCAUCAUAUUUCUGUAUUGAUAGUGUCUUUUGUGUUUGAGCCAAGCAAAACCUUUAUGACUAGUCUUGGUGAUGGUUGUUUGAUCUUGCUGGAAAAAGACAGAAACUUUUGGCUCACGAUAUUAUUUUUCAUUUUAUUCAGAAAGCGAUUUUGAGUUGAUUCUUUUUUAUGCUGGUUGAUAUGCCUUUUACCCAGGCAGUCGUAAUUGUUCAGAAUUUUGCAGGUACCAUAAGUAUACGAAGUAUACAGAUUGCUGCAGACUGGUCUGUUUUUGACAGAUUCUGUUUUUGUUGAGUUGGUUGCUUGUUUUGAUGAAACUAUGGAUAGUAUCUGGGGGUACUAGCCAUGGAAAAGUGAGAAUACAGUAAUCUAACACCAAUAUAAAUAGAAAUCAAUAUUGCUACAGUACCAAAGGAGGUGGUAGUUUGUUUUCUUGUGCUAAUGAUAUCACGAGUUUCUGUUUAAGUUUUGUGUUGUGAAGUUUUCAAGUUUUCGGUGAUGUUCUCAUGGACAAAGGGAUAAAGAGUGGAAAGAGCUCAAGCUUGGGGAUACCCAAUACAUCCAAAGCCAAAUUCAAGGACAUCAAAAAGCCUAAGAUUGGGGAUGCCCCGGGAAGGCAUCCCCUCUUUCGUCUUCAAUCCAUCGGUAACAUUACUUGGAGCUAUAUUUUUAUUCACCACAUGAUAUGUGUUUUGCUUGGAGCGUCUUGUAUCGUAGGAGUCUUUUCUUUUUGUUGUGUCACAAUCAUCCUUGCUGCACACCUUUUGAGAGAGACAUGCACUCAUCGUGAUUUUGCUAGAAUGCUCAUUGUGCUUCACUUAUUUCUUUUGAGCUAGAUAAUUUUGCUCUAUGUGCUUCACUUAGAUCUUUUAGAGCACGGCGGUGCGUAACUUGGUAGUUGGCUUGUGCUAUGAAAGUAGUCCAAAACGUGAUAGGUACCCAAAGGGGAUACAAAAACCUCCAUCUUCAUGUGCAUUGAGUAGAAAGAGAAGUUUGAUUCCUCUCAAUUAGUUUUGAGACGUGGAUUUGGUAAUAUUAAGAGUUAUGUUAGAAGGGUGUUGUGAAUCUAGAAAUACUUGUGUUGAAGUUAGUGAUUCCCGUAACAUGCACGUAUGGUGAACCGCUAUGUUACGAAGUCGGAGCAUAAUUGAUCUAUUGAUUGUCAUCCUUUGUGUUGCGGUCGGGAUUGCGCGAUGGUUAACACCUACCAACCCUUCCCCUAGGAGUAUGCGUUUAGCACUUUGUUUCGAUUACUAAUAAAAACUUUCACAACAAGUGUGAGUUCUUCAUGACUAAUGUGAGUCCAUGGUAUAGAUGCACUUUCACCUUCCACCAUUGCCAGCCUCUCUAGUACCACGCAAUUGCCGCCGGUGCACAAACCCACCACAUGCCUUCCUCAAAACAGCCAGCAUACCUACCUACUAUGGCAUUUUCAUAGCCAUUCCAAGAUAUAUUGCCGUGCAACUCCCACCGUUCCGUCUCAUGACUUGUGCCGUCACUCUCAUAUUGCCAUUGCAUGAUCGUAAGAUAGCUAGCGAGAUGUUUCAACGUCAUACGCCAAGUUAGAUCGUUGCACAUCCCGGUACACUAUCGGAGGCAUUUCAUAUAGAGUCACCAUUGCUCUAAGUAUUGAGUUGUGAGUAAAUAAAAGUGUGAUGAUCAUCAUUAUUAGAGCAUUGUCCCAUGUGAGUAAAUAAUAAAAAAGAGGCCAAAGAUGCCCACCAAAAAAAAUAAAAAGAGGCCAAAGAGCCCAAACAAAAAAAGAGAGAAAAAGAGAGAAGGGACAAUGCUACUAUCUUUUUCCACACUUGUGCUUCAUAAAAGCACCAUGUUCUUCAUGAUUGAGAGCCUCUCGUUUCGUCACCACCAUAUACUAGUGGAAAUCUUUAUUAUAUAACUUGGCUUGUAUAUUCCAAUGAUGGGCUUCCUCAAAUUGCCCUAGGUCUUCAUGAGCAAGCAAGUUGGAUGCACAUCCACUAGUUCUCCUUUUGAGCUUUCACAUACUUAUAGCUCUAGUGCAUCCUUUGUAUGGCAAUCCCUACUCAUUCACAUUGAUAUCUAUUAAUGGGCAUUUCCAUAACCCUUUAAUACCCCGAGUCAGUGUGACCAUCUCCUCCUUUUUUGUCUCACAACCACCACCACACUCUAUUCCACCUAUAGUGCUAUAUCCAUGACUCACGCUCAUGUAUUGCAUGAUAGUUGUAAAAGGUUUGAGAAAGUAAGAGUGCGAAAACAAUUACUUGGCCAAUACCGGGGUUGUGCAUGAUUUAAAUUAGCUGUGUGGGGGAUGAUGGAGCAUAGCCAGACUAUAUGAUUUUUGUAGGGAUAACUUUCUUUGGCCUUGUUAUUUCGAAAGUUCAUGAUUACCUUGCUAGUUUGCUUGAAGUAUUAUUGUUUUCAUGUCAAUAGCAAACUAUUGUUUUGAAUCUUACGGAUCUGAACAUUCAUGUCACAUGAAAGAAGUUACAAAGGCAACUAUGCUUGGUAGCAUUCCACAUAAAAAAUUCAGUCUUUAUCACUUCCCUACUCGAGGACGAGCAGGAGUUAAGCUUGGGGAUGCUUGAUACGUCUCCAACAUAUCUAUAAUUUUUUAUGGUUUCAUGCUAUUAUCUUGUCAAACUUUGGAUGUUUUGUAUGCCUUUUAUAUCUUUUUUGGGACUAACCUAUUAACUCAGUGCCAAGUGCCAGUUCCUGUUUAUUCCGUGUUUUUGACCCUUUUCAAAGGAGGAUUUUAAACGGAGUCCAAACGGAAUAAAACUUCCGAAAAGAUUUUUUCCGAAACAGAAGACGAUCGGGAAACUUGAGAACCGAGGCAGAGGGUCACCAGGGACCCCACAAGCUCUUAUGGCGCGGCCGAGGGGGGCCCGCGCCUCCCAGGCUUGUGGGCUCCCUGGGCCUCAUCUGCCCUAGCUCCUUCGCCUAUAUAUUCCCUAAAAUCCCAGAAAAAAUACAAGAAAGCACGAAAAUACUUUUCUGCCGGCGCAAGCUUCUGUCUCCGCAAGAUCCAAUCUCGGGCACGUUCUGGUGCCCUGCCGGGGGGGGGGGAGUUCGGAUAUUGAGGGCUUCUUCAUGAACACCAUGACCUCUCCGAUGAUGCGUGAGUAGUUCACCAUAGACGUUCGGGUCCAUAGCUAGUAGCUAGAUGGCUUCUUCUCUCUCUUGGAUAUUCAAUACAAAGCUCUCCAUGAUCUUCAUGGAGAUCUAUCCGAUGUAAUCUUCUUUUGCGGUGUGUUUGUCGAGAUCCGAUGAAUUGUGGAUUUAUGACUACAUUAUCUAUGAAUCUUAUUUGAGUUUCUUCUGAUCUCUUAUAUGCAUGAUUUCAUAUCCUUGUAAUUCUCUUCGAGUUGUGGGUUUUGUUUGGCCAGCUUGAUCUAUGAUUCUUGCAAUGGGAGAAGUGCUUGGUUUUGGGUUCAUACCGUGCGGUGACCUCACCCGGUGAUAGAAGGAGUAGCGAGGCACGCAUCGUGUUGUUGCCAUCAAGUGUAAAAAGAUGGGGUUUUCAUCAUUGGUUUGAGUUUAUCCCUCUACAUCAUGUCAUCUUUCUUAAGGCGUUACUCUGUUCGUCAUGAACUCAAUACAGUAGAUGCAUGCUGGAUAGCGGUCGAUGUGUGGAGUAAUAGUAGUAGAUGCAGAAAGUAUCAGUCUACUUGUCUCGGGCGUGAUGCCUAUAUGUAUGAUCAUUGCCUUAGAUAUCAUCAUGACUUUGCGCGGUUCUAUCAAUUGCUCGACAGUAAUUUGUUCACCCACCAUAAUAUUUGCUAUUUUGAGAGAAGCCUCUAGUGAACACUAUGGCCCCGGGUCUACUUCACAUCAUAUUUUCAGCCUUACACUUUUAAUUCGUUGCACUUUCCGCCUUCAGAUCUCACUUUGCAAUCAAUCUUGAAGGGAUUGACAACCCCUUUAUAGCGUUGGGUGCAAGCUCUUUUGUGUUUGCGCAGGUACUCUGGAUUUGACGCGAUUCUCCUACUGGAUUGAUACCUUGGUUCUCAAACUGAAGGAAAUACUUACUGCUCCUAUGCUGCAUCACCCUUUCCUCUUCAAGGGAAAAACCAGCGCAAGCCAAGUCUCCGUCAACGUGCCAAUUUCUGGCGCUGUUGUCUGUUGCCGUAGCAGGGUCCAAGAAGUAGCGGCCUUGUCUAUUCCACCAUGGCUUACGUUCACGUAGGACUAGCUUUACUCAGGGUAGAUCUUCAUGAAGUAGGCGAUCUCCUGGCCCUUACGAUCUUCUUGGUUCAACUCCACAACACAAACUAGGAGGCUCCCAAGCAACACCUAACCAAUCUAGGAGGCACCACGCUCCAAAAGGUAAUAGAUGCGGUAGAACGAUGAUCUCCUUGCUCUUGUGCUUCAAGAGAUAGUCUCCUCGACAUUCAAUCACUCUCUCACAGAUUUGGAAUGGGUAGGAUAGAUUAAUCUUGUGGAAAGCAACUUAGGGAGGCUAGAAAUCAAGUUUCAAAUGGAUGGAUUGGAAUAUCUUGAUCUCAACAUAUGAGUAGGUGGAUCUCUCUCAGAAAUAUGGAUAUGGCAAGUGUAAGUGUGUUAUGAGUGCUUACUCUACGAGUUAGAGGUGGUGGAGGGGUAUAUAUAGGGAUCCCCAAAAAUCCAACCGUUACAACAUUAUUUCCCAACUCGGUGAAACCUAAGUAAAUAUCGGUGGCACCGAUUUGCACAAAAUGUGGCAACUUUCGAAUUCUUGGUGAGACCGAUAUAGAAAUCUUGGUGGUACCGAUAUAGCGACUUAGGGUAGUUUCCUAACUCGGUGAGACCAAUUUCAAAACUCAGAAAUUUCGAUUCUUAAAAUCGAUUAACAGAAGGUUGGUCACUAUUUUCGGUGGCACCAAAAUGGAAGUUGGUGGUAUCGAGAUUCUAGGGUUUGUCAAAGGUUCUAUCUGGUGGAAAAUUCAGUAGGGCCAAGUGGAGAGUGUUGGUGACACAGAUUUUGAUGUGUAGGCUUUGGACAAAUAACUUUUGCGGGAGAAUGCCUCAGUAUUUUUUGUGGCUAUCUCUAAGCACUUGAGUAACCAAUUCAUCAUAGAGACAACAUCCCCUUUUAAUAGUAUUGGCUUUCCUAUGGACUCAAAUGUGACUUCUCACAAAUAUAAAAUGUAGAGUCUUCUUGCUUGAAGCUUGGACAAUCCUAUUCCUUUCCUUCCAUCAAGGGGUUUCUCCUCACAAUCCUUUAGCCAAGGCAUCUUUGAACUUUUGUGAAAUAUACAUGGAUAGAAUCAUUAUUUCAAUGAUACAUAUGUUGUUAUUAAUUACCAAAACCACCUUAGGGAGCAAUUGUGCUUUCAAUCUCCCCCUUUUGCUAAUCGAUGACAACAUAUAGAUCAAAGCUUGCAUGCNNNNNNNNNNNNNNNNNNNNNNNNNNNNNNNNNNNNNNNNNNNNNNNNNNNNNNNNNNNNNNNNNNNNNNNNNNNNNNNNNNNNNNNNNNNNNNNNNNNNCGCCAUACCUUCCCUAACCACAUCCCCCAGCGUCUUCGGGCUAAUUAUCAGUGGACGGCCCCUGUGUUAUUCUUGCUGGGUAGAGGCGAUAUCUGGAAGCAUCUCCUGCAAGGAUUGCAUGAAGAGAGACUUUUUGCAAUCAGUCGUCGGACGUUCCGGCUCUGGCAAAUCAGGCAUCAUCAAGUCAUCUACACGCUCAUAGUCUGAGUCAUAUUGCUAAGCAUCGUCACAGCCGGUAUUGAUAUACUGGUUAGGGUCCUCAUCCUCCUCCUCCUCCAUGACAUCAUCAACAUUUGCUUCUUCGAUGGGGGCGACGUCAUCUCGCACUAAUGGAGGCUCUCCCUCACCGCGUCAUCCGCUAUCUCCCCCCACGCCAGGUGCAGGUAAUUGGGUAGGUGGGGUGGUGUUCAUACCUUGUUGAUGAGUUGUCGUUGGUGUGCUACCGGGCGCCUUGACACGAAGGUGAGUCUUCGGCCAAGGCAAGAACCAACUCUUGCAUGCGCCAAUCAAUUGAGGGGUCUCGUCAUCACCGGCUGGUGCCGGAAGAGACAAAUCCUCGAAGCCCGCUUUGACACUGGCCACACAAACUUUGAAGACGCCAUGGGGCAUAUGCUUGUUGUGGAGCAUGCAGUCCUUCGGCUUUGUUUACGUUGCCUUUCCCACGUCGACCUUCUGGUCGUUGAUAUCAUACAGUAGGGUGCACGGGGUUUCGUCGGCCUACAAAGACAUGACUGCGAUGUCAGACAUCCGAAAGGCAACUGAAACGAAAGACUAUAUAGAUAUGCUUAUGACUAGUGUAUGACGCGUAGUUACUGUGAUGGCGUCGAGCUCAGCCAAAGAAGAAGCCCCGCCGAGCACACCAGAGACAGAUGACGGGCUCCUAUGAACCAGAGCGAGACCAGCUACGAGAGCAUUUGUGGUUGCGUGAGCAGGUGCUGGUGGUGCGAUGUUCGCCAUAUUGCUCCCGACAAAGCUGAGUAGUGGAAAGUCCUCUGCCCAUGCUUGUGGAUUCCUCCUCACAUACUCAAAAACUGUCAGAACCAAUCGGCCCAAGGAAGCUGCCACACGUGCAUUGACCUUAUCGUCGACUACCUUAGUCAACUCUUCUUUGGUCUGAUCGACCGCCCGUGCGACCUUGGUAUCAUGAACUCCCUCGGCCUAUCGUGGUAGCAUUUCUUCCACGAGGUGCCAUCUCUUCUUUCUUUCCUCCGGCCUAUCGUGGUAGCAUUUCUUCCACGAGGUGCCAUCUCCGACGCCGUGCACACGUCCACCCGACGGAGGUUUGUCCACUGAGACAUUUUUCAGUAUGUUCAUGGCCCGGUUGAACGGGUUGUCCCACUUGGGCCUCGCCGAAGACUGAGACGACUCGUCGCUUUCGGCUGCCUUUUGGUGCUACUCUUUCUGCAGAAGGAACGUGGAUGGUUUACAAAUGUGACAAAACUAGUUGUCAAAUUAAUUAGAAGCUAAUUAAUAUAAUUAAGGUGGUAAUACAACAAUUACCAGUAGUCUCAUGAACUCCCUCGUGCUCGGGUCCGUGUAAAAGAUCUUCUUGACGGGGUCCCACUUGUGCCUGGCCCUGAUCCAGUCAUGCUCCAGCGGGUCGGUGAACUCCGCCAAGGGGUCUGGAAUUCCGUGACUUUCACGUUCGGCGUCCUCCUUGGCUCAUGUGCUCCUCUUCCUCUCGUAACCACGGCUUCCGAGGCGGUGGGCAGGCGUGUUCCUGGCUUGGAGCCCCUUCAUUUUCUCCGACUUUUCCUGGGCUUCUUUAGGGUUUAGGGUUUAGGGUUCAUUUCUCCGACAAAAUGCAUGCAUAUAAAAAUUUGGCAUGACCUUGCCUAAAAAUAGGACAUAUCGAGUUUACUCGCAAUUCAUCGAAACGGAAAUAAAUCGACAUUUCAGCAAAACAUAAGCAACUCACGGGUCAUGUCACUCACACAAUAUCCCUUCAUAUCGCAAACACACAUAUUCCCAUUAUUGAAAUGCACAAGUUUUUACUCACCUAUAUAUAUCUCGAGAGAGAUUGUGCAUGGCUAAAUAAUGGAGAGGUAAAAUGGUGGAGAAGUAAUUAGAGAGAGGAAGGAUAAAGGUGGGGAUAGGGCAAGGCACACAGGGGAUAGGGGUGUGUGUGGGUGAAGUGAGGGCAACAAGUGGUAGGAGGAAAGGAGAAAGGAGGGAGUAGGGAAAGGGGGGGAAGGGGAGGAGGGGUGGUAGGUGGUAGGGUUAAGUCGGAGGGACGAACGAAGUAGGGUAGGRAAGGAAAGGAAGGAAAGGGAGARGAGUACGGGAGAAAGUGGGGGAGGGAAGGGGNNNNNNNNNNNNNNNNNNNNNNNNNNNNNNNNNNNNNNNNNNNNNNNNNNNNNNNNNNNNNNNNNNNNNNNNNNNNNNNNNNNNNNNNNNNNNNNNNNNNAGUUGUAGUGAAACAAUUUUCGUAAUUACCGUUUGUAAGGGGAACGACCUAAUACUGGAAUUCGGGAACUAAGUGUUACCCAUAAUMCWKAAWMUVAASUAWUAGUAUUAGAAUCAACUAGUGUUUAAUAUGUUCCAUUGGUAAUCAUAGUUGGUUCGCCUUCAAAUAGUUGUAGUGAAACAAUUUUGAUUAGUUGAAGGGGAACACGAUCUGAUUGGAAUAGUGUUCCAUAAUCUGAAAAAUCGUAUUAGAAUGAACUAGUGUUUAAUAUGUUCCAUUGGAAUCAUAGUUGGUUCGCUUCAAAUAGUUGUAGUGAUCUCUCUAGGUUCCAUUGCAUAUGUUCUAUUUGAAUCCUAAAGAUAAGUUUCUCUUUAGUUGUAGUGAAACAUGUUUCCUUAUUGCAGCAGUAUGUAACAUUUGUUCCAUUCUAAUUUGUUUCUGUUGCAGGAGUGACAAGCAUUGUCCUGGACUCAUGGAGUUCCUUCGCAGCGGCGUCACUUUUGCUUCCGUUGACAUAAGGAACGACAGGCUGAAGAUGAGGCACAGCUUCGGUAUUGAGAUACCAGCUGGUUGCCUCGUUGAUCUCCAAACAAUAUUCAGGCUUUGACAUGACAGGACUUCGAUGGCUCAUAUGGCAGUUGCCUUGAUCGACGAGUCAUAUGGUGAUAUGAAGACCAGUUUCCCAAAGUAUCAGCACAAACUUUGGGAGAAGGACCCACUUGAUGAUAUCAACAUUCAGUAUGCAGCAAAAGAUGCAUACGUUUCAUACGAGUUGUACCGCAAGAUUCGAGUCGUCAACUAUGGCCAGCGUCACCUCGAGGAACUUGGACAUUCUGAUUUAGAUGAUUCAGACGAGUAGUAUUCUGAACGUCUAACACUUGUAUAUAUAUAUAUCUAUGGUAGCUAUUAUUAUGUACUGUUUGGGCUAGUAUCAUGUACUUCUUGGACCAAUUUAUAUAUGUCUAGUUUCUGUUUGUGCCAUUAUAGUUUCCAAAUUUGAAUGGUUUAGCCCUUCCUAACUUCAUUUGCUACUUUUGAAUGGUUUAGCCCUUUCUAACUUCAUGGUAUCAUGCAUUUCGACCAUAUAUAUAUACAAAAAGUCUUCAGUUCAAAUAAGUUUAGUGCUUUUCAAUUUCAGGGUCAACUAGCUCAAAAAAAAUAAGUAAAUGCACGAAAUAUACCAAAUGAAGUCAGAAAUUGUUGAAAUUUUGUGAUGUGCCUUUGAAUGGUGCAUUUUGAACACACAAAAAGUAUGGAGUUCAAAUAAGUUCAAAAAAAUGAAAUCCCUUUGUAAGAUAUGAGUUCUCGUUCGAAACCGUGCUACUUCGAGAGAGAUUGUCAGUUUUGUACACGAAGUGCAUCCAGUUUUUGUCGUAGCCCUCUCAACUUUUUAACACAUGCUAUGUGGGUGAAAUGAUGAUAGCAUGCCAACUUUCAACAUUUUCAGAGUUCAUUUGUAGUGCUUUUCAAUUUCAGGGUCAACUAGCUCAAAAAAAUAAGUAAAUGCACGAAAUAUACCAAAUGAAGCUCCGACGAGGCUUAUAAAUAAGUGUUAGUCCCCCUCGUUGGGCAAGGUGAUACUAAACUUAUCGUACAACCGAGGAGGGGCUUUAGUCCUGGUUGGAGCCACACCCCGGGACUAAAGACCCCCUUUAGUCCCGGUUGGAGCCACGCCCCGGGACUAAAGACCCCCUGCUUCCCGCCUCUAGGUCUGCCCGAAACGCACACACUAGUCCCGGGUCGUGGCUCCACCCGGGACUAAAGGGGGUCUUUAGUCCCGGCCCGAGCCACGCACCGGGACUAUAGAUCCACCUAUAUAAGCAGGAUUUCAAAAAUUUCCAACCCAAUUCGUCCACUUCUCUUCUUCUUCCUCUCGUUCUCCUGCCCGGCGCGGCACAACGACGAACGUAACCGACGCUGUCAGGCUGCCCGCCGUCCUGCUCGUCGUCGGCCGUCCUCCUCGCCGCCGCGCCGUCCUCCUCGCCGUCGGGCCGUCCUCCUCGCCGCCGCGCCGUCCUCCUCGCCGUCACGUCGUCCUCCUUGCCGCCGCGCCGUCCUCCUCGCCGGCGCGCCGUCCUCCUAGCCGUCGCGCCAUCCUCCGCGCCGUCCUCCUCGCCAACACUCCGGCCAGUAAGCCCCCGCCCCUCCUCCCCAACACUCCGGCCAGUAUAGAAGAAAAGAAGAAAAAGGAGAAGAGAAGAAGAAAAAGGAGAAGAAAGGAAGAAAAAGGAGAAGAAAAAAGAAAAAGGAGAAGAAAAGAAGAAAAAGAAAAGAUUUUUUGUCAUUUAAUUCCUAUUGUUAUUAGGUUUGUGCUAGAUUAUUAGGGUUAGUAAUAUUUAGAAUUAGGUUAGGGUUACAAGAAGAAGAAAUAUGAACAAAAAUAAGAAAAUAAGAUUAGGAAAAAUGAAAAUAAGAAGAGGAGGAGAAGAAAAGAAGAAAAAGUGUAUAUUGUAUAGUGUAUAUGCUUAAGUGUAUAGUGUAUAUAGUGUAUAGUGUAUAAGGAGAGGAGGAAUUUUGCUAUAGUGUAUAUAGUGUAUAGUGUAUAAGAAAAGAAGAAAAGAAGAGGAGGAGAAGAGAAGAAAAGAAGAGGAGGAGAAGAGAAGAAAGAAGAGGAGGAGAAGAAAAUGAAAAUAAGUGUUAAUAGUUUAAUUUUGCUAUUGUAUAUGCUUAAGUGUUAAUAGUUUAUUUUUAGCAAGAAAAUUAAUAGAACUAGUUUAUUUUUUAGUUCAUUUUACGAUGCCUAUCCCGCAUCCUCGUCUUCGACUCAACGGAGGACACCUGCUUGAUCAGAGGGGCCCUGUCCGGGACUGGGCUCCGCCCGGCUGGUAUUGGGAGGUGCUACCUUCCGGGGGGCGUAGGUUGGUGAGGAGCCAGCCCGUCGUUGACCCGAUCCUUGUUUGGUGGCGGUCGCGUGGGCCAGUGAGGGUGCCGAGGCUUCCGGACACCGCGGAGGUGGUACGUCACCGUGUGAGCGAGGAGGAUGAGCACGUCCGUCGCUACAUGGUUGCGUUGGAGGGCAGGUUCGAGCAUACCUGGCAGGUUCUUCGGGGAUCUCACUGGAGCUAUGAUCCUGUGAUGGUUCCUUCUCUUUGGGUGUCCACCGCCCGCGCCGAUACCCGUCAGGCGCUACGGUUCUAUAUGUAUUAGUGAUGCUAUAUGUAUGAUAGUAUUCGAGGAGUAUUAAUGAUAAUAUUCGACGAUGUACGGACAAAAGUGAUGAUGUAUUAGCUUAUAAUUGAAUGCAUGCUAAUUUGAAUACUACUUUAUUUUACGAUUUGGUUUUGCUUAUUGAAUGCUCAAAUUGGAAAAUUACUCCUACUUUGAAUACUAUGCAUAAAUCUAGGAGUCUCAAAUUGGAAAAGUACUCAUACUUUGGUUUUUGGUACAAAGGUUAAGAGAAUCCAUUUUUGCAGAACUAUGGAUCCACAUAUCAGGAACCUCGAAGAGGAAGAACUUCUAGAAGAUAUAAUCAAAGACGGCCCCGACGUUGAACCAGUUGAAUCUCCGUCGUUAUAUCUAAACCAGGACGUUGGAAUGGAGGUCGAGCAACACGAAGAUGAAGCCGAUGGGGCAGGAGAUAGGUCCAAUGACGGAGAAGGUGAUAGCUCCACUGAUGGAGAAGCCGGUGAAGAGGAGAAGUCCGACGAGGUAUACAUAUGAAGUUCGACAAUCACUUGUAAUAUGUGAAAAAUAUUGGAGAUAGCUCUAUAUUGUAUACAUAUACAUUCAUUUGACGAAUGUUUCUCCCUCUUAGGCCUCCACAUCGAGCAAAACUACGAAACGAGGCCCGACUAGAAAGUUGGAUGCACGGACGCAUUACACAUUUGAGGUGAUAUUUCCUAUGAGCGAACCCAAGCUUCCUAAGAAUGCUGCUGACACAUUCAAGAAGAAAUGCGGAGUUCUCGUUAGGGAUCACGUCUCGAUCAGCGUUCCAGAGUGGAACAAGCGCAAAGGGGCAGCCGAUAGUGACUAUGUCGCCGAAAGGUACAAAGAUAAUCUUCGGAAUGAACUCAUGUCACAUUUCAACCUGCCAGAAUGUGAGAAUGAAGACGCCGCAGACAAACUGAGGGCCAAAGUCAAGCAGUGGACUCUGAAGAAGAUGGCCGAACUGUUCCGUGGCUGGAAGAAGAAGCUAUGGAAAAACUAUCUGAAGACACAGAAAGUGCCAGUAUUCGAGGGGUAUCUAGCCAAGCAGGCGAAUCACUGGAAGGCAUUUCAAGAGUACAAGGAGUCAGAAGAUGCCCAGGCAUUAUCAGAAAAGAACAAGAUAAGUGCCGACAAGAAGAUAUAUCACCACAAGCUGGGGCCAGGGUGCUAUGAGACUGCCAUCCCAAAGUGGGAUAAGAAAGAGCAAGAUCUUAUAGAUAAAGGUGUCGUACCUGAACCACUCCGUGAUGAGUGGGAAUUGAGAGCAAGAAAUUGGUUCCUUGCGCAUGACGGGUUGUACGACGAAACAACAGGGGACCUCAUCUGCAAUGACAAUCUUAGGAUACCGAGGGAGAAUUGGAAAAGGAUAGUGAAAGAAAUUAAGGAGGUUAGAAGAAAGUUCACUGCAGAUAGAGAGAAAGAUUUGCUCACACUGGUCCUCGGCAAUGACGAACAUGGAGGACGAACGCGAGGCUUCGGUCCUUCUUACCCGUGGUGGCUUGGGUUUGGCAGAGACCAAGACACUUACAGAAGCCGAGAGAGAGCAAAGAAGCGGCAGCAGGAUGAGGAGAAUGACAAGUUCAACCAGUUGCUUGCCAGGAUUAACGAGCAACAGAAGCAGAUUGAUGAGCUUAGAGGAGUACCGCGCCAGGAAGAUCCUGCAGUUGAUAUUACCGGCGCCCCAUCUAAGCGGAAAAGCAGCGUGGCUGAAUCUGAGGCCCCGCCCGACGAUGAAUGAAGAAUGAAAGAGGGCGGUCCCGGCUACCCCGUGGAUGGAAUCAAGGAGUCAACAUCAUGUGAACUCCAUUAGAAAUUCAAGAACAUAUCCAUGAAGGUGGCCGUCGGACAAGCUUGAGUAUUCUAUAGURUCACCANNNNNNNNNNNNNNNNNNNNNNNNNNNNNNNNNNNNNNNNNNNNNNNNNNNNNNNNNNNNNNNNNNNNNNNNNNNNNNNNNNNNNNNNNNNNNNNNNNNNUCCGCCGGACGCCGAACGCUCCCGGCCGCCCGCCACGCUCACCCGCCCCGUUUCCGCCUCGCCGCCGCCACUCACCGGACGUCGCCGGGACGCCCGCCGCACCCGUUCCCAACCACGCCGACGCUCCCGCCACCGCACGCGUCGCCCUCGCCACCUCGCCGGACGUCGACGCUCCUACCCGGCCACCCCGACGCCUCCCCGGGCCUCACACCAGCCACCUCCCUCGCCUAGCCACCACCACCAACUSSCCGGAYGGGGACUCGCCGCCGCCUCCCCGACCCGUCGCCACCGCCGGAGGGUCACCGGAGCCGCUUCCCCGACCUCGUCUCCGCCUCCUGUCAUCGCCGGGGACCUCGCCGGAGCGCCUCCACCUCGCUGUGAGCCUCCAUCUUCCCUGUAGCCGUUGGAUCUCAAAUAUACGUGUUAGAUUAGAUGGCAGAUAACCCUUCGGUUUUCAGUUAAAAAUCGAGCCGGUUUACUUCACUUAAUUUUAGCCGAAGAGGUUUUGGUUAAAUAGCGGUAGUUUGCUAGAACCCCCACAACACUCACACCCCUUAGCCAAUGAGAGCACGCCACAUACCCCCCCCCCCCGUCGCACUAGUUAGAUUUUUCUAUUUUUAGUUUAAUUCAAAAACAGAGGCAGUUUUGUUUUGCUCAUAACUUUUGAUCCACAACUCCAACGAGGUUGAUUAUUUUUCGAGUAGAUAACAAUUUUUCUGUAGUUUUUAAAAACAUAUAAUUUGUCUAUGUUUGAAAUUUUCAAAUUUGAAUUAGAUCAGAUUUAUUUUAAACCUUGUUUUGCCUUUUCCAGGAGUUUAAAAAUAGCUUUUAAUUUGAUUCCUUUUGCUACUGAUCACUAGUGAUCUUAUUUAUCAGUGAUAAAAAUUUCAGAUUUGUUUGAGUAUUUUAGCUCAUUGUUUCUUGUGAAACAAUUUCUGUUUCACCUCUUUUAGGAUUAUGUCUAUUUCCUUUUCUAUAAUUGUUUUUAAAUUAUUUUCUUUUAUAUUUCAAAAAGAUUAUGUUUUGUUUCUGUUAGUUAACAGUAGGUUUGCAACAAGUUUUGAUUUUUAUUUUUAUAUGUUAUCAUGAAAUCAAUUCUAGUUCCCUAAUAACUUGCAAUUGGUUUCUCUACUGUUUCAAAUCCCGUUUGGAAAUACUUUCAAAAAGUUUUGUGAAAAAUAGUUUAUUUUAUCUUAGUUAAAUUUAUAUAUUAGUUCCCUGUUAUUAUUUUCCGUUGGACAAAAACUAUUUAGUGUUUGAUGUAGUAGAGGACUCCCUAGUCUUAUUUGAAGUUUCCUUCGGAUUCCUAUUCGCUCCCUCUUUUGUUUUGAUUGCUAGAAUGAUUGCUAGUAUGAGUGCUUAUGUGAAUGAUAUGUUUGUUAUAUAGAUUUCAUCGAAGAGUGACGAGUAGUCUAUCAAGAUAUUUCUCAAGAAAUUCUUCUUCGCCAACAUCACCAGGCAAGUCAUUUGAUCAUGUAUCACCUAUGUUUUAUGCAUCGUAGUUCUACCAUCCUAUGCCCAAUUGCAUGCUGAGUAGGUACUUGGAAAUUAUGGUUACAUAUUGUAGUAUCAUGUGGUAGGCACCCAACAACCCCGUUACUUGGCCCGGGAUGACAAAUUUCAUAUUGCUAUGCUUGAGUAGACGGGAUUCUGGUUGAUAGUUUACCACGAGUGAAGCGAGAAUAAUUUAAUAACCAAGACCGGUUAAGUCAAGACUUUUCAAGACCUCGUGAUGCAAUGCAACUCUGGGUGAAGGACGGUUGAUCGGCUCCCUGGAGAAACCAGUGGAUGACCCGGGAUGCUGGAGACGGCCAUGACAUCUUGCGGAAAGCUUCACCCAGGCUCAAAGAGACGGACGGAUAUUUUCAAGACCCAAGGCUUACCUGCACAGCCACAAGUCAUUAUGGGCUCUGGCUUGGUUGGACAACGCGGCGACUCUGGACAGGCGGUGCUAGCAGAUGUAGAAGAACGGUAGGAUUGGAUGGGCACCGACAGGGAUUCAGAGGGACCCGUUGAAAGACCAUGUUUUGAUCAUCCGGUCUUCAAACACCCUGAAGUGCGAGGACAUACUCGGAGGCGAUCAAAUCUUGUGGUGAACGUGUGCAAAACUCUGCAGAGUACUCAAACCUAAUCGAUUAGCCGUGUCCACGGUCAUGGACAACUUGAGCCAAAGGAACUGAAGUUAUCUGAAAUUCUCAACACAAAUAAUAAUAUUGAUGUGGGUAUUAUUGACAACAUGGGUACGAGAAUUGGUUGGUGGAACCAUCUCGUUAACAACCAACAAUGUAGUAACAUUUUGCUUUUAGCCCUCUCUUGAUGUAGGAGAAAACUUGUUUUUCGGCUAAAAACUUAUUGCCCCACCUGCCAUAUAUGCAUAUAGUAUAGAUGAUUGCUUUUCACCCCUCUCUUAUGUGACUUGCCGGCAUAUUCAAUAUGCUGACCUACACGGCUGCAACGUCUUAUGUUGCAGAUAUUUUCUUCGACGAGUAAGAGUACGAUUCAGGGUUAUGGUCUACACUCAACUUGCCGUUGGUGUUUAUUGGGACUCCACUCCCUUGACUGCUUCCGCUGAGAUAUUUAAGGUAUAUAUCAGUUUUACGCUAUUUACAUAUGAUUGCACUUUGAUAUAUACAUUGAUGUACUGUGUGUGCCAGCAUACUGAUCCAGGGAUGGCACAGAAACACAGAGGCUUGACUCGUUUUGAGUCAGGUCACUACAGAAAUGGUAUCAGAGCACAUGUUGACUGUAGGACGUGACCCUAGAAACUGGAAACUUCUUAUGAUAGGAUCUCUCAAAAAAAUCUUAUUUUCGAAUACACCUUUCACUUCUCAUCUCUUCUAAUUUCAUCAAAUGUUCUCUCUCACUUCAAAUAGCUAUACAAUCCCCUUACCCCUUUGACCUCAUGAAGAAUCAACGGAGUUCUACUUCAAAGUAAAGAGGAUUUCACCAUGCAUUUGAAGAAUUGAAGCUACACCUAUUGAAGACCCUGAAGCGUUCGAAUAAUUAUAUGACCAUUAGAAGUCCAAAGCCCAAUUAUGUACCCACGUUAGUUACGAUGAUUUGUGAGCCGUCAUUGGUGUGUGUUUUCCGACGACCACAACUAAAACCUAUUCUCAAAAAAAAUUGUAUUAUGUGUAUCUCCCUCCCUCUCUUACCCGUCUCAUCCCCAAAACCUCAACCCUACUAGAUGGAGUAUGAAGCUGGACUUGUAGUCUCUGGACCAAUGACCCAGCUGGAGGCUGAAAUAUGGAUUCAGAACAUGGAGAACCACUUCGGGAGCAACUUGAUCUCAAGGAAGUAUGAAGUGGAACACGCUCUCCAGUACUUUACCCAAAGUGCUGCUAUCUGGUGGAAAAUGCACCAUGCCAUACAAGGAUUUAGUGGAGCAGAAACCUGGGACGAAUUCAAGAACACUCUAUUAAGAUCCCGAUUAUUCAGAAAUGCUANNNNNNNNNNNNNNNNNNNNNNNNNNNNNNNNNNNNNNNNNNNNNNNNNNNNNNNNNNNNNNNNNNNNNNNNNNNNNNNNNNNNNNNNNNNNNNNNNNNNUUGUUGGGUGCCUACCACAUGAUACUACAAUAUGUAACCAUWAUUUCCAAGUACCUACUCAGCAUGCAAUUGGGCAUAGCAACAUAACUACGAUGCAUAAAACAUAGGUGAUACAUGAUCAAAUGACUUGCCUGGUGAUGUUGGCGAAGAAGAAUUUCUUGAGAAAUAUCUUGAUAGACUACUCGUCACUCUUCGAUGAAAUCUAUAUAACAAACAUAUCAUUCACAUAAGCACUCAUACUAGCAAUCAUUCUAGCAAUCAAAACAAAAGAGGGAGCGAAUAGGAAUCCGAAGGAAACUUCAAAUAAGACUAGGGAGUCCUCUACUACAUCAAACACUAAAUAGUUUUUGUCCAACGGAAAAUAAUAACAGGGAACUAAUAUAUAAAUUUAACUAAGAUAAAAUAAACUAUUUUUCACAAAACUUUUUGAAAGUAUUUCCAAACGGGAUUUGAAACAGUAGAGAAACCAAUUGCAAGUUAUUAGGGAACUAGAAUUGAUUUCAUGAUAACAUAUAAAAAUAAAAAUCAAAACUUGUUGCAAACCUACUGUUAACUAACAGAACAAAACAUAAUUUUCUGAAAUAUAAAAGAAAAUAAUUUAAAAACAAUUAUAGAAAAGGAAAUAGACAUAAUCCUAAAAGAGGUGAAACAGAAAUUGUUUCACAAGAAACAAUGAGCUAAAAUACUCAAACAAAUCUGAAAUUUUUAUCACUGAUAAAUAAGAUCACUAGUGAUCAGUAGCAAAAGGAAUCAAAUUAAAAGCUAUUUUUAAACUCCUGGAAAAGGCAAAACAAGGUUUAAACUAAAUCUGAUCUAAUUCAAAUUUGAAAAUUUCAAACAUAGACAAAUUAUAUGUUUUUAAAACUACAGAAAAAAUUUUAUCUACUCGAAAAAGAAUCAACCUCGUUGGAGUUGUGGUUCAAAAGUUAUGAGCAAAACAAACUGCCUCUGUUUCUGAAUUAAAACUAAAAAUAGAAAAAUCUAACUAGUGCGAGGGGGGGGGGUAGUGUGGCGUGCUCUCAUUGGCUAAGGGGUGUGAGUGCUGUGGGGUUCUAGCAAACGACCGCUAUUUAACCAAAACCUCUUCGGCUAAAAUUAAGUGAAGUAAACCGGCUCGAUUUUUAACUGAAAACCGAAGGGUUAUCUGCCAUCUAAUCUAACACGUAUAUUUGAGAUCCAACGGCUACAGGGAAGAUGGAGGCUCACAGCGAGGUGGAGGCGCUCCGGCGAGGUCCCCGGCGAUGACAGAGGCGGAGACGAGUCGGGGAAGCGGCUCCGGUGACCCUCCGGCGGUGGCGACGGGUCGGGGAGGCGGCGGCGAGUCCCCUCCGGCGAUUGGUGGUGGUGGCUAGGCGAGGGAGGUGGCUGUGUGAGCCCGGGGAGGCUCGGGGUGGCCGGGUGGAGCUCGACUACGGCGAGGUGGCAGGGCGACGCUGCGGUGGCGGGGAGCUCGGGCUGGUUGGGGAAACGGGGUGCGGCGGGGCUCCCGCAUCCGGUGAUGGCGGCGGCGAGGCGAAACGGGGCGGGGUGAGCUGCGGGGCGCCGGGGAGCUUCGGCUCCGGCGAGGUGGCGGCAGGGGCGACGGAGCUUGGGCAGGGGCGGCGAGGAGGGGGAACGGGGCGAGGAGAGGGGCUCGGGGCCGGCUACUUAUAGGGGAGAGGGGAGACUGCGGAGGGAAGGAGAUCGGCGAGGCGGGGGCAAGUCCGGCAAUGGCGGGGUGGCCGGCUGGGCAAGGAAAGUGGAGGGAGGCGCGGGGGAGAGAGAAGGAAGGAGAGGUGGGCGCGGGGUGCGCUGGAGGCGGGGUCGACCAGGUGGGGGAACGGGUGGGGCCGGGCGUCAGCGAGGGGGUGCGGGAGGGGUUCGGUCAGUUUGACCGAGAGGAAAAAAGGGGAAGGGAUCCCGGGCCAGGGGGGUGGGCCGAUUCUAUAAUGCGCCCACGCGCUUUCCUCUUAAAAAAAUCCGUUUCCUGUUUUAGUCUUUUUUCAAAAACAAAAACUAAAACAAAUAAAAAGGCAACAAACAAAAUAGUUAAUAUAGGGUAUUAUAUACCAAAAUGAUCAGAAAAAUAUCCUCUACUCGAUUAACAUUUUUCCAAAACCAAAUAAAAACUUUUUAAAAAUGUUUUUUUCCUAGAAAAAUCCCUAAGGAUUUAUUUUCUUUUUGUCAAUUAAUUUCUUGAUAAAACUUUGGCUCAAAAUAUUUCAGAAAUGCCUCACAUUUUGGAGGGUCAUUUUCCUCCGCUCUUUCUUGCGUGCAAGAAUUUUGUCGGGGCAUUUUCUCGGGGAAGAAAAAUAUAGAAAAGCAAAAGGAAUUUUUUUGAAAGAAUUCAAAUGCAAACUCCAUUCAAAUUCUUUAUAGUUGAAGAAGUCAUGUCAUCUUCUCUCUUUGCUUUUAAAAGAUUGAAUUUGAAUUCAUCGGAGAUGGGGAAAGUCAUUUUAUUCCCUCUCAUUAAAAAGUUUUUGAAAAGUUUCAAAUUUCACUCAAGUUUCAGUCACUCAAGCAAACAAACAAACAAUAUAAUAAUUAUAUUAACAUUCUAAAAUUUAGGAUGUUACUCGUUUUGUGACCUGUGUUGGGGCUGGGCUGAUGCACUACGUGACAGUUGGUUGCAUGCAGUUCACCCCAUUAAGAGGUAAGAACUAAGAACUUCACAUGACACACGUAAAGUUACAAUAGAGGAAAAAUGUAUAGCUCCAUGCCUCUAGCGAGUUAAAAAAAACACGACAUGAAAGUUAUGUGGAACAAUGAGAUGAAGCCAAUGUCUAUUUUUUUUCAAACGGUCGAGCAUGUGCGAUGGAUUUGUGGAAUUUCGACUAAACCACCACAUAAACACCAUAGUGUCAAAAAUGGUAUUAUAUUACGAGACAGAGGAAUUACAAUAGAGAGAUACACAUAUGUUUACGACCGUCCAAAUAGAAACAUACAGAAAGUCGUGUCCAACAACAACGAGAUGAGACUACAUAUCAAAGGAAGUUUCAAACAUUUACGGCGCGCGAUGAGUUUGGUAAAAUCUAACAAAAAUAGCUCUAAACACGAAGACGCGAAGGUAAACAUAUGCGGUCAGUGAAACUAUAAACCGGUCGUCCGAAUGGGACCGCAUCGUCAAUGUGUAUCUUUUUCAUGUAACCUUGAAUCGAAAGACCCUUCUUGUUAGAAACAAGGGUUCACAAACGGAAGAAAGCUCAAAGCCGAAGGCCACGCAACACAUGGAUCCACCAGCCGUUCGAUGGCACCAAGAAUCGCUAGGAACGAUGCAGUUAGUUAAACUAAACUAAACUAAAACUAAACUGAUCCUGACGGGCGGGCAGCGUGGUUCCGCCGGAGCCAAUCACGCGCACGUCACCGAGCCGCGGACCGCAGGCAGGCAGGCAAGCGGCCUUCGGCGCAGCGGAUAACGCCGGCCGGCCGGCUUCCGGUGGGCAAAGUCAAAUACGCCACCCGCGUCGUCACGGAGUGAGGGGUUGGUGAGGCAAGCAAGGCGGGCGGGCCCCGCGCCCCCUGACGCCACCCGCGCCCAGCCGGUCCACGCGUCCCCCCGGGCGGCGGCGGGGCCCGCGCGUCAUCCGCACGCCGGCCCGUGCGCCGGGUCCAGCCCGCCCCCCGCCGCUUUGGCGCCUCCCCCUCCCCUCCCCACUAGUCCUCCUCCUCCACCACCACCACCCGAAAGAGCUUCUAGAAGCUUCCCCGAUUCGCCACCGCUCCCCCAAACCCAAMUCGGCGACGCCGCCGGUCGGACGCUCGUAUCCUCGGAGGAGGAGGAAGAGGUGGCCUCCGGGUAGAAGCCGCGCGGAUUCGGUGCGGGGGCUCUGAGGCACCCCUCCCCCCCAUCCAUCCCGGGCGGGGGCCCGAGGGCUGACCACCGACCAACUGGCCGCGGCCCGCCGGCGCCACGCCGAGCCCCGCUCCGGACGACCGCGCCGACCGUACGCCGUACGCGCCCCCGCUCUGAGCUCGUCUCCCGCCCCCACUUCCUGUUAGCUUGUUUCGGUUCGUUUUGCCGUUCCGGAUCAGGAUACCUGUCUGUUGUUGUACCUACCGUAUGUGUCUCCGAUACGGUGGAUGGAUCAUGGCUGACACGACAGGCCGAGUGGUGAAGAACAGCCCUGCCUGGCCAUGCUUUGCUUGUUACCGGAUUCGUGUGCUUAGCUCCUCCAGUGGCACUGGCACUGUGCAAACUAACCGAUGUGUACCCUUCUGGGAGAUUGGACCACCAGCCUGUUAGGGUUUGAAGAUAGGCACUUACUAGUUCAUAAAUGUGCAUUAUCCUUGUUCCAGCAUGCUAAUAAUUUGCAUCAUGCUGUGUAUCUUCGUACUACUGCGUACUAAGGAAAACAUCUUUUGUUGCAGGCCAUACGGUUGUAGUAAAUCCUAGGCAGCUACUAAUCUGGAUUCUUGGAGAGAAAAGUAAGUAGUAAGUACGACCAUGCACUGUAUUUCGUUACAUGUAUGUAUGCAGUUACUGUCUUUGAAUAAUUGAAUUACUUAUCUGUCAGAGUUGCUUACUUUCUUUUCAUCGUUACAAAUAGAUUCCGGCAACGACCCAUCUCCCGCAGCACAGGCUGGGCUCACCACUUUGCUGUUAGGAAGGGGGGAGCAGAGUGAUUUGCUGUCUCAUUGUGAUUGUGGUCCGCUGAGUGAUGGCAGAUGCUAGCUCAAGGACUGACAACUCAACUGUUGUAGACAACGACGGCAAGAUCUAUAGGGUAAUCAUGCUUCUGAAUUUUGGGUUUUAACUGUCCCCCCUCUUCUUUAUCGAAAGAGGCUUUAAGCUGAACUCAACUAUGUAAGCACCUAUGUCUUUACCUGCACCAUUUUCUAGAGAUAAAAUAGAUAAUUGUUAUGCUCACACACCGUUUUAGCAUUUGAACUGUGAGUCCCGCUGUGAUUGGAAUUAAUUGUUAUAGCUUAACAGCAGAGUUGAUAAUCGUAAGUUAUAUAACACUACUGUGGCCUGAUCUGGUAAUUAGUAGGACUUGGAUUCUGGAGCCACAAGAACUGAAAAAAUAUACCGUCGAAGACAUCUUCGUAUUCUAUAACAGCAGUAAUGAAUUGUUAGUUAAAAAUAACUAUAUUACCCUAUGAUUCACAUGUUGUUCACUUGCUCAUAUGGAUCAGCUAUGAAGCACUGUUAUGUCGACACCCAUAUGGAAAUACGAGCAUGGGAACACCGGACAUGGCAAUUUCUAGAAACAGCAAUACGGCGAGUAUAUAUAUAAGUAAUUAAUUAAAUCACAUGUAAUAAAGGCAAAACAUAAUAGAAUGCAGGAGAUGAGAUCAAAAUACUGCCCCCCGUUGAUUGCCUCCAUGCCUCUUUCCAAGUCCUGAAUGAUCAUCAAUGUCUUCAAUCCACAUGGUGUAUGACAAAAUACUCCCUCCGUAAAGAAAUAAUAAGAGUUGUAUAGUACUACUAAYAGUAAGUAGUAGUAGUAGUAACUAACUACUAUUACUUUAYUUACUUUACGUUACGUAAGGUACGUAGUACUAGUAACUAAUUAAUUAAUUAGUUNNNNNNNNNNNNNNNNNNNNNNNNNNNNNNNNNNNNNNNNNNNNNNNNNNNNNNNNNNNNNNNNNNNNNNNNNNNNNNNNNNNNNNNNNNNNNNNNNNNNAAUUAAUUACGUACUAGUCCUCGUCACUAAGUACGACCUAAUUUAUUUCUACUAUACUUCCUACUAAUAAGUUGUACAGAGACCUUUGUUYGAAGAGAAACAACGCAUACAGUUUCAGCAUAGGCAAUCAUGAGAUAAUAAAUUCCAUUUAUUCAUGAUGUUAUUACAAUCUCAGGGACUUCUGUUACAAAAAAWUWCACUCCAUGAUCUCAUGAAAAACAAGAGUUCUUCAGAUUACACUAAUUGCCGUGGUCUAAAACUUAACUACUCCUUUUUAGCUUUCUUCCUUUGUGGACAAUCGCUAGCAAAAUGUCCUGCUUCCUUGCAACGAAAGCAAAUGAGUUCUGACAAGUCUCGAGGCGUCUUAGUGUUUGCUUUUGCUCCUUGGGUUUCCGGCUUCCUUCCUGAGCACAUGUAUUUGUGGUGGCCAAAUUCCAUACACUUGUAACAUCUGACAUGACUCAGGUCUAUAUCUACAGAGAUUUGGCUCUUCCGAGGGUACUUUUUCUUCUUUCCGGACUCCUUUAUUUUGGCCAGUUCUUCUAUUUCAAGUGGAUCAAUCUCCACUUUUUCCGUCGAGAAGUUUCCCAGAUAAUCUUGGCUUCUCUUCGUGCAAUCCUGUGAAUAAUGUCCUUCUUCUCCACAUGAGUAGCAUGCAUUGGAGAAAAAUCUGGUCAGACCUUGUCCAUCAGGGUCUUCAAUAUUUUCGUUCAUCACCGGUUCUUCUAGAAUCUUCUUCUUGAGGCUUUCCUUCACUGCAUCUUUCUGCUGCUCGACAACUUGUUGCACCUUGGGGUAAAGGUGACACUGAGCUGGGUAGUGGGUGGUUCCUUCACAAAGGAAACAAGUCACCUGACUUGUCACGCCCAAGAUGCGACCCUAUCCUCAAUUUGGCACGAAGGCCUCGUCAGGGAUAGAAGCGCAUCUCGUCGUGUCGCAAGAAUGGAUAUCGUUACAAGUACAUGUACUGAAAAGAAGAGAUAUAUAUACAGAGUUGGCUUACACUCGCCACAAGCUACAUUAGAGUCACAUCAGUACAUUACAUAAUCAUCAAGAGUAAGAGCAGGGUCCGUCUACGGACGAAAACAAACGACAAAAGAAGAACGACGUCCAUCCUUGCUAUCCCAGGCUGCCGGCCUGGAACCCAUCCUAGAUCGAUGAAGAAGAAGAAGAAGAAACAACUUCAAAUGAACAAUCAACGCGCUCGCGUCAAGUAACAUUUACCUGUACCUGCAACUGGUGUUGUAGUAAUCUGUGAGCCACAGGGGACUCAACAAUCUCAUUUCCAAAGGUAUCAAGACUAGCAAAGCUUAAUGGGUGAGGUAUGGUUAAGUGGUGAGGUUGCAGCAGCGACUAAGCAUAUAUUUGGUGGCUAACUUACGAGUACCAGAAAUAAGAGGGGGAAGAUCUACGCAUAGCGGACGUGAACUAUGGAUGAUCAAAUGAAUGAUCCUGAACCCCUACCUACGUCAGACAUGACCCCACCGUGUCCUCGAUCGGAGAAGGAACUCACGAAAUAGACAGUCACGGUUACGCACACGGUUGGCAUAUUUUAAUUAAGUUAACUUCAAGUUAUCUAGAACCAGUGUUAAACAAAGUUUCCACGUUGCCACAUAACCGCGGGCACGACUUUCCGAAAGAUUUAACCCUGCAGGGGUGCUCCAACUAGUCCAUCACAAAUUACCACAAGCCGCAUAGAAAUCCUCAAUCACGAAGCUCGCGAUCUCGUCGGAUUCCCUAGUGGAAAACCUCAACUCUGAGAUUACCCAAAGCAUCACCGGAAUCCCGAUGCACAAGAUAUCUCGUCAAAGGUAAAACUAAUCCAGCAAGGCCGCCCGACGUGUCGACGAUCCCGAUAGGAGUCGCAUACCUCAUUCUCAGGACACGACGGAUGAGCGAUGGUUACCACGCCAAACGCCGGGUUGCCCCGGGUAGCGUUAAUAAGCUGCUCUGUUUGGACCAACACUCAUGAGGAGCACUGGCCCGGGGGUUGAUUAAAAUAGUCUGCGGGUGCCGGCGGGUCCCUAUGCAUUAUUAUUAGGUUAUUAGGCAAAUGUAGUACCAAUGUUGGGCCUUGCCAGACCAGCUUUAAUCUAAAACGAAUUAUCAAGGGGGUCCCCAUAACAACCCCGAUCGUGUUAGGAGCGCUCAAUUAUGGAACAUAACACCGGUAGCCGGAAACUAAGGGGGCAAAGGUGGAACAAAACACCAGGCUAGAAAGGCCGAGCCUUCCACCUUUUACCAAGUAUAUAGGUGCAUUAAAUUAAAUAGCAUUUAAUAGGGUGAUAUGACAAGGAACCCAUGUUAUCACAUGGAAGCAUCUGCACCUGCAACUAGCAGCGCUAUCAACAGGGUUAAGCAAGCAGUAACAUAGCCAAUCAGUGGUUGCUAGGUUGAACAGGUUGNNNNNNNNNNNNNNNNNNNNNNNNNNNNNNNNNNNNNNNNNNNNNNNNNNNNNNNNNNNNNNNNNNNNNNNNNNNNNNNNNNNNNNNNNNNNNNNNNNNNUAAGUUCCUAAAUACUACGAAUUSURCUCCCUUCMWAMGUAAUWCAAAAUUAGUUGCWACUACAACUAUUUGAGGGAACCAACUAUGAUUCCAAUGGAACAUAUUAAACACUAGUUGAUUCUAAUACGAUUUUUCAGAUUAUGGAACACUAUUCCAAUUAGAUUGUGCCCCCCUUCAACUAAUCAAAAUUGUUUCACUACAACUAUUUGAAGGGAACCAACUAUGAUUCCAAUGGAACAUAUUAAACACUAGUUGAUUCUAAUACGAUUUUUCAGAUUAUGAAACACUAUUCCAAUUAGAUUGUGCUCCCCUUCAAGUAAUCAAAAUUAGUUGCACUACAACUAUUUGAAGGGAACCAACUAUGAUAGAAACAAAUAAACUUAUACAAUGUCAUUAUCUUGGAUCAAAGAAAGCCUCAAAACUUACCUCGCCCAUUGGAAGAUCAAGACAUGGCUUGCGAAGCAUAUUUGGAUGACAGCAACACCGCGUUGAUCGGCCGUGUACUCCAGAUCCAGCCCGAAGAACUUCUCAUGAACCGGUGCGUGGUUAAACCAUCGUUCCUUCAACUGUUGAAGGAAAAACGGCACCUCCGUGCUCAGGUUCGUGUACACGACACGGAGCUUCGUCGAGCCAUGCUCGACCACCUCAUGAAAGGUAGUUGGCAUGGUGGAAGAAGAGAAGGGAAGAAGAGAGGAGAAGAACAGAGAGGGCGACGCGAGAGAGAAGAAGAACAGAGAGGGCGACGCGAGAGAGAAGAAGAACAGAGAAAUGGCGACUGUACGCUUCGGUUCGUGCUUUUCAUCGCCCGAAACGACGCGUGAUGCAAACCGUUUGGGCCUUUAAUCCCGAUUUGAGCCACCAACCGGGACUAAAGAGGUAUACCAAACGGUUGCCACCACUACGGCAGGCCACGUGUUAGGCUUUUAGUCCCGGGUUCAACCACCAGCCGGGACUAAAGAGGUACGACAACGGUCGCCCCACUACGGCAGGCCACGUGUUAGUCCUUUAGUCCCAGGUUGAGCCACCAACCGGGACUAAAGAAGUAUACCAACCGUCGCCACAACCACGACAUGCCACGUGUUAGUCCUUUAGUCCCGGGUUGAGCCACCAACCGGGACUAAAGGGGGAUACGAACGGUUGCCACCACCACUGCCCGCCGCGUAGCCCUUUAGUCCCGGUUUGUGACUCGAACCGGGACUACAGGCUCCUUACGGGACGGGACUAAAGCCUCGAGGGAGGCGUUGAGAAUUGGGGCGACGUGGCCGGGCCUUUAGUCCCGGCCCAGAGGCAGGCCGGGACUAAAUGGUCCAGGCCAAAGGCCCGUUUUCUAUUAGUGGCCGAAUCAUUAAAAAAUAUGUUAAGAAGCAGGAUCACUUAUAUUAAUUGAUUGAUGAUGAAACUGUUAAUAUAUAUCGUUCCAUUUGACUUGCUACUAAACAAAAUUAUCAUCAAACGAUGGAUCGAUAACCCUGAAGGCGCAUGUUGCAUGAUUCCAACCUGUGGAAGGUGUCAGCUGUUUUAAUUCGCUCUAUGGUCAGAUCGAUAGAUUCCAUUCCAACCAUGCGCCAUCAGUACGUAGUUUACUGUCAGCUUAGGCAAUAACUACAUCAAGUUAGUUGGCAUAUUUUGCUGCCAUGCAUGGUCAACAGAAGGAGAGCUCGUUACCGUUUAGGGCUCUAGCUAGGCGUUUACCAAAGUGUAUAAUUAUACUGUACUCCCUUGUAUAGAUGCAGCGUGCAGCUAUAUGCUUAUUUCCGGUAAGUACAGUAGUAAUUAAGUCGCUGUGAUAGGUGACAAUCAUGGAGCUGACCAGCUCUCACGCUUCACCUGCUCGACUUGGGCCGGCGGUGCUCCGGUUCCUCGCCGUGGUAGCCGUGAUGAUGGUCACAUCGAGCCAGCUCCUGCCCAUCAUUAGCUGGUCUUUCUUGCCACGACGGCAAGCUGCAGCUUCUGGCCAUGGUCGUGCUCCUGGGAGAUGCGUGAUGUUCAACUUCGGAGACUCCAACUCCGACACCGGAGGGCUCGUCGCCGGCGCGGGGUUCCGGCUUCACAGGCCCCAUGGCCGCCUCUUCUUCGGCAGRCCCAGCGGCCGGUUCUCCGACGGCCGCCUCUACAUCGACUUCCUCUGUACGUCUAAUGUAUGUACUAUGCAUGUGUUCUCCUUGGAUUAUGCACACGAAAUAAGGCUCAUCAGUUCAGUUUGGUGGCGUGCAGGCGAGAGGCUGGGGUUGGACUACCUGAGCCCGUACCUGGAGUCGUCCGGCGUGUCCUUCCGCCACGGGCCAACUUCGCCGCCGCCGGCGCCGCCACGGCGCAGACUGCCGACACCGGGCAGUUCAGCCUACCGACGCAGCUGCGCCAGUUCCGGCAUUUCAAGGCCCGCACGGCGGAGCUCCUCCCGCUAGGUACGUACGUCCAUGGAUAUGCAUGCAUGCGCAACAAAACUAAAGCCAUCUGUCUGGAAUGCUGGAUGCAGGGCUCGGGUCUGGCAUCACCGACGAGGAGUUCCGACACGCCGUGUACACGUUCGACAUUGGGCAGAACGACAUAUCCGUCGCCUUCACMGCCAACCUCACGCAAGAAGGCAUCCUUGGGAGCGUCGUCCCGGCCAUCGCCACGAGGAUCAGAAACGCCGUCAAGGUGAGCCAAUCGAGCUGCCACUCCAAACACUUCAGAUGGAUUGCGUUGGCACGACGAUCUCUUGUAAUCUCCUGUUCUCCUCAUCAUAGGUCGUCCAUCCAAGACGGUGUACGAGGCCGGCGGGCGCAAGUUCGUGCUCUACAACACGGGCCGUUCGGGUGCCUGCCCAGCACGCUGGCACAGCACCGGACACGCCCAGGCCGAGGCGGCGGACACGAGCUCGAUGGCGCGGGGUGCCUCGCCGGCCACAACGGCGUCGCCGAGGCCCUCAACGCGCGCCUGCGCCGCCUCCGGGACGACCUGGCCGCGGAGCUGCCGGCCGCGGCCGGCGUCGGCGUGGACAUGCACGCCAUCAAGUACGGCCUCUUUGCCAACCACAGCGCGCACCGCUUCAGCAGCCCGCUCACGGCGUGCUGCGGCGCCGGCGGGCCACCGUACAACUACGAGCCGGGCGCCGCGUGCGGGACCGCCAAGGCGAAGGCCUGCUCGGAGCCGGAGGGAGGCAGGCGCAUCAGCUGGGACGGGGUGCACUACACCGAGGCGGCGAACCGGAUCGUCGCCGACAAGAUACUGUCCGCCGAGUACAACACCCCUCCUCUUCCUCUGCAAACGAUGUGCGAGGGAGACGGCGACACCUAGGGUGCGUGGGGUAUCCGAGAGCCACAAAUCCUCUUCCUACAGAGCUAGUACUUAUUUCAUAGCAUAUUUUUAUUAAAUAUUAGUCAUUUUUCUCGGAUGAACGGGAGCAGAAAUAGGGAUGGCAAUUGAUCUGGAUACGGUUAGGCAAGGGUAUGAAACGCAUUUGGAUCUGGAUAUCCACGAAAAAUCGGAUUAGACACGGUUGUAAUUUUUGCUUCAUGGAUAUCCAAUUAAGGAUACCCGUAUGACACGUGGUCCUCUAUGAUAGUGACACUAAACUAAGAAAAAAUGUUUAACCCCAAGUCACUCGCGGUCACAGAAGGUCAAAGUCCAGCCAUGUUCUCUAUUCCCCCACAACUCCACUAACAUAAUUAUUAAACCUAGUCUUAGUUAAUGAAAGAUCAUGAGUUAAUUUGAUCUUUGAAAAGACUUCAUUCUCAUUUUUCGAUGCCCAUGGAGCUUCAUGGUAUUUAAAUACCCAAUGAAUUUGGGCAUGAGCACAAUUUUUGCUCAUGAAUGCUUUGAUGGAUGGAUAGAGGAUAGAAAGAUGGGUCAUGGGUUAAAUUUGGACCAGUUUCACCCGUCCCAAACCCGACCCAUUGUCAUCCCUACGCAGAAACACGCGUCCUUACUUUCUAGUGAUUGAAUAUAAGAUGAACGGAUGCAGAAACAUGGGUCUUUACUUCCUAGUGAUUAAACACGCGUCUUUACUUUCUAGUGAUGGGAUAUGAACUGGUCUGUAGCAAAGGAAGAUACUAUGUGACAUGGCAUUCGUGGUAUUUUUUAAGGGCAGUGAUACGCGCCUGCAGCACGUAGGAGCCAUCCGAUCCGCCUUCCGCUUAUGUCAUCGUUUUCUUUUCCCUUCCCCGCGCAUGCGUCUUGGUUCAGAUUCGCCGGUGAUAUGUAACCAACAGAACAAGAUUUAAGUCCUAAACUUAACACGUGAGGUCAUUUUUUUCUUGAUUUAUUCCAAGCUUUUUAGCUCUAUUCUUUGAGUGGUAUGACGUGCCCGUCACAUACUACACAUCUUUGACGAUUUCGUCAAUCCCAAGAUUUGUGAACCCUAUCUUUAUGAAGUACUUGAGAGUCUACAUUUGUGUUUCUCAAAAUAAAUAAAUAAAAGGCUAUCCCUAUGAAAAGUGAGAAACCUAGGGCAAAAGAUAAAUUAACUCAACUAGCUGAGAAUUAAUUUGGUCUCAUUUACAUCCUCAACCAUUAGAUCAAAUACAUCAUGAUUAGUGCAGAGCGACUAACCUAUGCAGCGAUGUGUGUCCGGGCGUUAUCCUGGUAUUUAUUUUUCUUCGUAUAGUAUGGCAAGCGUCCAGUAGAUGAGCUAUACUUUUUUGUUGUCGGGCUAGCAUUGUUUUUAACGUUCGAUGCUACAAGCCUUGGCGCUUUUCUUGUUGCUUCUUUUUCGCCCCCUUUUUUGCAGUUGUUUGUUUUGUUUGACUAUGUAUAAUUUAUAUGAUUAAUUUUUAGAAAAGUAAUUGUUUUUUUAGAAUUUUUUGUAUGAGAACUUUUUUUUUGCGUGUUAUUGUCAUUUGCUUAACUUUUUGAAUCAUGUCAUUGUCAUCUGUUGACUGUAUCUGCCAGGGUCAUCUUUUUUGUAACGACUUUCCUUUCCAUUUUUUCUCUCCUGAUUAAUUAUUGUUUAUUGUUUAUUUUUUUCUUUUUAUAUUAAUGACAUUAAUAUUUAAAGUCGGGCCACAACUGCAAGAAUUGAAAUGUGACCGCAACUGCAAAUAUUUGAAGCCGGGUUGCAACUGUAAAUAUUUAAAGUCGGGUCGCAACUGCAAGUAUUCAAAGUCGGGUGACAACUGCAUGUAUUUGAAGUCGAGCCGCAACUGCAAGUAUUCAAAGUCGGAUCGCAAUUGCAAGUAUUCAAAGUCUAAUCGCAACUGCAAGUAUUCGAAGUCGGACUGCAACUGCAAGUAUUCAAAGUCAGGUCGCAAUUGAAGUAUUCAAAGUCUAGCCGCAAGUGCAAGUAUUCAAAGUCGGAUCGCAAUUGCAAGUAUUCAAAGUCUAAUCGCAAUUGCAAAUAUUCAAAGUCAAGUCGCAAUUGCAAGUAUUCAUAGUCGGUGCGCAAUUGCAACUAUUUAUAGUCGGGUCGCAGCUACAAGUAUUCACAGGCGGGUCGCAACUGCAAAUCUUAUUUAUGCAGCAACUACAUGAAAAAGCUAGAAUCAACUUAAUUUUUACGAAGAAAAAACAAAUUAUUACAUCACAAUUCCUAUAAUAAGGACACACUACUUCUUUGUACAAGAAUGUUUUAGUGGUCAAAGUAGUUGAAGCUAACAAGCCAUUACGUGACUUUUUUGUCUUAUUCUUUUUGUUCUCUAUCGGUGAUUUCUUUUUUAAAAGAUGCGACGUGCAACAACAAGAACCGAAUGAGUAAUUAUUGGGCCGGUUAGAUGGGGCGCAUAGCAACCACAACAAAAAUAUGACAUGUGAACCCAAAAGAAUAAAAUGAUGGAUUAAAGGAAACAAAAAGAAUAAAUACAAAAUACAAUAAUAUUAUGUGAAUGAGACCAUAGAAAAUCUCAGCUAUCUGAGUUGGAGGCACUCCCUUAACUCAAUGAUAAAGUGAAAAUCAAAUAGUAUAAAUAAAUGUUAUAAUACAACUCUUUAAGGAUUAAGAAAUUGUCCUGGUUUGAUUGACGACUAAUAUAUAAUACUAAUAAAAAAUCCAUGAUCCAAACAGAUCAACAAUACUCAAUCAUACAUGGCGCUCAAUAGAGGAGUUAGUACUGAUGUGGUGCUUGGGAUGGCGUCCUGAAUCGGAAUGGUCGCAGGGGGAACAACGACGGUGAGGCGGCACCGAACGAGGAGGCGGUCGUCGUGCAUGGCUGAGGACGAGCUUAACGGCUCCAGCCGGUAUCUAAAGAAGUGUUGGAAGAUGUUAGGAUGGAAUGUGUGCGUCAUUUUAUGGGACUCAAAGUUGACCAUCCCUUCGAGCUCAAAGCUGAACUCCGCCGUGGUUGGUGUCUCGUCCGCCUUACAUGCACGCAAUAGGAACACAAAGGCAAAUCCAUCACCGUUGUCCGGGCAUAAUUUGAGGUACCAUGUGCACCCUCCUACGGCGAAGCGCGUGGAGUUGACGAAGCCCCCGUCGCGGAGCGUGGCCUUGAGCUUGGAGAAGCUGCCGAUGACGAGUAUGUGGGACCCGGACAUGGCGGCGUCCAACGUCGUGAUCUCCUUGGAUUCGGACAAUCUUUGCUCUGCCGCCUGCUUCGUAGUCAUGGUGCACCUGACGGUGAAGCAGCCGUCGCGGACACACGAGGAUGCCUCCAGCUCCCUCCUUGACACGAACAACAUCAAGUAGUCCCGGCCGAGCGUCGAUCCCGGUACCGGUAGCAAGUCGUCAUCUUGGAAGACGGUGUGCUCGCCGGUCUCGUCAAGGAUUUCUAUCCCGAUGGAGAUGUCUAUGUUGAGGCGGUUCCGAGACGCGUAGUCGAUUUCGACCGAGAUAAUGAAGCUGUCCGCUAGGCCCAGCUCGUUGAGACCAUCCCUCUGCGGGUAUACUAUGACGUUCCAGUGGAGACCGCGGAAGACGAUGGUGUCGAAAGUCCGCUUGCGAAGCAGCGUGGAGUAGCCGUGGAUCCGAGUUGUCCUCACGAGGGGCGCCGUCGAGCGGCUGGCGGUGGCACCCAUUGACGGAAACGACCGGUGUGAGCUUAGACCUGCCCUAUAUAUGCCUGUGCGCCGCCCGGUGUAUAUAUAUGUAGUCUCUGGCCGGCCUCUCUUCUUACUUGUCUUUCUAACUCGGCCGACCGGUGUAUAUCUAGUCCCGAACCCACCGGAGUCCUUUCUUCUUACUUCUCCUGCUAAUACUCGGUCUUGAUCUCUUGUAAACCGGCCUCUUUCGUUUGAAAGUUGGUGUCCUACUCCUAUAACAGAUUCGUUGAGGUGACGUCUGUCUGAAGAUCCACAUCAACCGCUCGCCGAUCUGGAGGAAAAGAAGACGGAAGGAAAGAAGAUGGAAGAUCCGGUGGAAAAGAAGGCGCGGCUGACACCGCGAAUCGUGCACUCCAUGUCUGCCUACUGCUGGAUGCUGGGCGUACUGGGAGGUUUAUACUUGUUCGCCUUCGCUGUGAGUAAUUUCGCACCACUGGCUCAGCAAUCCGUGCCUCCGGCUGCUGCUGCUGCUUCCCCUACCACUCCGAACCAUUAUUUUUUUUAUUAAGGAGGAAGCGAGCCCCCGGCCUCUGCAUCAAUCGAUGCAUGCAGCCAUAUUAUUAAAGAUAGAUAAAAUAGUAUCUUAGAUCCAAAUAGCUGAAAAAGUCGAAAGUGUAAAACAAAGCACGAAAAAAGCCACAUCCGGCGUAUGUAAACUUAGACUACGAUGCCUAUACAUCUAGUCUAUUAUUAGCACGCCAUCCAAAUCGGUUGAAGAUAACCCGUGCGGCCAUCUCCCAUCGGUUGCACCCAAUAUCCAUAAGAUCCCUGUACUCCGCAUGACUGAGUAACGACCACGUACGGAUCCAAGACGUUGCUUUGUAUAUAACCUGCAAAAAAUUGUUGGAGUUCUUGCCAUUAAAGAUCAUGUCAUUCCUGGUAUUCCAUAUUGUCCAAAACAAAGCACAUAUCCCAACACCGAUAAGUUUCGAUAUUUUAGCGUCAACUCCAUUGAGCCACGUUGUAAAUAUUGAACCAACACAUAUAGGUGGGCUGAUAUUAAAAGCUAUUUGAAUAGUUCUCCAUAACAGUUUUGCAAGAGGACAUUCUAUAAAAAGGUGUUUAAUUGUUUCAUUUUGCUCACAAUAGCAACAGUUAGGCCUUCCUCUCCAACUGCGCUUAAGUAAGUUAUCUUUGGUUAGUAUGACCCCUUUGUGUAUAAAUCACAUAAAUAUUUUAAUUCUCAGGGGCACCUUGAUCCUCCAAAUAGGUACAGAUGUUGGUAAAAUUCUUGUAUUUAUCAGAUGUGAAUACAUGGACUUGACUGAGAAUACUCCAUUCUUAGUUAAUAUCCACCUAAUACUAUCUGAUUGUUCAGCUAAAUGCACCUGCAUGAUUCUUUCAACCAAAUGCAACCAUGCAUCCCAGCGAGCUCCUACUAAAGCCCUUCUGAACUGUAUAUUAAGCGGUGUAGAUUGUAGUAUCGUGGAUACAUAAUCCUCUUUACGUUGUACUAUAUUAUAUAACAUUGGGUAUUGAAGUGCAAGUGGUGUGUCCCCAAGCCAAGUAUCUUCCCAAAACCUUGUUGAGGCACCAUUACCCACUAUAAAUUUUACCCUCUGGUAAAACUUCAUCUUUAUCUUCAUUAGCCCUUUCCAAAAUGGGGAAUCAUUUGGUCUAGCUGUAACCUGAGCUAAAGUUUUAGAAUUUAGGUAUUUGUUCUGAAGUAUCUGAAUCCACGUUCCUUCAGAUUCUGUAGAUAAUCUAUAUAGCCAUUUGCUAAGCAAACAUUUGUUUUUCACUUCUAGAUUCUCAAUGCCCAAACCCCCCUGAUCUUUAGGAGAGCAUAUAAUAUCCCACCGAGCUAAUCUGUAUUUCUUUCUAGCUUCAUCACUUUGCCAGAAAAACCGAGAUCUGUAAAAGUCUAGUCUUUUUCGUAUCCCUACUGGUAUUUCAAAGAAAGACAAUAGAAACAUAGGUAAGCUUGUUAACACCGAGUUAAUUAAGACAAGCCUCCCUCCAUAUGACAUUAGUUUACCCUUCCAGCAGCUUAAUUUUUUCUCAAUUCUUUAUUUGAUACAUUUCCAUUCUUUAUUUGUGAGACGCCUAUGAUGAAUAGGUAUUCCGAGGUAGCUAAACGAAAGUGAUCCUAGUUCACAACCAAAUAGCUGUCUAUACGCGUGUUGCUCUUCUUUUGCCUUUCCAAAGCAUAAGAUUUCGCUUUUGUUAAAGUUAAUUUUGAGCCCUGAUAAUUGUUCAAAUAAACACAAUAAUAAUUUCAUGUUCCUUGCUUUAGCCAUAUCGUGUUCCAGAAAAAGAAUUGUAUCAUCCGCAUGUUGUAAUAUAGACACACCCCCAUCUACAAGUUGUGGAAUAAGUCCACCAACUUGGUCUUUAUCUUUGGCUCACGUAAUGAGUAUUGUCAACAUAUCAACAACUAUGUUGAAUAAUACUGGGGACAUUGAGUCCCCCUGUCUGAACCCUUUGUGUGUUUGAAAAUAAUGUCCUAUGUCAUCGUUUACUUUAACACCUACGCUCCCUUUCUGUAUGGAAGCAUCAACCUGAUCUCUCCACCUUUCAUUAAAACCUUUCAUUCGUAAGGCCUGUUGAAGGAAUGACCAAUUUACCAUAUCGUAAGCCUUUUCGAAAUCUACUUUAAAGAUAACUCCAUCUAAUUUCUUUGUAUGGAUUUCGUGCAACGUUUCAUGAAGAACGACAACCCCCUCAAGGAUAUGUCUCCCAGGCAUAAACGCCGUCUGUGUCGGUUGGACUACAGAAUGUGCUAUCUGUGUCAACCUAUUUGUGCCAACCUUUGUGAAAAUCUUGAAGCUCACAUUCAGCAAACAAAUUGGUCUAAACUGUUCAAUGCGUGUUGCUUCCACCUUUUUUGGCAACAACGUAAUUGUUCCAAAGUUGAGGUGGAAAAGCUGCAACCGGCCCUCGAAUAAAUCUUGGAACAUAGGCAUGAGAUCACCUUUAAUAAUAUGCCAACACUUCUUAUAAAGACCAGAUGGGAACCCAUCUGGUCCCGGUGCCUUAUUCCGUUUCAUUUGUGCUAUUGAAUCAUAAACCUCCUUCUCUGUAAAGGGAGCAGAUAAAACCUCAUUCUCAUCUGCAUUUAGUUGAGGUAUAUCAUGAUUCAAGGUCUCAUCCAGUGAGACCAACGUCUCUUUUGAAGGUUCAAAUAAUUUCUUGUAAUAUUCAGAUAUGUAUAAUUUUAAGUUUUCAUGACCUACUAUUGUUCCUUCAUCUUGCUCCAAUUGAAUUAUUUUUUUCUUUCUAUGCUUGCCAUUUGCAAUCAUGUGAAAGAAUUUAGUAUUAUCAUCUCCACCGAACCAUGCCCAGUCCAUUGUCACGUCUGUGCUCAACUGCCCCCGCCUGCCAAUGCCUGCCCUGCCUCGUGUGCCUCCUCCCCGCCUCCCUCUGCAUCCCACUCAUCGCAAGACAAGCUGAAGGCUGCUAUUUUCGGGCGGAACGGGCUCAUUGUGGCAUUCCACUUCGCAGCAGUGUUCUGCACCGCCAUGGCGAAGCCACGAGUCGAUGCAGCGGCGGCGGCGGAGGACCCAAAGAGGUCAAGGCUUACAAGGCUGCGGUUAAUGAGCAGAGCAAGGCCCGUGCUGAUGCUGCACGAGCCCAAGAAGACGUCCAUAGGGCCACCCCAUGCAUCUUUCCUGCACCGGCUGCCCCAGAUCCCCAUGUUACUCGACUCAUGAAGAUCCGUCAUGACUCUGUCGUUGCAAAACGAAAAGCCGAAAAGAAGGUUGAGGACCUAAGGACACUGGGUUGGUGUGGCGAGAAUGGGGACCGUUGAAAGGUUGAUGGUCCGCUCUCUUUUUGUCCCUCUCCAUCCCGUUCUCCUUGUGUACAGGGAUCUGCAACGCUGGUGCUUCCUUUGAUUCUGCUGGGCAUGAGAUGGGCAAUGCGAUGAGCCUUGCCAUUAUCGUGAUUCCGGGAGUACCGAUGCUCAUGGCGCAUGCCCAUCUCUUCUAUGUAGCGAUCUGCGAGAAUUAGGUUUUGCAGUGGCAAUGCAUUGCGAGUUACUUAUUGAGAACUCGUGUGGAAAAGCAAACUGUGGGCUGCUUUAUUGUAAUUUAUAUUUUCUGCAUGUUAUCCCUAAAUUCGCUACACUUCUCAUCUUUUAAUUAAGAACCGGAUGAUCACUGCUGCAUCUCAAAUAAGUGUUUUGGUGUUUGACAUUGUGGUGUUGUGCUGCAACUGCAGAUGACAAAAGCUAUUGCUCAAGUUCUUGACAUUAUAUUUUGAAUGCAUUUAGUGCUGUUUUGGAAUUGAAUGCUAUAGACUAGAUCCACCUUCAUCUCCACUAUUAUGUUGAAUGAAGUUUUGUUAGAGAAUAUUGGGUCGGUGCUUGCAUUAUCUAUACGACUAUAUAGUGUAUCAGUUUGAAACUUUUAAACUUCAAGACCAGGAAUCAACCUCAACCGUUGAUAUAGUCCAUCCAAUGGUUGAAAAUGUUGGGAUUCACAUCAACAAUACACGUUACAGUAGCAGCAACGAUACUGCUGCCUUCCAGAACUAUCGACAGUUUACCAACGCAGAAAAAGUUCAGCUGCUUACUGUUGUUGCCCACUAUGUCUGUGUGUGUAGCUGUCAGGGCAACCUUACCUCUUAGGGCAUACGCAUCACAAUCCGUGAGGGCCAGCGACGCGUUGAUGCAUGGGAAGGUUAUGUUUUGAGCAGAAAUGGAAGCGACAUGUAGUGCAAGAUACGGAUCCAUAGGUCAACGUGAGAAGUAGUCAAUGGUUGUUGGAAAAUUCAUUGGGUGAUUAAAGGGAGCUUUGGAUGGAUAAAUGGAAGCGAGGGGUCUCAAGUCUCAACCAUGGAACACAGAGACAUACUUUUUUUAGGAAAAUAUUGUAAAGUCGUCAAAUAAGAAAAUAAAACUUUAGUUGUACAGUAUAUGACAAGAAAACUUCCACACUAAAUCGAUUCGGGUUUAUGAAUCAUUCUUUUAGUUUAAAUUUGAUGUUCUAAAAUAUGUUUAUAGUCUGAGAAUAAUUCUUCUGAGGCCGGGGGUCUUCCUCCUUUUCUAAAAAAAAUACAUAGUAAGCCAAGGAUAAUAGACCAACCAACUUUUAUGGUGUUUCCACAAACAACCUGUAUAAUUAAGUCAAUGUAAAUGGCCAACUUAUUGGAUUACUUUAUUGCUCGCCCUACUAAAAAUUCUAUAAUUUUACAACAUUGUGAUAAUCAACACUAAAGUUUUGGAAUUUAAAUUUGAGAUGAGACUGAUUCUAAACAUGCAAAGCAUGUGCUACUUACUAGUAGUUUGGGUGUACGAGAGUUUGUGCGUUUUAGUGCAGGUUUUGGGGACCGUUUGCAAUUUAGCUUCAGACAAAGGUGAUCCUUUAAUCAUCUGCCCGUUUAACUGAUCCUUUAACUGACAAGUAAGAGUCUCAGGCUGGCUGAGACGCAAAAUCACUCACCUCAAGGCGACAGCCAACUAGUACAUGCUGCCCAACUCAAGCUAGUGUUACUGAUAGUGCAGCAUCCUCUGUUGGUAGUUGCAAUCCCUACGGUACUUCCUAGCCUCCUAUAGAUUAGCACAUCCUCAAGAGUAUGAUAGUUGAGAUAUUUGUAGUAGGACUGAUGAUGAUGAAUCUUCUAUGUCUCGAACUGAAUCACCUUUUUCCUAUUAAAGGCGGUCUUGGAAAAGAAACCCAUCUGCUUGAGUUGCAUGCUGAUCAUGCAACAAUGAUGGUACCAUAUGCUUUGGAUCAAUUAGCUGGGAGCAAGAGGCUUCAAUGACUAAUCCGAGUUUUGCAUUGAAGCCUCAAAUGAUUAACAUUUAUCAUCCUUUGGUAGGUCUAUUGAUGGAGGAGUUUGUCACAUGGUUUACGUGGUGACCAAAGUGGCAAUAUUUCCAUCAAGCCCUGGCUUGUAUCUUCUUUGUUCCCCUGUUUUAUCUUCUUCUUUUUAGCUUCUUUUAGGGUUCUACUAGCUUUUGCAAGGAUACUGGACAGGAAAUUUGGUUUGGUGACUGUACAAAAAACUACACCUCUAGAAUUUAUUGGAUAUUCUGACCAUGUCUUUUCCUAAACAAAAUCAGAGUAGUUAACUAUAUAAUAAUCAUGCUUUUUCCUUGGGCUGGUAUAGGAAGGAAUUGGAUAUAAUAAUUGCACAAUGUGCUUUCUGUGGUUAAUCGCUAAAUAAAUAGAAACAUUGUUGUUCAAGUUGAAAAGCUCAAUAAAUAUAGGCCUGGGACUGGAUUACACGGCGAUAAAAGUAGAUAGUAGUCAUAGCAUUUGUCAUUUGGUAGGUCUUGGAGGCUCAUCUGUCCAAGUUCAGGGCGCUACAACUGCAACUUACUUGAUGUGGAUAUUGAGAGGUAAGUAGGCAUGUUGUUUAUCCUCAGGUCCAGUACUUCUAUGGUUGGUUUGUUAUAAUUAUCUCAUACAUGAUAUAUAUUACAAGUGUAAAGUAUUUCUCUGAAAAGUGCUGACUGAGAUGUGUUCUACAUGAUCUUCUUGAUUUCCUUGCAAGCAGUUACGGAGGCUACCUAUGUGUUUCAUAGAUGUAAAAGUACUUCUCUUAAAAGUAGUGCCUGUUUUGGCCUUCUUACUGCUGUUUGGAUGAGGUUGGGUCUAUGGUUUUACCUACAUGCACAUCCUUACAGUUUCUCAGUGUAAAAAAUCCUAGUCUGUUUGUGUUGCCCUGCUACUUUUGCAUGCAAGAACAUUUGGUUGUUUUAUGACUCUGUGUAAUGGCAAAGCUUGUUAAUACUGCUUGUUAAAACAUAGAGCUAGUAUGUGCAAAAACUUUUCCAGUUUUAUUUAGAAACUCUCUUUCAUACGGCGUAGAACAUUUCUGGAUGUAUAACUUGUCUAUGAAGCAGCAUGCAAACAUCACCUCUUUGUUACCCAGAUUUUAUAUUGAAAUGAUUGGUUAUAACUUUACAGCAUGAUGAGUAUUUAUUUUUACAGAAUCAUAGAUAUGCACACAAAAAACAGACAGGACAAACUAAUCACCAUCAUGCACGGUACAUGUUAUUGAAGUUGAAAAUACAUGUUGAUAUAACUCGGGAAGAAGUCGUUUAUUUUGGCACAACCUGACUCGACAUAUAAUAAGCCUAAAGAAACACAAACAACUAGUGCUAAUUUAAAAAAUCAUCCUUGUGUAGCCUUGUGCAGGACUGAUGCCGGUGAUUUGUAGUACGUUCUUACUCUGUACCUUCCCAUCCAAGAACCAAUUCAUUGGUGUAAUUGGACACCAUGAAUGGAACAGUCAGAAAGGAGAAAGGGUGAGAAGAUUGAAAAUUCAAAUCCAAAGGCUCACCCGCACACGAGGCGAGCAAGGAGGAGCGACGGUCGCUGGCUGCUGGUUCGCUGCUUGGUAAACAGGUGUUCUUCUCCCAGCUUGGAACGGAAGCAAGCUCGGUCGCCUCGCCGACUGGAGCUGUGUCAGUACCUGAAAACAACUACUACAGUAUAAUACUUGUGUGAAACGAACUACUUCAACAUAAAGCACUACUUCAGAAGCACCUAGAUAUGGCCCUCCGAGGACGAACGUCUCUCAAAACAGGCUUUCGUUACGUUUUAUAAAUAAAUCGACAACAUAAUCUAAUACACAGCCGAACGAUACAAGGUGGUGAGGUUAUCAUCUUACAAAGCUGAUCCCAAGAUACGCAGAUCACAUACACCGCAAGCGGCUACGCUACCGAAACGAAAUAAAACAAAAGUCCAAGAGCACCACCGCACCACGUCGUAAUAUAUUUAAGCUCCACGACAAUGCCCUCAAGAGGGAGAACGAUACAAACGUUGUCGUUGUCGAGUCCACUGCGGACAAAGGUCUUACCCGGAACCCAGACACAGAGAAGAGCAUCGCAACGAUGUCUUCAAGAAGAGAGUAGCGCCUAUAGGCAUCACCGUCAUUGACGCUAAAGCGCGGGGCUUUCGUCCGGUAGCUCUCUCGUGUCACCAGGAGGCCUUCAGGAGUAGCACGACGACUCCCAAACCGCAGAUAAGGAUCAGGGCACCGCCAUCAUCAUAGACAAAGAGCGCGCCUAAGCCACUCGCCGCUAUGUCUCUAGUCGCCCACACGAUCAAGAGAAAUAGACACCACCAUCGCCAUGGUGCCUGCCGGAGAGCCAACUAUGCAGACCGUCAUGGUGUCUUCAUUUCUGCAAGACCAAUUUUUAAUAUCCGCCAAACAAAUUUUAAAUAUACAUUGAUUUUUUUGUAAUAUACGCGGAGCAUUUUUUAAAUACAUAUUAAACAUUUUUGUGAUCUAUGCUGAACAAACUUUAAAUAUAUUGAACAUUUUGUGAUAUACGCUAAACAUUUUUAUAGUUGCACAUUGAAUGUAUUUAGAAAAUUGUUGUAAACUUUAUUAAUAUAGGGUGAACAUUUCCUCAAAUAUAUAUAAAUAAGUAAUGAUAUUUGUGUAAUACACAUGAGAGAAAAAAGAAAAAGAGAAGAAAAUAGAAUAGGAAAAGAAUAGAGAAAAAAUAGAAACAGAAAAGGAGAAGAAGAAAAUCAGCCGACCUUUCGUGCAGUGCAAAUUUUGUGCUUUCUUGAGGAAUUAAACUCUAACCCCUAGAUUCAAGGUAUGUGUUCGUUACCAAUUGAGCUGACCAAUGUUACUCAAUAAUAGCUCACAAGAAAGAAAAAAAAUUCGACCAUGGAACAUUUUAUGAUAUAUUCUGAACACUUUUUAAAGACAUUAAAUAUUUUUGUGAUAUAUGUUAAACAAUUUUUAAAUAAGCAUUGAUCAUUUUUUGAUAUACUCUGAACAUUUUUAUAAUGCACAUUUAACCUUUCAUGAUAGGAAAAAGGAAAAAAAACUAGCUUUUCUUUGUGCCUUUCGUCGAAAGAAAAUCCAUUCCUCUACGGGAAGUAAAUCCCUACCUCUCGUGGUAAGGAAAAUAGUGUCUUUUAUAGGCAUAAUCGUGCCUCUUGCGAAAAUGAAUCAGUGUGUGCGUAGUAAGAAAAAAAUGAACCUACGUUUUUCUCUUUUUUGAAAGGCUCAGUAGCAGAAGAAGAAACGUCGUUUUUUCACGUUAAUUUGUUUUUACAACUAUUUUUUUAGGUUUAAAACCUAAGAAAAUACCUAAURAGUAAAAACAAAAAAAACUAAACUAAAAACUAAACUACUAAAACCUAAGUAAACAANNNNNNNNNNNNNNNNNNNNNNNNNNNNNNNNNNNNNNNNNNNNNNNNNNNNNNNNNNNNNNNNNNNNNNNNNNNNNNNNNNNNNNNNNNNNNNNNNNNNACGGGGGGGGGGUAGGUGGUGGCGUGCUCUCAUUGGCUAAGGGUGUGAGUGUUNUGGGGUUCUAGCAAACUACCGCUAUUUAACAAAACCUCUUCGGCUAAAUUAAGUGAAGUAAACCGGCUCGAUUUUAACUUGAAAACCGAAGGGUUAGUCUGCCAUCUAAUCUAACACGUAUAUUUGUAGAUCCAACGGCGUACAGGGAAGAUGGAGGCUCACAGCGAGGUGGAGGCGCUCCGGCGAGGUCCCCGGCGAUGACAGAGGCGGAGACGAGUCGGGGAAGCGGCUCCUGUGACCCUCCGGCGGUGGCGACGGGUCGGGGAGGCGGCGGCGAGUCCCCUCCGGCGAUUGGUGGUGGUGGCUAGGCGAGGGAGGUGGCUGUGUGAGCCCGGGAAGGCUCGGGGUGGCCGGGUGGAGCUCGACUCCGGCGAGGUGGCAGGGCGACGCUGCGGUGGCGGGGAGCUCGGGCUGGUUGGGGAAACGGGGUGCGGCGGGGCUCCCGCGUCCGGUGGUGGCGGCGGCGAGGCGAAACGGGGCCGGGGUGAGCUGCGGGGCGCCGGGGAGCUUCGGCUCCGGCGAGGUGGCGGCAGGGGCGGCGAAGCUUGGGCAGGGGCGGCGAGGAGGGGAAACGGGGUGAGGAGAGGGGCUCGGGGCCGGCUACUUAUAGGGGAGAGGGGAGACUGCGGAGGGAAGGAGAUCGGCGAGGCGGGGGCAAGUCCGGCAAUGGCGGGGUGGCCGGCUGGGCAAGGAAAGUGGAGGGAGGCGCGGGGGAGAGAGAAGGAAGGAGAGGUGGGCGCGGGGUGCGCUGGAGGCGGGGUCGACCAGGUGGGGGAACGGGUGGGGCCGGGCGUCAGCGAGGGGGUGCGGGAGGGGUUCGGUCAGUUUGACCGAGAGGAAAAAAAGGGGAAGGGAUCCCGGGCCAGGGGGGUGGGCCGAUUCUAUAAUGCGCCCACGCGCUUUCCUCUUAAAAAAAUCGGUUUCCUGUUUUAGUCUUUUUUCAAAAACAAAAACUAAAACAAAUUAAAAGGCAACAAACAAAAUAAUUAAUAUAGGGUAUUAUAUAUCAAAAUGAUCAGAAAAAUAUCCUCUACUCGAUUAACAUUUUUCCAAAACCAAAAUAAAAACUUUUCUAAAAAUUAGUUUUUUUACCUAGAAAAAUACCCUAAGGAUUUAAUUUUCUUUUUGGUCUAAUUAAUUUACUUCUAUAAAACUUUGGUCUCAAAAUAUUUCAGAAAUGCCUCACAUUUGGUAGGUCGAUUUCCUCCGCUUCUUUUUKKCGUGCAAGAAUUUUGUCGGGGCAUUUUCUCGGGGAAAGAAAAAUAUAAGAAAAGCGAAAAGGUAAUUUUUUUUACGAAAACGGUAUUCWAMYGMAAAYUMCUAUUCAAAUNNNNNNNNNNNNNNNNNNNNNNNNNNNNNNNNNNNNNNNNNNNNNNNNNNNNNNNNNNNNNNNNNNNNNNNNNNNNNNNNNNNNNNNNNNNNNNNNNNNNUGUGACGUCACGGAAAGGAAGACCGGAAACCCAACGGAAGCAAAAGCAAACACUAAGACGCCUCGAGACUUGUCAGAACUCAUUUUGCUUUCGUUUGCAAGGAAGCAGGACAUUUUGCUAGCGAUUGUCCACAAAGGAAGAAAGCUAAAAAGGAGUAGUUAAGUUUUGACCACGGCAAUUAGUGUAAUUUGAAGAACUCUUGUUUUUCAUGAGAUCAUGGAGUGAAUUUUUUUGUAACAGAAGUCCCUGAGAUUGUAAUAACAUCAUGAAUAAAUGGAAUUUAUUAUCUCAUGAUUGCCUAUGCUGAAACUGUAUGCGUUGUUUCUCUUCGAACAAAGAUCUCUGAACAUUUAUGAGGAUAUGAGAAAAUAUGGUCUAUGCAGGCAUGACUAUAAUUCAUUUUAAGUGUGGUAGUAAUCGGCAAACCCACAGGAUCCACUGAGUAGGAAUGUACCAUGAUUACCAAGGAGACACAUACAUUCCUCUGAGUACCUAUUUACUGACACCUGCAGAUGACAACUCUCUACGAGUCAUUCCUCAAGGGCCCCGAAACGAUCAUGACCCUGACCAGUGAUCAUGAUUACCCGAAAAUCCUGAAGGACAUGAUGAAGCACAUUCAUCUUGAAGGAGAUGCAGUCUACAAAGGCUACCCAUUUGUGGAAAAUGGAGUGGAACUUUGGUAUGUGGAAGUACAUCUCCACCGUGUGAAAGGAGUUUGUCCAAAGACUAUGGGGCAAUACUUUUUCAUUUGACGUGUACCACGAGCAACCUUCUUUGAUGUUGUUCGUGAAGCUGCCAUGGAAGCCAUACGUCAAAUUGGAGAAAUACUUGAAGCAAGACUCCAUCAUACCCAGGAAUACCUGAGUGAAGUGCAUGCGGAGAUGAUGGAGAUGAAGCUCAUGACCACCAUGAUGAAGCAAAAGAUGGAUGAUUUCAAGGAGCACAUUGGAAAUUUCGAGUGGAACUAAAGUACCUCCAAGAGAGAUGAAUGAAUAAUGUUGGCAGAAAUGCUCGACCAUACCGAACAAUGUGGAUGGCAGCAUUUGUAAUAAAUUACUUUUGAGUUGGAAUUUUGAAGAAAGCAAGGAUGUAAUAAAGGAUUGAUUAUGAAAUGAAUAUGAUUUAUGGAAGAAGCUAUGAUGGAUCAGCAAACGUUUUCUUAGGAACAUACGAAAGCCAGAGAGUUGUGAAGAUACGGUAGAUGUUUUGUUCAGCUUGUAGAACCAAUGGAUUAUCCGAACUUCGUUUGUGGACAAGAGAAAUUCUGCAACGCUUGUGAGGAUGCCCAAGUGUUAGAAUACGAGAUUCACUAGGCCUUAUACAAGGUAAUGAUUUCAGUGCGACAUGGCUUGGCCACCAUGACGACUUACUAUUAUCUAUUCUCUUGUCUAUUACGGUAGUAGUAAGUACUGUAGAGACUACCCUACUAGUGAGAGACGACGUUCUUUGUAGUACGUUUGUUUUAAGUCGUUAACGGUAAUAGGUUAGUGUACGUAGUAAACGACCCCCGACUAGUACGUAANNNNNNNNNNNNNNNNNNNNNNNNNNNNNNNNNNNNNNNNNNNNNNNNNNNNNNNNNNNNNNNNNNNNNNNNNNNNNNNNNNNNNNNNNNNNNNNNNNNNUAAUCUCAUUUCCAAAGGUAUCAAUACUAGCAAAGCUUAAUGGUGAGGUAUGGUUAAGUGGUGAGGUUGCAGCAGCGGUUAAGCAUAUAUUUGGUGGCUAACUUACGAGGACAAGAAAUAAGAGGGGAAGUUCUACUCAUAACGGACGUGAACUACUGAUGAUCAAAUGAAUGAUCCUGAACACCUACCUACGUCAGACAUAACCCCACCGUGUCCUCAACCGGAGAAGGAACUCACGAAAGAGACAGUCACGGUUACGCACACAGUUGGCAUAUGUUAAUUAAGUUAACUUCAAGUUAUCUAGAACCAGUGUUAAACAAAGCUUCCACGUUGCCACAUAACCGCGGGCACGACUUCCGAAAGAUUUAACCCUGCAGGGUGCUCCAACUAGUCCAUCACAAAUUACCACAAGCCGCAUAGAAAUCCUCAAUCACGAAGCUCGCGAUCUCGUCGGAUUCCCUAGUGGAAAACCUCAACUCUGAGAUUACCCAAAGCAUCACCGGAAUCCCGAUGCACAAGAUAUCUCGUCAAAGGUAAAACUAAUCCAGCAAGGCCGCCCGACGUGUCGACGAUCCCGAUAGGAGUCGCGUACCUCAUUCUCAGGACACGACGGAUGAGCGAUGGUUACCACGCCAAACGCCGGGUUGCCCCCGGUAGCGUUAAUAAGCUGCUCUGUUUGGACCAACACUCAUGAGGAGCACUGGCCCGGGGGUUGAUUAAAAUAGUCUGCGGGUGCCGGCGGGUCCCUAUGCAUUAUUAUUAGGUUAUUAGGCAAAUGUAGUACCAAUGUUGGGCCUUGCCAGACCAGCUUUAAUCUAAAACGNNNNNNNNNNNNNNNNNNNNNNNNNNNNNNNNNNNNNNNNNNNNNNNNNNNNNNNNNNNNNNNNNNNNNNNNNNNNNNNNNNNNNNNNNNNNNNNNNNNNUGGAAGAUCAAACACAAAGGUUGGCAUGACGGUCUUUGGCAUGGUUCUGAUAGGUGGUGCUAUCGUACGUCCAUGUUAGUGGAGACUUCAACUCACGGAGGGUAAUGACUGCGAGAGUCCAUGGAGGGAUCCACCCACAAGGGGUCUGAUACGUCUCCAACUUAUCUAUAAUUUUUGAUGGUUUGAUGCUAUUAUCUUGUCAAACUUUGGAUGUUUCGUAUGCCUUUUAUAUAUUUUUUGGGACUAACCUAUUAACUCAGUGCCAAGUGCCAGCUCCUGUUUUUUCCGUGUUUUUGACCCUUUUCAUAGGAGGAUUUUAAACGGAGUCCAAACGGAAUAAAACAUCCAAAAAGAUUUUUUCUGAAACAGAAGACGAUCGGGAGACUUGAGAACCAAGGCAGAGGGUCACCAGGGACCCCACAAGCCCUCAUGGUGCGGCCGAAGGGGGGGGGGGCGCCGUCCGUCCCGACGGUCGUUGGUCGGGCCGUCCCGUCGGGYCYCSUCYKCCSUMGCUCCKUACGUCCUUCCUUCCGUCCUACUACUACUUACCCUAAAACUAACCCUAAAAAAACUACGNNNNNNNNNNNNNNNNNNNNNNNNNNNNNNNNNNNNNNNNNNNNNNNNNNNNNNNNNNNNNNNNNNNNNNNNNNNNNNNNNNNNNNNNNNNNNNNNNNNNGGACCGUACUACCAAACUACCGACGUAAUAGUNUCCAAACGCAAGGGACGAUAGGGCGACCGGAAAGAGGGGACGAAGAAGAAACAACUACUAAACAACUAAACAACAACUAUCAUGACAUCAUGGAUCACUAGGGAARGAAGAACACAAAAUAGGCAUCUCACACACUAUUUCUAGACUUAGUGAAAAUAACAACCUCAUGAAAGUAGCAGUUUUCUAGCCUGAAGCUAUAUUGACAACAGCAAAAUCUAUAGCUACAGGACUCUAAAUGGCAUGAAAAUUUACAGCAUGCUAGAGAAACACAAGGGGUACAAAUAACUCCAUUGGACCAACCUCAAAAGAGCUACAGAUCACAAGAUGCAAGCAAGACAAGACAGCAACAAAAUAAUAACAGAUUCCACACUUAGAAAUAUUUCAGCUCCUCUAAAACAGCACUAUUUCUAGCAACUGGAGAGCAAGAAAUUGACACCUAAACAUGCAUUUCUAUUGCAACCAAAAAUACCAGGGGCUAAACAAAACAUCCAAGAUCAACUCUCUAGUUGACAACUCCGUCAAACGACGCACGGAAUAAAUCCUACGAAUUAAUCAAAAGGGCAACAUAGCAAAAUAUCUCGCGAACUAACUUACUCGAAAGCUAGAAGUAAUUGCACAGAAAAAUCCAUGGGAUUUUUCUACCCCGGAAACAUAUAAAAUAUGUGGGGUUUGCAACACAAAAUAAUGCCACACAUUAAUGUGAGAUAAACACCUAUAUACGGGAAAAUAAGCUACCGGCAAAUCCCUACACGUAAAAAAUACAAUUGACCGCUCUAAAAUACAUGGAUAAAUAGCCCCUAAAACAUAGGCAUUUCUAACAUGGCAUUCGAGCAAUUCGAACACGCUCAGAAAAUAAAUGCGGGCACUUUCCUAUUGAGACAGCACGUAAACCCAUGCAUACGAUACGUCAAACAACGUCAAAUAAAUAUGCAAGUUGCUAAAUCGUAUUCUACACGAAAUUCGACACCAAAACCAUAUAAGAUACGCCUCGUUUCGACUUACGGAUUAAAAGUUACGGGGAUUUUAUUUAACGUCUAAUUUUCUGGAAUUUUAAUUAAAUCCCGAAAAAUCCUAAAUAUACCAACGGGCCGAACAGGCAGCGCAAUAUAGUAGGCAACACCUAGGGCGGGGGAUAGACGAGGGGAGGCCUCACUUUGGUGGGCUCGGCCCAUGCAGUAGGAGGCGGAGGCGGACUGGAUAGACAGUGGCCGACUGGGCCUCGGGGCGAUUGGGCCGGCUCGGCGCGCUCCUGCGUGGCCCAGCAGCGCCUAGGGCACGGGCGGUUGCAGCGGCCACCUGGGCCGGCUGGCGCAGGACGCUGGCGUCGUCUCCUCGUCCCCUCGUCCUCCCGACCAGGAGCUUCUGGCGGCGGCGGUUGCCGACGAGAGGGAACCGACGCGGGGCUAUGAGGGGAACCGGCUCGGCUUGCUGCCUCCUCCCGGUGAGAUCUGGCCCGGGAACCUCCCCUCAGGCAGCUCGGACAGAGCGGGGCGACAGCUCGGUCCGGCGAGGACCCACGGUGGCGCGGCGAGGGAACCUCGGGCAGGAGCUCGCGAGGGACGCUGGCAUACGGCUCCGGGGCUCCGGCGGCGAGGAUGGCCGACGAAGAGGCGAACCCCGGUGGCGAGGAGGCUCGGGCUACUGCGGGCGGGAGGAGCUGCGGGGCUCGACGGGAGCAGGGAGGCUGCGGCGGCGGCGGGGCGAUCCGGACCCGGGCGGGCCCCAAAUGGGCUUCGCGGGCCCGGCGGCUGGAGAGGGAGAGAGGAGGCUGGCUAGGGUUAGGGGUAGGUGGCGCGGAAAUCAAGGAGGGAUUAGAGGGAGGCUGUCCGAAAAUUAGAAGGGGUCUAUAUAUAGACAAACGAGGGGGCUGGGUUGACCGGAAUUUUGUUCCGGAUCCAACCGCGGGGUCGGGUUCGGACGAUUCCGAACGCGGGUAUGGGUAUGCGGCCGUGUAGAGGGGAUAUCCGGAGACGAGAGGGGGAACGGGCGGCGCGGCACGAAUUUUAAAACACCGACAGACGUCCGACGGUAGACCAAAUACGGUGCCGCUACUAGCGACCGUUCGGGUACCAGACGGUCUCCGAUCGCGACGAAAUUCGACAGGCGGCCUAGCUAGAUUAAAAUAAGACCGCACGUCAAAUCUCGACCCGAUCAUAGGAAGUUUAACGCAGACUUUUUAAAACAGGGUUUCGACGGUGCCGCGGGCGCGUGCGAGUGCGGUCGGACUCAGAACGGACGACGACGAGAACCGGCAACUACUAACGAAUGCAGGUUUUUUUGGAAAACUGGCGGCAACGGCGAUGCCGAUGCAAUGCAGAUGAUGCGGCAAAUAAAAUAAAUCACACGACGAAAACGGAACAGAAGGGGAAUMUUCUCGAACGUCGGCAUCGGGCUGUCACAUGACUACUUGGCACUCCUCAGCUGGGUGNNNNNNNNNNNNNNNNNNNNNNNNNNNNNNNNNNNNNNNNNNNNNNNNNNNNNNNNNNNNNNNNNNNNNNNNNNNNNNNNNNNNNNNNNNNNNNNNNNNNUACUUUUGAUCCACAACUCCAACGAGGUUGAUUCUUUUUCGAGUAGAUAACAAUUUUUCUGUAGUUUUAAAAACAUAUAAUUUGUCUAUGUUUGAAAUUUUCAAAUUUGAAUUAGAUCAGAUUUAGUUUAAACCUUGUUUUGCCUUUUCCAGGAGUUUAAAAAUAGCUUUUAAUUUAAUUCCUUUUGCUACUGAUCACUAGUGAUCUUAUUUAUCAGUGAUAAAAAUUUCAGAUUUGUUUGAGUAUUUUAGCUCAUUGUUUCUUGUGAAACAAUUUCUGUUUCACCUCUUUUAGGAUUAUGGCUAUUUCCUUUUCUAUAAUUUGUUUUAAAUUAUUUUCUUUUAUAUUUCAAAAAGAUUAURUUUGUUUCUGUUAGUUAACAGUAGGUUUGUCAACUUANUUAGUUUGUUUAUUUUUAUUUUAUUAUUAUUAUAUAUAUAACUACUUACUUACUUACCUUACCUUAACUAACUUAGUGUGUCGUCGGUCGGUCGGUCGUCUCUACGNNNNNNNNNNNNNNNNNNNNNNNNNNNNNNNNNNNNNNNNNNNNNNNNNNNNNNNNNNNNNNNNNNNNNNNNNNNNNNNNNNNNNNNNNNNNNNNNNNNNGGUUGAUUGGUUGGUUUGUAAGUCUUUGCUGGUAAAAAGGAACUAAGAAACUUUUAGGUCUCUACGAUUAUUAUUUUUCUAUUUUAUUUCUAGAAAGACGAUUUUGUAGUUGUAUCUUUUUUAUUGCUGGUUGAUAUGCCUUUUACCCUAGGCAGUCGUAAUUGUUCAGAAUUUUAGUCAGGUACCAUUAAGGUAUACGAAGUAUACAGAUUGCUGCAGACUGGUCNGUUUUUGACAGAUUCNGUUUUUGUUGAGUUGGUUGCUGUUUUGAUGAAACUAUGGAUAGUAUCUGGGGGUACUAGCCAUGGAAAAGUGAGAAUACAGUAAUCUAACACCAAUAUAAAUAGAWAUCAAUAUUGCUACAGUACCAAAGGAGGUGGUAGUUUGUUUUCUUGUGCUAAUGAUAUCACGAGUUUCUGUUUAAGUUUWGUGUUGUGAAGUUUUCAAGUUUUCGGUGAUGUUCUCAUGGACAAAGGGAUAAAGAGUGGAAAGAGCUCAAGCUUGGGGAUACCCAAUACAUCCAAAGCCAAAUUCAAGGACAUCAAAAGCCUAAGAUUGGGGAUGCCCCGGGAAGGCAUCCCCUCUUUCGUCUUCAAUCCAUCGGUAACAUUACUUGGAGCUAUAUUUUUAUUCACCACAUGAUAUGUGUUUUGCUUGGAGCGUCUUGUAUCGUAGGAGUCUUUUCUUUUUGUUGUGUUCACGUANACUANCCNUCNNACUUCCGUUACGUACGUACGUACGUAACCGUUACGUACGACGUACGUACGUACGUACGUACGUUACGUUUACGUUACGUUACGUUUACGGUUACGUUUACGUUACGUUACGUUAACGUUNNNNNNNNNNNNNNNNNNNNNNNNNNNNNNNNNNNNNNNNNNNNNNNNNNNNNNNNNNNNNNNNNNNNNNNNNNNNNNNNNNNNNNNNNNNNNNNNNNNNUAUUGCGGCAACCAGUCAAGGUUUCGCACAGGGUGCCCCCCCGACUGGCAGGCCUAGAAGGGGUGCCGGUAUUGUAGUGUAUAGCAGGUCAACAAUUAUUUUUUCUGAUACUUUUCAAAAUUUCUUUCUUUGUUUUUUUUUUGCAGAUUUUUCUUAUUCUUUUUUCAUUUUUCUGUAAUAUAUUUCAUUUUAUAUUUAUUUUUAAUUCCUUUUUCUUCUCUUUCUUGUUCUUCAAAAUUUAAUUUUUUCAAAUUUUCAAAUGAUGUGCAGAAGCUGAAAAAUGUUCACAAAAUGUUUGAAUAUUUUUAACAAAGUUCACCUAUCAGAAAGCACUCAUAAUUUUAAAACUGUUCGGGUUUUAAAAUUUGUUCAUGAAUUUUAUAAAAUGUUCCUAGUUUAAAAAAUGUUCUUUAGUUUUAAAAUUAGCUUGAGUAGUUUCAAUUAAAAUUGUUUUCAUUGGUUUAGAAAUUAGUAGAAAAACAUACAAAAAGGAGAUGUUGGUACUUUGUUAAUWHCCUGUACKAGUUACUUAGUAAACUAAAACGUUUUANNNNNNNNNNNNNNNNNNNNNNNNNNNNNNNNNNNNNNNNNNNNNNNNNNNNNNNNNNNNNNNNNNNNNNNNNNNNNNNNNNNNNNNNNNNNNNNNNNNNAACAUAAGACGUUGCAGCCGUGUAGGUCAGCAUAUUGAAUAUGCCGGCAAGUCACAUAAGAGAGGGGUGAAAGACAAUCAUCUAUACUAUAUGCAUAUAUGGCAGGUGGGGCAAUAAGUUUUAGCGUAAAACAAGUUUUCUCCUACAUCAAGAGAGGGCUAAAAGCAAAAUGUUACUACAUUGUUGGUUGUUAACGAGAUGGUUCCACCAACCAAUUCUCGUACCCAUGUUGUCAAUAAUACCCACAUCAAUAUUAUUAUUUGUGUUGAGAAUUUCAGAUAACUUCAGUUCCUUUGGCUCAAGUUGUCCAUGACCGUGGACACGGCUAAUCGAUUAGGUUUGAGUACUCUGCAGAGUUUUGCACACGUUCCCCACAAGAUUUGAUCGCCUCCGAGUAUGUCCUCGCACUUCAGGGUGUUUGAAGACCGGAUGAUCAAAACAUGGUCUUUCAACGGGUCCCUCUGAAUCCCUGUCGGUGCCCAUCCAAUCCUACCAUUCUUCUACAUCUGCUAGCACCGCCUGUCCAGAGUCGCCGCGUUGUCCAACCAAGCCAGAGCCCAUAAUGACUUGUGGCUGUGCAGGUAAGCCUUGGGUCUUGAAAAUAUCCGUCCGUCUCUUUGAGCCUGGGUGAAGCUUUCCGCAAGAUGUCAUGGCCGUCUCCAGCAUCCCGGGUCAUCCACUGGUUUCUCCAGGGAGCCGAUCAACCGUCCUUCACCCAGAGUUGCAUUGCAUCACGAGGUCUUGAAAGUCUUGACUUAACCGGUCUUGGUUAUUAAAUUAUUCUCGCUUCACUCGUGGUAAACUAUCAACCAGAAUCCCGUCUACUCAAGCAUAGCAAUAUAGAAAUUUGUCAUAGUGGUGCGUNNNNNNNNNNNNNNNNNNNNNNNNNNNNNNNNNNNNNNNNNNNNNNNNNNNNNNNNNNNNNNNNNNNNNNNNNNNNNNNNNNNNNNNNNNNNNNNNNNNNUCUAAAGAAGUAUACCAACCGUCGCCACAACCACGACAUGCCACGUGUUAGUCCUUUAGUCCCGGGUUGAGCCACCAACCGGGACUAAAGGGGGAUACGAACGGUUGCCACCACCACUGCCCGCCGCGUAGCCCUUUAGUCCCGGUUUGUGACUCGAACCGGGACUACAGGCUCCUUACGGGACGGGACUAAAGCCUCGAGGGAGGCGUUGAGAAUUGGGGCGACGUGGCCGGGCCUUUAGUCCCGGCCCAGAGGCAGGCCGGGACUAAAUGGUCCAGGCCAAAGGCCCGUUUUCUAUUAGUGGCCGAAUCAUUAAAAAAUAUGUUAAGAAGCAGGAUCACUUAUAUUAAUUGAUUGAUGAUGAAACUGUUAAUAUAUAUCGUUCUAGGAUACCAUAUAUAGGUGUGUGCAAGUGCUUGUGUAUGCACUAGUGUGUGUAGGUGGAGUGUGUAUGAGUGUGUGUAUGGUGUGUGGUUGUGUGUGUGUGUGUGCACAUAGAAGUGAGUUGUGACACACUAGUGUGCUAUGGUGGGUGUGUUNNNNNNNNNNNNNNNNNNNNNNNNNNNNNNNNNNNNNNNNNNNNNNNNNNNNNNNNNNNNNNNNNNNNNNNNNNNNNNNNNNNNNNNNNNNNNNNNNNNNCUUCGACGAUAUAAGGUCCUUCCCAUUUAGAGAGAAGCUUACCUAUAAAGAAUCUGAAACGAGAAUUGUCCAAAAGAUCUAGGUCUCCUACUUUAAAUUCUCGUUUCUGGAUUCUCUUGUCAUGCCAUCUUGUAACCUUUUCUUUAAACAACUUGGCAUUUUCAUAGGCUUGGGUCCUCCAUUCAUCUAAGGAGCUAAUAUCAAUUAACCUCUUUUCACCGGUAGGCUUGGGUCCUCCAUUCAUCUAAGGAUUCACCAAUAAGCUUUAUGUUCUAGCUCAAGAUGUAAAUGACAUGAUUUUCCAUAGACGAUUUUAUACGAAAACAUUCCGAUAGGAUUUUUAUAAGCAUUUCUAUAAGCCUGUAAUGCAUCAUUAAGUUUCUUAGACCAAUUCUUUCUAGAUCUAUUAAUAGUAUUUUGCAAGAUCUAAUUUUAUUUCUUAAUUAGUCAACUCAACUUGACCUCUAGACUGAGGACAAUAGGGCGAUGCAAUUCUAUGGUUAACAUCAUAUUUAUUUAGAAGUUUACGGAAAGCACCAUGAAAUAAAAUGUGAACCACCAUCAGUCAUUGAAUAUCUAGGGACUCCAAACCUCGGGAAAAUAACCUUUUAAAGCUAUUUUAAUAGAAUUGUUAUGAUCAACACUACUAGUUGGAAUAGCUUCUACCCACUUAGUAACAUAAUAAACAACAACUAAAAUAUGAGUAUACCCAUUAGAGGAAGGAAAAUGUACCAUAUAAUCAAGGACUUCCUAAUUUUAUCGCCCCUCUUCGUACUUCGUUACUCCUCGUAGUUUCGACCCGACGUCUUCGUUUCGCCGACGUUCCCUCCUAACCCUUUUUCCCCCUCCUUAGUUUCGUCGNNNNNNNNNNNNNNNNNNNNNNNNNNNNNNNNNNNNNNNNNNNNNNNNNNNNNNNNNNNNNNNNNNNNNNNNNNNNNNNNNNNNNNNNNNNNNNNNNNNNCACUUAGAUUUACUAGUUUUACGUCAAAGACGGACGACGUAUUAUCGUACCUAUAAAAAGUAACCAACUUACUUUUUCCUUACCGAACGAGGAAGGUAGGGUAUUUACCUUCCGGUAGAGGAAUUGGAUUUUCUUUCGACGAAAGGACACAAAAGAAAGACUAGUUUUUUUUCCUUUUUCUAUCAUAGAAAGGUUAAAUGUGACUAUUAUAAAAAUGUUCAGAGUAUAUCAAAAAAUGAUCAAUGCUUAAUUUAAAAUUAGUUUAACAUAUAUCACUAAAAAUAUUUAAUGUCUUUAAAAAGUGUUCAGAAUAUAUCAUAAAAUGUUCCAUGGUCGAAUUUUUUUCUUUCUUGUGAGCUAUUAUUGAGUAACAUUGGUCAGCUCAAUUGGUAACGAACAYAUACCUUGAAUCUAGGGGUUAGAGUUUAAUUCCUCAAGAAAGCACAAAAUUUGCACUGCACGAAAGGUCGGCUGAUUUUCUUCUUCUCCUUUUCUGUUUCUAUUUUUUCUCUAUUCUUUUCCUAUUCUWUUUUCUCUCUUUUCUUUUUUCNCUCAUGUGUAUUACACAAAUAUCAUUACUUAUUUAUAUAUAUUUGAGGAAAUGUCACCCUAUAUUAUAAAAUUUACAACAAUUUUCUAAAUACAUUCAAUGUGCAACUAUAAAAUAGUUAGUCGUAUAGUUANACCGAAAAUAGUACUUAACUAUAAUUUAAAGUUUUAAGUUUANNNNNNNNNNNNNNNNNNNNNNNNNNNNNNNNNNNNNNNNNNNNNNNNNNNNNNNNNNNNNNNNNNNNNNNNNNNNNNNNNNNNNNNNNNNNNNNNNNNNUGGUCCCGCUAUUGGAUAUUGACCGAGGAGUCUCUCGGGUCAUGUCUACAUAGUUCUCGAACCCGCAGGGUCUGCACACUUAAGGUUCGACGUUGUUUUAUGCGUAUUUGAGUUAUAUGGUUGGUUACCGAAUGUUGUUCGGAGUCCCAGAUGAGAUCACGGACGUCACGAGGGUUUCCGAAAUGGUCCGAAAACGAAGAUUGAUAUAUAGGAUGACCUCAUUUGAUUACCGGAAGGUUUUUGGAGUUACCGGGAAUGUGCCGGGAAUGACGAAUGGGUUCCGGGAGUUCGACCGGGGGGGGCAACCCGACCCCGGGGAAGCCCAUAGGCCUUGAGGGAGGCACACCAGCCCUUAGUGGGCUGGUGGGACAGUCCACAAGUGCCCUAUGCGCCAUAGAGAUAAAAUCGAAGAGAAAGAAAAAAAGGAGGAGGUAGGGAAGGAAGGGGACGUCCCGUCCCACCAAACCAAGUMCCAACUYCGGUUGGGGGGACGGUUCCUCCCCCGUUGGACGUCCGGCCGACCCCGUUCGGGGCCUCCGUUCGACGCCCGAGCAACGGUCCCCUCCCUCCCACCUACUAUAUACUAGUNNNNNNNNNNNNNNNNNNNNNNNNNNNNNNNNNNNNNNNNNNNNNNNNNNNNNNNNNNNNNNNNNNNNNNNNNNNNNNNNNNNNNNNNNNNNNNNNNNNNCGAAACCCUUUGGGAAGUAGACCGACCGUACCACGGCAAACACACUAAUCUCWCUCGAAGUAGCACGGGUUUCGAACGAGAACUCAUCUCUUACAAAGGGAUUUCAUUUUUUUGAACUUAUUUGAACUCCAUACUUUUUGUGUGUUCAAAAUGCACCAUUCAAAGGCACAUCACAAAAUUUCAACAAUUUCUGACUUCAUUUGGUAUAUUUCGUGCAUUUACUUUUUUUGAUCUAGUUGACCCUGAAAUUGAAAAGCACUACAAAUGAACUCUGAAAAUGUUGAAAGUUGGCAUGCUAUCAUCAUUUCACCCACAUAGCAUGUGUUAAAAAGUUGAGAGGGCUACGACAAAAACUGGAUGCAGUUCGUGUACAAAACUGUCAAUCUCUCUCGAAGUAGCAGGAUUUCGAACGAGAACUCAUCUCUUACAAAGGGAUUUCAUUUUUUUGAACUUAUUUGAACUCCAUACUUUUUGUGUGUUCAAAAUGCACCAUUCAAAGGCACAUCACAAAAUUUCAACAAUUUCUGACUUCAUUUGGUAUAUUUCGUGCAUUUACUUAUUUUUUUUGAGCUAGUUGACCCUGAAAUUGAAAAGCACUAAACUUAUUUGAACUGAAGUACUUUUUGUAUAUAUAUAUGGUCGAAAUGCAUGAUACCAUGAAGUUAGAAAGGGCUAAACCAUUCAAAAGUAGCAAAUGAAGUUAGGAAGGGCUAAACCAUUCAAAUUUGGAAACUAUAAUGGCACAAACAGAAACUAGACAUAUAUAAAUUGGUCCAAGAAGUACAUGAUACUAGCCCAAACAGUACAUAAUAAUAGCUACCAUAGAUAUAUAUAUAUNNNNNNNNNNNNNNNNNNNNNNNNNNNNNNNNNNNNNNNNNNNNNNNNNNNNNNNNNNNNNNNNNNNNNNNNNNNNNNNNNNNNNNNNNNNNNNNNNNNNAUGUUCUUUAUGUGUAAAUUGCUUGUCUUGACGCGUAGAACCACGUGAGUAUAUUUGUUUUGCUGUUUAACAACCAAUUAAAGGUGUUAAAUCAGAUCUGGACAGAAUUGAAAAUUACCAUGUGAGGUCGUUUCGGAGGUGCUAUAUGUCAUUUCCGACCUCAUUUAAAUUGUCUAGAUAGGUAGUUUAAUUUCCGCUUCACCUCUUGCAUGUUUCACAACAUUAAUGUUGCCGUGUUAAUAACCGGGAGUGAACUAAAUAAUUCAUAUGUGAAGUUUCGUCAAUAUGCAACUCGUUGCAUAUUGAACUUCACUUAAUGUGUAGUGUUUGAUUGUUGUGAUUGUCAUGCCUCGCAUCAUGGAACCGUUCAUGCAUCAUGUGUGUCUUGCAUCGUGUGGUGUAUAUCGUGUGUUGAUGCUUGUUUCCAUUUCCCUCCGUAUCGAUAGAGUUCCGCAAGGCGUGCCGGUAUUGGUACGACGGUACCCCGUUUCGAACCUUACGGGUUACGGGUUUCGUCGUUCGUACGUUUUACCGAACCGGGGUAACGGUUCCCCGGUUUUNNNNNNNNNNNNNNNNNNNNNNNNNNNNNNNNNNNNNNNNNNNNNNNNNNNNNNNNNNNNNNNNNNNNNNNNNNNNNNNNNNNNNNNNNNNNNNNNNNNNAAGACGCACACACUGUGGACGAAUUGGGUUGGAAAUUUUUGAAAUCCUGCUUAUAUAGGUGGAUCUAUAGUCCCGGUGCGUGGCUCGGCCGGGACUAAAGGGGGBCUUUAGUCCCCGGGGUGUGGCUCCAACCAGGCUAAAAGCCCCUCCUCGGUUGUACGAUAAGUUUAGUAUCACCUUGCCCAACAGGGGGACUAACACUUAUUUAUAAGCCUCGUCGGAGCUUCAUUUGGUAUAUUUCGUGCAUUUACUUAUUUUUUUGAGCUAGUUGACCCUGAAAUUGAAAAGCACUACAAAUGAACUCUGAAAAUGUUGAAAGUUGGCAUGCUAUCAUCAUUUCACCCACAUAGCAUGUGUUAAAAAGUUGAGAGGGCUACGACAAAAACUGGAUGCACUUCGUGUACAAAACUGACAAUCUCUCUCGAAGUAGCAGGGUUUCGAACGAGAACUCAUCUCUUACAAAGGGAUUUCAUUUUUUUGAACUUAUUUGAACUCCAUACUUUUUGUGUGUUCAAAAUGCACCAUUCAAAGGCACAUACAVAAAAGUUUACAAMUWMUKWCUUCGACUUUCGUAAUUUGGUUACGUGUGUAGUUCCGUAGGUUUUUCGGGCGUNNNNNNNNNNNNNNNNNNNNNNNNNNNNNNNNNNNNNNNNNNNNNNNNNNNNNNNNNNNNNNNNNNNNNNNNNNNNNNNNNNNNNNNNNNNNNNNNNNNNUAAAAGGGGAAAAAAGUAAAAAUAUAGGAAGAACGAAUUUAGUUGGAAUUACUAAACAAAUUUWGUUGAAAAUAGCAAUGAAAUAGGAGAACAAUUCUAAAAACACAUGAACAAAUUUGGAAGCGCAAACAAUUUUGUAUAUCACGAACAUUUUUUGAAUCUUGAGAACAAGAUUUUUAAAAACUCCGAACAAAUUUGAAAGCGAGAUCAAAUUUUUAAAGCACGAACAUUUUUUGAAUUUUGAGAACAAAUUUUAAAACCGAGAACAAUUUUGAAAAAACAUGAACAAAUUUGGAAACGGGACAACUGUUUAAAGCAUGCACAUUUUCUAAUCGUGAAAACAAAAUUCUGAAAAGGAGAACAAUUUUGGAAAAAAAACUAAACAAACUUGAAAGUGCGAACAAAUUUUUAAAGCACGAACAAAUUGUUAAUUUUGAGAACAAAUUUUAAAACCAGAACAUUUUUACAAAUUCCAGAAUAUUUUUUCAAAUUCCGGAAUAUUUUUUCAAAUGUCGGAACAUUUUUUUUUUGAAAAAACCGAAACAUUUUGAUAAAAAUUACAGAACAUUUUUUAAAUUUCGGAAUUUUUUAAAAAAAAUCAGAACAUUUUUCAAAUUCCGAAACAUGUUUUCAAUUUCCGGAACAUUUUUUGAAAAUUCAGAACAUUAUUGAAACAGAAACAGGAAAAAAAGAAUAAAGUAAAAAAAACGGUUCAUGAAAUCUUUUAAAAGUUCCCAUAACCGGAAAAAACGGAUAGAAACCUGUAGAAGGUUCCUAAAACCGGGAUCCGGGACUCGCAGCCGCCUCCACCACGUAUUGCAAUCCAACCAGGUCAACGCGCGUGCUCCGCUGUGCUCUAUAAUUUCCUUCCGCCCUUUGGUAGACAAAAAAAAGUGAAGGAUUCUGAGAAGCAAACCGAGUGGGACUCGAAUCAAGUCCGUCCUUUCAUCAUCAGUMGUGUGUCGCGUNNNNNNNNNNNNNNNNNNNNNNNNNNNNNNNNNNNNNNNNNNNNNNNNNNNNNNNNNNNNNNNNNNNNNNNNNNNNNNNNNNNNNNNNNNNNNNNNNNNNACCACCAUAUAGCAGCACUUUGGGUAAAGUACUGGAGAGCGUGUUCCACUUCAUAUUYCCUUGAGAUCAAGUUGCUCCCGAAGUGGUUCUCCAUGUUCUGAAUCCAUAUUUCAGCCUCCAGCUGGGUCAUUGGUCCAGAGACUACAAGUCCAGCUUCAUACUCCAUCUAGUAGGGUUGAGGUUUUGGGGAUGAGACGGGUAAGAGAGGGAGGGAGAUACACAUAAUACAAUUUUUUUUGAGAAUAGGUUUUAGUUGUGGUCGUCGGAAAACACACACCAAUGACGGCUCACAAAUCAUCGUAACUAACGUGGGUACAUAAUUGGGCUUUGGACUUCUAAUGGUCAUAUAAUUAUUCGAACGCUUCAGGGUCUUCAAUAGGUGUAGCUUCAAUUCUUCAAAUGCAUGGUGAAAUCCUCUUUACUUUGAAGUAGAACUCCGUUGAUUCUUCAUGAGGUCAAAGGGGUAAGGGGAUUGUAUAGCUAUUUGAAGUGAGAGAGAACAUUUGAUGAAAUUAGAAGAGAUGAGAAGUGAAAGGUGUAUUCGAAAAUAAGAUUUUUUGAGAGAUCCUAUCAUAAGAAGUUUCCAGUUUCUAGGGUCACGUCCUACAGUCAACAUGUGCUCUAGUGUGUGCGUUUCUGUAGUGACCCGACUCAAAACGAGUCAAGCCUCUGUGUUUCUGUGCCAUCCCUGGAUCAGUAUGCUGGCACACACAGUACAUCAAUGUAUAUAGUCAAAGUGCAAUCAUAUGUAAAUAGACGUAAAACUGAUAUAUACCUUAAAUAUCUCAGCGGNNNNNNNNNNNNNNNNNNNNNNNNNNNNNNNNNNNNNNNNNNNNNNNNNNNNNNNNNNNNNNNNNNNNNNNNNNNNNNNNNNNNNNNNNNNNNNNNNNNNUGUUCAUUUCUCCGACAAAAUGCAUGCAUAUAAAAAUUUGCAUGACCUUGCCUAAAAAUAGGACAUAUCGAGUUUACUCGCAAUUCAUCGAAACGGAAAUAAAUCGACAUUUCAGACAAAACAUAAGCAACUCACGGGUCAUGUCACUCACACAAUAUCCCUUCAUAUCGCAAACACACAUAUUCCCAUUAUUGAAAUGCACAAGUUUUUACUCACCUAUAUAUAUCUCGAGAGAGAUUGUGCAUGGMCUAAAAUAAUGGAGAAGGUAAAAAUGGURGGAGAAGUAAAUUAGAGAGAGGAAAGGAKUAAAGGGUGGGGARUAGGGCGGAAGGGGGGGAGGGGGAGGAGGGGGUGUGGUGGUGGGUAGAAAGUGGGACGGGACAACGUAAGUGGGUAGGGAAGGGAAAGGGAAGGAAAGGGAGGGRGAGUAAGGGGGGAAAGGGGGGGGGGWAGGGGGAGGGAGGGGGUGGUAGGUGGGUAGGGUUUAAAGUGGGAGGGGACAACGAAGUGGGUAGGGAGGAAAGGAGGAAAGGGANNNNNNNNNNNNNNNNNNNNNNNNNNNNNNNNNNNNNNNNNNNNNNNNNNNNNNNNNNNNNNNNNNNNNNNNNNNNNNNNNNNNNNNNNNNNNNNNNNNNUAUAUUUCCACCAUUGUUUACACCUCCAUCAUUUACUGCUUUUAUUUACUUUUCCGUUGCAAUCACUAUCGCUAUUCCCGCUUGUCUUUUGAUCCUUUGCAAACUACUAGGCCGGAGAGAUUGACAACCUCUCUGAACUCGUUGGGAGCAAAGUUAUUUGUUGUGUGUGCAGGUUCACGUCUUCUGCUAGCGCCAGAGCAGAGGACACCUACUUGUUGAUCCUCGGAGUCCUGCUGGUUCGAUAAACCUUCAGUCCCCGUGUAAGGAAAAUCUGCUGCUGACUACUCCCUCCGUCCGGGUUUAUUGGGCCCUUGGGCGCUGGGAGCGUGUCCGCUCUUAUUAGGCCCCGCUCGAUCCAGCUGCCMAAAGGUAGAAAAACGUUUCGUUGUCUUUCUCGAUCUUCCCGGCUGUCCUUUCGUUUCCCAGGCGUAGUAAUGUCCAUCCGUUGCAUGCAGCUAUAGAUACUCGUAUGACGUUCCUUCUCUUAGCACAACACCACUACUACUAGUUNNNNNNNNNNNNNNNNNNNNNNNNNNNNNNNNNNNNNNNNNNNNNNNNNNNNNNNNNNNNNNNNNNNNNNNNNNNNNNNNNNNNNNNNNNNNNNNNNNNNUAUCCAUUUUAUCUUUUCUGACCAACGAUCCGAGUGGAAGUACUCGCGAAACAGACUGUCGGAAGCCGAGUGCUUCUGCGGCAUCUUUUGACGCGACCGGUCAACUUACAGCGGCGGAUUUUCCGGGAUCUUUAAAUUUUGGUUUCCGCGCGUCCAGCGGGGAUGACGCCGGCGCGCUCGAGUAGCGCCUGACGCCUCGAUUCUCGCGCCUUCAACUCCUCCACUGAUAUCGCCGCGGCCGGUCGGGCGGAUAAGGUUUCGGGGCCAUCUGCCAGUGACCCAGUCGGAACCCUAUUUAAAUCUCAGCGGCGAGGCUUCUUCGUUACGCUCGCCGAAUCUUUCGCUCUCGCCUGCUCCGUCUUCCUCGCCGCCUCCAGCGCUCCUACACUCCUUCCUUCUCCUUCCUCCCGAGGGUUCGCCGUCGCCUCCAUGACCAAGGGUCAGACCAGCAAGAUGGAGGUGAGGAAGAAGAAGGCAAGGCGGCGGCGCCUGACUCGAGUGGCGGCAGGNNNNNNNNNNNNNNNNNNNNNNNNNNNNNNNNNNNNNNNNNNNNNNNNNNNNNNNNNNNNNNNNNNNNNNNNNNNNNNNNNNNNNNNNNNNNNNNNNNNNUUGGGUACCGUAAGUUUGGGUAAGGUGAACCCCCUUCGCAGGGGUUUAAAAGUACUUUCCGGUAAAAGUACGUGUCCCGCGGUUAUGUGGCAACGUGGAAACUUUGUUUAACACUGGUUCUAGNUAACGUGAAGUUAACUAAUUAAAAUAUGCCAACCGUGUGCGUAACCGUGACUGUCUAUUUCGUGAGUUCCUUCUCCGAUCGAGGACACGGUGGGGUCAUGUCUGACGUAGGUAGGGGUUCAGGAUCAUUCAUUUGAUCAUCCAUAGUUCACGUCCGCUAUGCGUAGAUCUUCCCCCUCUUAUUUCUGGUACUCGUAAGUUAGCCACCAAAUAUAUGCUUAGUCGCUGCUGCAACCUCACCACUUAACCAUACCUCACCCAUUAAGCUUUGCUAGUCUUGAUACCUUUGGAAAUGAGAUUGUUGAGUCCCCUGUGGCUCACAGAUUACUACAACACCAGUUGCAGGUACAGGUAAAUGUUACUUGACGCGAGCGCGUUGAUUGUUCAUUUGAAGUUUGUUUCUUCUUUCUUCUUUCUACUACGUACGUACUUACGGUAAGURGGUUUCCGGUACCGGACCGGGCCGGACGACCGGUCCGGGUAGGUAAGUACGAACGGUAAGGUACGGGUACGGUUACCGGUUUCCGUUUYCYKUUUGUUUCGKUUUCGGUUUUUCGGUUUCCGGUACCGGUACGGACCCGGUACCGUCGUCCUUUACCUUACCNNNNNNNNNNNNNNNNNNNNNNNNNNNNNNNNNNNNNNNNNNNNNNNNNNNNNNNNNNNNNNNNNNNNNNNNNNNNNNNNNNNNNNNNNNNNNNNNNNNNUAUAUGCCCUCUUGCGUCGGGCCUUGGGUCGUAAGUGUCACCGACUGAACGCCGAUCAUCAUGAUGUCGGGACCCGUAGGGCCCACCCCGCGGAGGGGUGCGUGAGCGGCGGCGAUCUUCAUGAAUCAUGGAACGGCUGCCUCCCCUGUGGCGCUGAUGGGAACCAGGACUGUGAACCGACCGAUGCGUAUUCGCGUGGACGGAACUAUUAUAGAUCUGGUUGUGUGACUGGGAGACCGCCGAAUUCUGCUGCUGCGUCGUGUGCAACAGGGCUCGGAUCUGCUCGAUCCCUCUACCAGCCUCUGAAUCAGUCGGCUGGAGGGAAUCGGCUAUCUUGGCAGCUGCAGCCAAGUUGAGGAGGGGUGUGCGGAACAGCUCCAGUUGCUCCGCCGAGUGUGCCGACUAGCAGAACGGCAAGGUGGACGGCGCGCACCGGAUGCUUCACUGACCUCGCGCUCGCUUCGGCCAGCUUGACGGGGAUCUUCAUGGGAGUUGGCCAUGUGGACUUCUGCUGCGCGCCCGCGACCCGCAUACUCGGAAGGAAACUCAGUCGGAACCGAGUCCGAGUGCGUGGGACGGCGGGCAACCACAACGGACUCAAGAACCACCACUUGUGAAGACGCGUUCUGGCGCGCCGUGGGCGUGUUGCCACCCAACGCUGGAGCCGACGGACGGCGGGAACGCUUGACGCGACGCGUGAAGGUGGUNNNNNNNNNNNNNNNNNNNNNNNNNNNNNNNNNNNNNNNNNNNNNNNNNNNNNNNNNNNNNNNNNNNNNNNNNNNNNNNNNNNNNNNNNNNNNNNNNNNNUCGAUAGUUUUUUCUUUCUAAACCAAAUGUUAAACUACUAAUAAGCACAUUGAUAAUUUUAGAGUUAUGAUAUUUCAUUCAUUCACAAUUUACUCUUAGGAUAUAGGUGAAGCACAAGAGUAAACAUCAAACUACUCUCAAAAGAUAAGUGAAGACAAAUGAGUAGUCAAACAAUUAACUAGCUAUGUGAGGACUAUCUCUCAAUAAGGAUUUUAAAAUAUCAUACUUAUUUCAAAACAAAAAGAAUCAAAAUAAACUCCAAGAAUAGCACAUAUCAUGUGAACAAAUAAAACUUAGGCUCAACAUAGGCUAACGGAUAUUUGUUGACGAAGAGAGGCGGGAUGCGUAGUAUACCCAAGCUUAGAUGCUUGAUACUGCUUGUAAUAUUGACUUGGGGUGCCUUGGACAUCCCCAAGCUUGAGUCUUUUGUAUCUCACUCAAUCCUGUCAUAUCCCGGUUUUACCUUAGUCUCAAAAACUUCAUCCACACAAAACUUGAGAAGACCUCGUGAUAUAAGUUAGUACAUAAGAAUAAAUCAACACUUCAUGUACUACCAAAACAAGUUGCACAAUAUUUUCAGACAUUAGGUACUUUAUAUUAUCAUUACCACAAUUUAUAUCUACCAAUAUAAUCCAUGAAAACUCUAGGAUAAGUAGAUAACAAAACUAUGACAACAAUCUGUCMACNNNNNNNNNNNNNNNNNNNNNNNNNNNNNNNNNNNNNNNNNNNNNNNNNNNNNNNNNNNNNNNNNNNNNNNNNNNNNNNNNNNNNNNNNNNNNNNNNNNNUACAUGCAAAUUUAGUUGGAAUGGCAGUGAAAUACCAUAUAUAGGUAGGUAUGGUGGACUCUCUUGGAAUAAACAUGGCUCAAGGAUUUGGAUGCACAAGUAGUAUAUCUACUUAGUAUGCAGUUUUUCCUAGCAAAAGGUUCUCAACAAGCACCAGAUGCUGGAGGACCAUAACAAUAUAACAUGUAUGCAAAUAUACCCAAACAUAACCAUUACGUUAUCUUCCUUGUCCAACUUCAACAAUUUGAUCAAGGUUGAAAAUAAUAAACAAGUAUUCACAAUCAUAAAAGAAGUCCAAGAUAAUAUAUUUGUAUGUGAAAGUUCUCUUUCUUAUACUACUCAUUCAUGAAUUGCUUGUAUGACCAAUAUUAUUAUUGUUCAAACUUCGUAUUAGUUUUUCUUUACUAAACCUAAWUAGUUAAACUAACUAAUAAGCACAUUGWAUAAUUUAGUAGUUAWGUAUAUUUCUAUUCUUUUACUAAUUUACUCUUMKAACCUAAAUUUUACCUUACGUUAGUAAGUUAAUUAAGGUUAGAAGGUACCAACGAAAGUAACGGUNNNNNNNNNNNNNNNNNNNNNNNNNNNNNNNNNNNNNNNNNNNNNNNNNNNNNNNNNNNNNNNNNNNNNNNNNNNNNNNNNNNNNNNNNNNNNNNNNNNNUAUCACGAGAAAACACCUUUUCUAGCCAUUCACGCUUAGCAAGUAUUCUAGCGGUUCUUUACUUACACUCGACAAUAGAAAUUCCCAUAUAUUUUAAAGACUCAUUAAUAUCAUGCUUGGGUGGAAUAGAUCUAAUUUUCAAAGAAUCAAUCUCAAGAGAAAUUCUAUCAACGUUCCUAGCCAAAUCAUCAAUCUUGAGCAAUUUUUCUUCAAUCAUAGCAUUGAAACCUUUUUGCGAGCUAAUGAAUUCUUUAAUAUUAUUCUCAAGAUUGGAGGGCAUCUUAUUAUAAUUUACAUAAUAAUUGUUGUAGGAUUUACUAGGAAACGGCCUAGGAUUGAAAUUACCUCUAUACGCGUUAUUACCAAAAUUGUAGGCAAGUAGAGAGUACUACAAGUGAAUGAUAAUUGUGAGUAAGUUACUUGAUAGUAAGUUGGUGRUACUMCMKCMGAGACGCAMGAAKCCUKCUCGAUACUWGURAYCUACCGUAGUGGUUGGUCGGUCGGUUCGGGUCGGUCGUUCCUCCUACGGAACGGACACCAACGGGAGGGUAAGUNNNNNNNNNNNNNNNNNNNNNNNNNNNNNNNNNNNNNNNNNNNNNNNNNNNNNNNNNNNNNNNNNNNNNNNNNNNNNNNNNNNNNNNNNNNNNNNNNNNNCCGGUUAAGGGUAACGGGUAGGUAAGGUUUGGGUUUUGGGGUUAACGUAACCUAACGGAAGUUUUUAGUUUUAGUAAGUUUGGUUAAGGGUACGGUUUMGGUUUACGGUAAACWAAAACUUUUUWAACKUUUCGGGUACGGGKAAKUAAGUACCGUCCUACGUAMGUUUUUAUUUUUGGUCGUUACUAUCCUUAAGCACUUUGAGUAACCAAUUCAUCAUAGAGACAACAUCCCCCUUUUUAAUAGUAUUGGCUUUCCUAUGGACUCAAAUGUGACUUCUCACAAAUAUAAAAAUGUAGAGUCUUCUUGCUUGAAGCUUGGACAAUCCUAUUCCUUUUCUUCCAUCAAGGGGUUUCUCCUCACAAUCCUUUAGCCAAGGCAUCUUUGAACUUUUGUGAAAUAUACAUGGAUAGAAUCAUUAUUUCAAUGAUACAUAUGUUGUUAUUAAUUACCAAAACCACCUUAGGGAGCAAUUGUGCUUUCAAUCUCCCCCUUUUGCUAAUCGAUGACAACAUAUAGAUCAAAGCUUGCAUGCCUAGUUAAUAUAGGGUAUUAUAUACCAAAAUGAUCAGAAAAUAUCCUCUACUCGAUUAACAUUUUCCAAAACCAAAUAAAAACUUUUUAAAAAUUAGUUUUUUUCCUAGWAAAAUACCCUAAGGUAUUUAUUUUCUUUUUGUCUAAUUAAUUUCUUGUAUAAACUUUGGACUUCAAAAUAUUUCAGAAAUGCUCACUAUUUGGAGGUCUAUUUCCUCCGCUCUUUCUUGCGUUGCNNNNNNNNNNNNNNNNNNNNNNNNNNNNNNNNNNNNNNNNNNNNNNNNNNNNNNNNNNNNNNNNNNNNNNNNNNNNNNNNNNNNNNNNNNNNNNNNNNNNUAGAAGGAAGGAGAGGUGGGCGCGGGGUGCGCUGGAGGCGGGGUCGACCAGGUGGGGAACGGGUGGGGCCGGGCGUCAGCGAGGGGGUGCGGGAGGGGUUCGGUCAGUUUGACCGAGAGGAAAAAAGGGGAAGGGAUCCCGGGCCAGGGGGUGGGCCGAUUCUAUAAUGCGCCCACGCGCUUUCCUCUUAAAAAAAUCCGUUUCCUGUUUUAGUCUUUUUUCAAAAACAAAAACUAAAACAAAUAAAAGGACAACAAACAAAAUAAGUUAAUAUAGGUAGUUAUAUACAAAMUAGAUACAGAAAAUAAAUACCUCUACUACGUAUUAACUAAUUUUUACCUUAAAACCCAAAAACUAAAAAAACUUUUUAAAAAAAACUUUUAAAGUUUUUUUUUACCUUUUAACGUAAAAAUAACCCUUAACGGAAGUUUAAUUUUUACUUUUUUGUUUCUAAUUAAAUUUUACUUUGUAUUAAAACUUUAGGUCGUUCAAACUAAUUUACUAGAAAUAGUNNNNNNNNNNNNNNNNNNNNNNNNNNNNNNNNNNNNNNNNNNNNNNNNNNNNNNNNNNNNNNNNNNNNNNNNNNNNNNNNNNNNNNNNNNNNNNNNNNNNUAAAAUAUUAGUCGUAUAUCACAAAUAGUUCUAAUAUAUUAAAGUUUAGUUCUAGCAUAGAAUCUACAAAAUGUUAAUUAUGUAUUAAAAUUAGUCUCCGCGUAUAUUACUAAAAAAUACAAUGUAUAUUAAAAUUUAGUUUGGUCGGGACUNUUAAAAAUUAGGUACUUGCNGAAAUGAAAGACGACCAUNACGGGUCUGCAUAGUUGGGCUCUCCGGCAGGCACCAUGGCGAUGGUGGUGUCUAUUCUCUUGAUCGUGUGGGCGACUAGAGACAUAGCGGCGAGUGGCUUAGGCGCGCUCUUUGUCUAUGAUGAUGGCGGUGCCCUGAUCCUUAUCUGCGGUUUGGGAGUCGUCGUGCUACUCCUGAAGGCCUCCUGGUGACACGAGAGAGCUACCGGACGAAAGCCCCGCGCUUUAGCGUCAAUGACGGUGAUGCCUAGUAGGCGCUACUCUCUUCUUGAAGACAUCGUUGCGAUGCUCUUCUCUGUGUCGUGGGUUCCGGUAGUACCUUUGUCCGUCAGGUGGACUCGACAACGACUAACGUUGUAUUCGUUCCUCCCUCUUGGAGGCUAGUUGUCGUGGAGUACUUAAAUAGUUAUUACCGGACGGUUGGGUGUCGGGUGGUCGUCUUCGUUUGGUUACUUUUUGUUUUUACGUUUUCGGUUUNNNNNNNNNNNNNNNNNNNNNNNNNNNNNNNNNNNNNNNNNNNNNNNNNNNNNNNNNNNNNNNNNNNNNNNNNNNNNNNNNNNNNNNNNNNNNNNNNNNNUGAACAUUUUUAUAAUGCACAUUUAACCUUUCAUGAUAGGAAAAAGGAAAAAAAACUGCUUUUCUUUGUGCCUUUCGCGAAAGAAAUCCAUUCCUCUACGGGAAGUAAAUCCCUACCUCUCGUGGUAAGGAAAAUGUGUCUUUUAUAGGCAUAAUCGUGCCUCUUGCGAAAAUGAAUCCGUACCCCUCAUAGUAAGAAAAAAUGAACCUACGUUUUUCUUCUUUUUUGAAAGGCUCAGUAGCAGAAGAAGAAACGUCGUUUUUCACGUUAAUUUGUUUUCAACUUAUUUUUUUAGGUUUAAAACCUAAGAAAUCCAAUAGAAAAACMAAAAAAAACAUAAAAACAUACUAAAACCGUAGAAAACGACUAUAGUUAAUUACUUUUUACCUUAACAAAAAGUACCGCCCGAAGCAUGACUACGUUAGUGGCCCGNUGAGGAUGUAUUUCGAUCAGUCGGGACACGCCCGUACGGUACCCGGCCCCGUAACCCUUAACCCGAACGGACGGGCCCGGGUACGUUNNNNNNNNNNNNNNNNNNNNNNNNNNNNNNNNNNNNNNNNNNNNNNNNNNNNNNNNNNNNNNNNNNNNNNNNNNNNNNNNNNNNNNNNNNNNNNNNNNNNCGGAAGGUAGGGUCGACCAACUACGAAAGUACCUUCCUUAAGGAAAAAGCCCGUCCCCGACGGAACGGGUACAUUCGGUACGUAAGUCGGACGUCGCGGGAGGGCCCGCCCUUACGUUGGUGCCGUCCUCACGCUACUACCGUCGGCCAAUAUCGUACCGGGACCGGGACUAAAAAAAACCCGUAGUACAAAACCCCAGGCCUGAGCCCGACCGUYGGGCCUAAUUUUUAGGCCUAGGCCCGACCCGAGCUCGAAGAGUCCGGCCCCACAUAGACGUAAAAUCAGGUUUUCAUGGACCUAGGUCCGGGCCCGACCCGACCGUCGGGCUUGAUUAUCAGGCGCUAGCCCGGCUCGUUGGUAAGGUCGGGCCGGACUGGGCUGCCCAUGAUCAAAUACAUCCUCAGCGGCCAUAACGUGUCAUGCUUCGGGCGUAUUUUUGAAGGAAAAAUAUUACAURUGUUUCAGGUUUUAGAUGUUUUUUAUUGUUUUUUUUUUGUUUCUAUUGGUAUUUUUCUUAAGGUUUUAAAACCAAAAAAAUUGUUAGAAAAAACUAAAUUAACGUAGAAAAAAACGUCGUUUUCUUACUUCUGUCUACUGACGUACCUUUAACAAAAAAAAAGAAGUAAAAAAAACGGUUGGUUACUUAACUUUUUUUUACUAACUUAAGNNNNNNNNNNNNNNNNNNNNNNNNNNNNNNNNNNNNNNNNNNNNNNNNNNNNNNNNNNNNNNNNNNNNNNNNNNNNNNNNNNNNNNNNNNNNNNNNNNNNUCAUGGGUUCACGCUUACAACCAAUAAUUCCGCUAUUGGUCCAUUUUGAAGUGUAGGCCUUUAAGGCCCUAUAUAUGUAAUACUCGACCGAGGUGGUCAUUUAUUGUAUCAAACGGUAUGUAUGGAUGUAAGACUCUUUUAUUCGGUAUCUGUGUUCGGUGAGCAUUGAUCUCUGGGAUCACUGAGCACGGCGAUCUCAACUCGUAAGUCGGGGUCCCCACAGUCAUAGACACCCAGAUUCCUUCAAACUCGAUUUCCCAUUUCUUUUGUUUGAAAUUCCCUAUUCGUAGCUCAUCGCGUCAAACUGCGGACGCUUCUACAGACGAACGACCGAGCAGCAAUGUUGUGGACCAGCCGAGUUUCAGCUAGCCGGGACAGCUUCCUCGAACCGUUUAUCUUAUUUUUAACGGUUUCUUUGUUUCUUUUUUCGUUUUUUUGUUUCUUGUUUCUUCUUCUUCUUUCUUCCUUUCCUUUUUCGAAUUAGUUGUUUCUUAUUGUUUUUAUUUUUUCUAAGGUUUAUUAUUAYUUAUUUUUUAAACUAAGUUUGUAUUGUUACNNNNNNNNNNNNNNNNNNNNNNNNNNNNNNNNNNNNNNNNNNNNNNNNNNNNNNNNNNNNNNNNNNNNNNNNNNNNNNNNNNNNNNNNNNNNNNNNNNNNUCUUYGGUUUCAGUUAAAAUCGAGCCGGUUUACUUCACUUAAUUUAGCCGAAGAGGUUUKGUUAAAUAGCGGUAGUUUGCUAGAACCCCCACAGCACUCACACCCCUUAGCCAAUGAGAGCACGCCACAUACCCCCCCCCCCCCCCRYGCACUAGUUAGAUUUUCUAUUUUUAGUUUAAUUCAAAAACAGAGGCAGUUUUGUUUUGCUCAUAACUUUUGAUCCACAACUCCAACGAGGUUGAUUAUUUUUCGAGUAGAUAACAAUUUUUCUGUAGUUUUUAAAAACAUAUAAUUUGUCUAUGUUUGAAAUUUUCAAAUUUGAAUUAGAUCAGUAUUUAUUUUAAACCUUGUUUUGCCUUUUCCAGGAGUUUAAAAAUAGCUUUUAAUUGAUUCCUUUUGCUACUGAUCACUAGUGUAUCUUUAUUUAUCUAGUGUAAUAAAAAUUUACUAGUAUUUGUUUGUAGUUAUUUUAGUCUCUAUUGUUUCUUGUUAGAAACUAAUUUCUUGUUUCUACCUUCUUUAGGUAUUAUUGUCUUAUUUCCUUUUACUUAUUAAUUUAGUUUUUAAAUUUAUUUUUNNNNNNNNNNNNNNNNNNNNNNNNNNNNNNNNNNNNNNNNNNNNNNNNNNNNNNNNNNNNNNNNNNNNNNNNNNNNNNNNNNNNNNNNNNNNNNNNNNNNCUAAGAUAUUCAUUAAGUUGGGUACGAAUAGAUUGAUACGGAUUGCACAUGCUGUAGUGUAACCAAGUCAAAUGGCGUUCAUGCCGGACAGAAACAUACUGAGGGUGUGGCCGUCCUUCAUGAAACCUUGCACAAAUUUACUCGAAGAAACUAGAUGGGUUAUCUUCAAGGUGGAUUUUGAGAAAGUGUAUGACAAAGUCAAAUGGCCAUUCUUAUAGCAAGCUCUAUGUAUGAAGGGUUUUGACGACCUAUGCAGAAAGCACGUUGAAUCCUUUGUAGAAAAAGGUAGCAUUGGAAUUAAGGUUAAUAAUGACACUGGACAUUAUUUUCAAAGGCACAAAGGUCGUGUCCCCGUAUCCUAUUUAAUAUAGUUGUGGAUAUGUUGACAAUUAUAAUAGACAGGGCUAAAGAGGAAGACCUGGUAGGAGGACUAGUACCACAUCUAAUGGAUGGUGGAGUGUUCAUACUACAAUACGUUGAUGAUAUUAUUCUUUUCAUGGAACAUAAUAUAGCAAACGCUAGAAAUAUGAAAUUGAUGCUUUGCUUGUUUGAACAGUUGUCCGGAUUAAAAAUUAAUUUCAUAAAAGUGAAUUGUUCUGCUUGGCUCCGGAGCGGUAUGGCAGAUUCUUGGUGGCGGGGUGCUUAUCUAAAUUUCCUUGAUUGGAGGAUCAUCUUCGUAUUUUCUUCCGUCGUGGGGACCACAACACCAGACGGGCGACGAGCCGUCUAGGCUUUUAUUUGGAGGUGUCCUGCUCCUCCCAAGGUCCACAAUUUUAUUUAGCGUUUGAUCACAGAUUGCUUGCCCACGUGUGUUAAUAAAAAACGGCAUGGUUUGGAGGUCUCGGACCAAUGUCCCCUCUGUACAAUGAAGCCGGAGGGCACAUUUGAUGAUUUUUGCACGUGCCCUAGGGUGUUGGCAUUAGGGCAAGCGAUGGCAGAGAACUGGCAAAUUCCUAAUGUAGUANNNNNNNNNNNNNNNNNNNNNNNNNNNNNNNNNNNNNNNNNNNNNNNNNNNNNNNNNNNNNNNNNNNNNNNNNNNNNNNNNNNNNNNNNNNNNNNNNNNNACGCACACACUGGACAAAWGGACAAAAUGCAUCAUUGAUCAUCAAACGGUGGUAUAGAGCAAUAUCAUAAUAGGAUCCAGACUAAAUCCAGAAAGGCAACGUGGUACCUAAUUUAUGCAAAGAGCACCUCAGCCAUCGAGGCCACUUGGUCCGACAAGCCGCCCUCAAUGGCUACACGACUUGGGCCCUACACUAAAGUCGUGUUUGCCUUCCUCAUAUGGCAUCAUCGCCAAGAGGAAUAAAAGGGGUCGCCCUUCGACCAUCAGAUCACUAGAGGGAAUGGGCCUUCGACCACCUUUGUGGGCGCCAUGGCCUCUCCAAGUUCAGUGUUGUUUGAUUGACCAUGUCGUGUGUAUUUGCAUCGUCUUUGCUGCUACUCUCAUGCUUGCUCAACUCGCAAUGCAAAGAGAAUCCAAAGUAUCUCUUCUAGAUCAGGGGACAACUCCAUCAUCAUCGAAAACUCGAAUCCGACGAGGCAAGUGACCCGCAAAGCAAGCAUGUUGGGAUCCCUCGGUGUUAAGCCUCCGUGCCGGCACGAAGGGAAUAGGUGGACCCCACAAAGGCUUGUUUGAGGGCGCAUGUGAUCUUAUUUAUAGGGAGUGUGUUCCCUUCAUCACUCCUCCACCAUGGAGGCAGUGCAAACCAUUGCACGUUGCACGGGAGCUCUGAUGGUCGAUGGUAGUCAUUGGCGCAAGUCCAAACACCACGAAGACAAGGACCCUAAUCCUACUAUUUACGGUAGGAGCCCAAGCUCCUCUCGCAUCCCCACUCCAAGCAGUAACACUACCAAGAAGAAUAGUGGGCCAAACAAGGCACACAGGGAUAGGAUGAGGAAGAGAGGGAAAUAAGAGAAAGAGAAACCACAAUAGAUGGUUUAUAAGAAAGACAAUGCAUUACAAUUGUCCUUGCUGGCUACUUGUCCAUAUAUAUGUACAUUAUGAUUCAAACCAGAUCAUCAGGUGACUGAACCAUUCUAGUUUACUUUGUUCCACUUUAUUCACAUCACAAAGAGAAAAAUGACCUACAAUGUACAUGGAGCUACCAAUCCAAGUACAACUUCUUAUGGAAGUUAAUUAAGUACCCUUAUUGAGAUGUCAUAGAACAUGAUCCCGCCACUAGUUUUAGUUGCAUGUGAAUUUCAAGUUUUACUUCAAUGUUAUUCUANNNNNNNNNNNNNNNNNNNNNNNNNNNNNNNNNNNNNNNNNNNNNNNNNNNNNNNNNNNNNNNNNNNNNNNNNNNNNNNNNNNNNNNNNNNNNNNNNNNNUGGAGCUUCGGCUCCGGCGAGGUGGCGGCAGGGGCGGCGAAGCUUGGGCAGGGGCGGCGAGGAGGGGAAACGGGGCGAGGAGAGGGGCUCGGGGCCGGCUACUUAUAGGGGAGAGGGGAGACUGCGGAGGGAAGGAGAUCGGCGAGGCGGGGGCAAGUCCGGCAAUGGCGGGGUGGCCGGCUGGGCAAGGAAAGUGGAGGGAGGCGCGAGGGAGAGACUACUGCAUGGGCCGAGCCCACCAAAGUGAGGCCUCCCCUCGUCUAUCCCCCCGCCUAGGUGUUGCCUACUAUAUUGCGCUGCCUGUUCGGCCCGUUGGUAUAUUUAGGAUUUUUUCGGGAUUUUAAUUAAAAAUUCCAGAAAAUUAGACGUUAAAUAAAAUCCCCGUAACUUUUAAUCCGUAAGUCGAAACGAGGCGUAUCUUAUAUGGUUUUGGUGUCGAAUUUCGUGUAGAAUACGAUUUAGCAACUUGCAUAUUUAUUUGACGUUGUUUGACGUAUCGUAUGCAUGGGUUUACGUGCUGUCUCAAUAGGAAAGUGCCCGCUAGUUUUAUUUUCUGUAGCGUUGUUACGAAUURSUCGAAUGCCAUGUUAGAAAUGCCUAUGGUUUUAGGGGCUAUUUAUCCAUGUUAUUUUAGAGCGGUCUAAAUUGUUUAUUUUUUACGUGGUAGGGUAUUUGGACCCGGUAGUCCUUUACUUUUCCCGUAUAGUAGGUUGUUUAUCUCUACUAUUAAUGUGGUGGNNNNNNNNNNNNNNNNNNNNNNNNNNNNNNNNNNNNNNNNNNNNNNNNNNNNNNNNNNNNNNNNNNNNNNNNNNNNNNNNNNNNNNNNNNNNNNNNNNNNUAUUUGUUCUAAUAAAGUUGGGAUUUUUCGUACAGUAAAAUAGUUCAGAAUACAGUCCGAAGGGACAUGUGUGAAAGCAAACUUUGCAAAGUGCAUCGCAAGCGUCUUUCUUAAAGCAUCUUCAACAGGCGUUCAACGCUCGGCGCGCUAAAAUCUUGUUUGCAGCGCGUCUAUUGUCAGGUUUGACGCGGCGCUGGCUUCAGCAGUCGUGCUGAAAUGUAGCGCGGGCGCGCAGCUCCAGCAGUGCGCUAAAAUGCACAGCGCGCGCGCAGCCGGCGCCUCACAUUUUUCAUUUUGAACAUAAAUUUCACAGAUGAGCACAAAACACAUGACAUAUAAUUUGAAUCGCAGACAUCAUUUAACCAAGUUCGUGCCCAAAAGUUCAUGCCCACAAGUUCAAAUUCAUGCCCACAACGUCAUUCAACGAAGUUCAAAAUGCAAACAAAGUUCAUGACACAAACGAAAGGCACAACAAUCAAGCCUCGUCUUCAUCCUCAUCUUCCUCCGAUGCAGCCGACUCCGUCGCGCGCGAGGCUGAUGCUCGGAGGAGCUCCGGCAGUGUGUGCGUCCAACCCUCCCAGGGCUAGUGUUUGCGGCGACGUCGACGGGGGCGGAGGGUUCGCGGUUGUAGGAUGGGGUGAGGGGGGAGCGGGCGCGCGGGCGCGCGCGUCCAUCGGGUCAGUUCGCCGGCGCCGGCGCGUGCGGGGCGAAGGUGCCGCGGUGGAGAGAGUGCGGCGCGAGCGCUCGUGUGUGCCGCGCACGAAAGCGGACGCACCAAAUANNNNNNNNNNNNNNNNNNNNNNNNNNNNNNNNNNNNNNNNNNNNNNNNNNNNNNNNNNNNNNNNNNNNNNNNNNNNNNNNNNNNNNNNNNNNNNNNNNNNUAUAAGAACGACGUCCAUCCUUGCUAUCCCAGGCUGCCGGCCUGGAACCCACCUAGAUCGAUGAAGAAGAAGAAGAAGAAGCAACUCCAAAUGAAAAAUCAACGCGCUCGCAUCAAGUAACCUUUACCUGUACCUACAACUGGUGUUGUAGUAAUCUAUGAGCCACAGGGGACUCAGCAAUCUCAUUUCCAAAGGUAUCAAUACUAGCAAAGCUUAAUGGGUGAGGUAUGGGUUAAGUGGUGAGGUUGCAGCAGCGGUUAAGCAUAUWWUUGGUGGCUAACUUACGAGGACAAGAAAUAAGGAGGGGAAGUUCUACUCAUAACGGACGUAGAACUACUGAAUGAUCAAAUGAAUGAUCCUGAACACCUACCUACGUCAGACACUAACCCCACCGUCGUACCUCCAACCGGAGGAAAGGAACCUACGAACGAAACGAGACAGUCACGGUUACGCUACACUAGUGCAUAUAGUUAAUUAAGUUUAAACUACGUAAGUUUACUACUUAACGAAACCGAAGUUAACGGUUAAAACUAAACGUACGUUUACCCGNNNNNNNNNNNNNNNNNNNNNNNNNNNNNNNNNNNNNNNNNNNNNNNNNNNNNNNNNNNNNNNNNNNNNNNNNNNNNNNNNNNNNNNNNNNNNNNNNNNNCGCUUGUUACUGUUGCUACUUGCUAUUGCUGUCACUACCGUUCGCUCGUUACACUACCGUUACCUCGUCUACUUUGUCUAUUACUACGUUGCUUGCAGAUACUAAUCUUUCUAGGUGUGGUUGAAUCUGACAAUUCUAACUGCUAAUACUUGAGAGUAUUCUCCCACCUCCCGUCCGUGUGAAUCAACAAAUUUGGGUCGAAUACUCUACCCUCGAAAACUGCUGCGAACCCACGCGCUGGUGGGCCAUCAACAACAUUCUUCUAGUUUCGUUGCCGGGGAGUGCUAGCAGCAUUCUUCUGGUACCGUUGCAAAGGGGAAGAACAAUUUACAUCAAGCAUUGUUCUGGCACCAUUGCCAGGGAUUGCAAUCACCCCUCCAAUGACUCGUGAGUAGUUCACUUCAGACCUAUGGGUCCGUAGUUAGUAGCUAGAUGGCUUCUUCUCUCUCUUGGAUCUUCAAUAUAAAGUUCUCCAUGAUCUUCAUGGAGAUCUAUCCGAUGUAAUCCUCUUUGGCGGUGUGUUUGUCGAGAUUCGAUGAAUUGUGGAUUUGUGAUCAGAUUAUCUAUGAUAUAUAUUUGAGUCUUUGCUGAUUUCUUAUAUGCAUGAUUUGAUAUCCUUGUAAGUCUCUCCGAGUCUUGGGUUUUGUUUGGCAAACUAGAUCUAUGAUUAUUGCAAUGGGAGAAGUGCUUGAUUUUGGGUUCAUACCGUGUGGUGACCUUUCCCAGUGACAGAAGGGGCAGCAAGGCACGCAKUCGUGUUGUUGCCAUCGAAGGGUAUCAMGAWGGGCUUUUAUCGUAGAUAUGAGAUUGUCCAUCUACAUCAUGUCAUCUUGCUUAAGGUGUUACUCUCUUCUCAUGAACUUAAUACACUAGAUGCAUGCUGGAUAGCGGUCGACGUGUGGAGUAAUAGUAGUAGAUGUAGAAAGUAUCGGUCUACUUGUUUGGACUGAUGCCUAUAAAUAUAAUCAUUGNNNNNNNNNNNNNNNNNNNNNNNNNNNNNNNNNNNNNNNNNNNNNNNNNNNNNNNNNNNNNNNNNNNNNNNNNNNNNNNNNNNNNNNNNNNNNNNNNNNNUCCAAUCAAGCUUUUGGGCCCCUCGGGGGCCCACUUGAUGCAACUCCACCGCCAUAUGGUCCUAUAAAUUCAGAAACCUCCAGAAAGAAACAAAGAUUGGGAGUUCCGCCGCCGCAAGUUCCUGUUUCCGUGAGAUCUCAUCUAGAGACCCUUCCGGGUGCCCUGCCGGAGGGGACUUUGGUGUUGGAGGGCCUCUUCAUCAACAUCAUCGCCCCUCCAAUGACUCGUGAGUAGUUCACUACAGACCUACGGGUCCGUAGUUAGUAGCUAGAUGGCUUCUUCUCUCUCUUGGAUCUUCAAUACAAAGUUCUCCAUGAUCUUCAUGGAGAUCUAUCCGAUGUAAUCCUCUUUGGCGGUGUGUUUGUCGAGAUCUGAUGAAUUGUGGAUUUGUGAUCAGAUUUUCUAUAAUAUAUAUUUGAGUCUUUGCUGAUUUCUAAUUUGCAUGAUUUGAUAUCCUUCUAAGACACUCUGAGUCUUGGGUUUUGUUUGGCCAACAAGAUCUAUGAUUCUUGCAAUGGGAGAAGUGCUUGGUUUUGGGUUCUUACCGUGUGGUGACCUUUCCAGUGACAGUAGGGGCAGCAAGGCACACAGGGGAUAGGNNNNNNNNNNNNNNNNNNNNNNNNNNNNNNNNNNNNNNNNNNNNNNNNNNNNNNNNNNNNNNNNNNNNNNNNNNNNNNNNNNNNNNNNNNNNNNNNNNNNCAAUAGCCCUAAUACCCCCUUCGUAAGUGCCCUUAGUACGAGAAACUUCCGAACCAACGUCUACACUACUAUUUGGUAUAUUUCGUGCAUUUACUAUUUUUUGAGCUAGUUGACCCUGAAAUUGAAAAGCACUACAAAUGAACUCUGAAAAUGUUGAAAGUUGGCAUGCUAUCAUCAUUUCACCCACAUAGCAUGUGUUAAAAAGUUGAGAGGGCUACGACAAAAACUGGAUGCACUUCGUGUACAAAACUGACAAUCUCUCUCGAAGUAGCAGGGUUUCGAACGAGAACUCAUCUCUUACAAAGGGAUUUCAUUUUUUGAACUUAUUUGAACUYCAUACUUUUUGUGUGUUCAAAAUGCACCAUUCAAAGGCACAUCACAAAAUUUCAACAAUUUCUGACUUCAUUUGGUAUAUUUUGUGCAUUUACUUUUAUUUUUUGAGCUUAGUUCGACCCUAGUAAAUUAGAAAGCACUAACAAUAGACUCUAGAAAUGUUAGAAGUUGGCAUGCUAUCAUCUAUUNNNNNNNNNNNNNNNNNNNNNNNNNNNNNNNNNNNNNNNNNNNNNNNNNNNNNNNNNNNNNNNNNNNNNNNNNNNNNNNNNNNNNNNNNNNNNNNNNNNNUAAUGUAACUAGAUAUAGCUGUGGUAGAAAGUUGAGCUCAAGGAUAAAAGUGGAAGGGGUCAAAGAAGCCCAUUUAGUGAGUGCACACAAGGUGUUUGAUCUGUGGUUAGGCUAGCAUAUGGAUUCCAAUGGCUAUGAAACUUAACAGGGUCAAAUAAUAGAUGCAAAUAGGCUUGCACACCAAAUUUGGGAUUUGCUGGAGAAGUUUCCCAAUGUAGACUUGGAAAACCCCUAAAAUGGGUAGAAAUGGAUUUCUGCUUACAAUCAUAUUCAAAUAAAUUCCCACAAAUCCAAUUUUUGGUGUAGGGGCAUUAUUUGAGCAUUAAGGCACGCAACAAAAAGUUUGAGGUCAAUUGGAGUAAACUUUAUAAUGUAAAGUUUACCAAAUCAGAAAUCAACAGAGAGGGUUUGKAGGGUCUUAGGACUAAGUUCUUUUAUUCUUCCUUGAUGCACCACAUUGGUGUGGAUUCCUUAUGGAGUAUUAGAACACGUCCACAAACUUUGAGCACUAAUGGAGACACUUCACAAUGUAGUANNNNNNNNNNNNNNNNNNNNNNNNNNNNNNNNNNNNNNNNNNNNNNNNNNNNNNNNNNNNNNNNNNNNNNNNNNNNNNNNNNNNNNNNNNNNNNNNNNNNUAUUGCAAACUCUCCACAUGCUUAUAGCUCAUAUCGUAGAUGCUAUGAUGAAAUCUCUUGAAGAGAAGCUCGAACUAGAAGUCUCUAUACCUAGAAAACUUCAUGAUGAGUGGGAACCUACUAUCAAAAUCAAGAUCAAUAACUAUGAGUGCAAUGCUUUGUGUGAUUUGGGUGCUAGUGUUUCCGCGAUUCCAAAGUAUUUAUGUGAUAUUCUUGGUUUUCAUGAGAUUGAAGAGUGUUCUCUUAAUUUGCAUCUUGCGGAUUCUACUUUCAAGAAACCCAUGGGAAGGAUCGAUGAUGUUCUUAUUGUUGCAAAUAAGAACUAUGUACCCGUGGAUUUCAUUGUACUUGACAUAGAUUGCAAUCCUUCAUGUCCCAUUAUUCUUGGUAGACCUUUCCUAAGGACUAUUGGUGCUAUCAUCGAUAUGAAGGAAGGGAAUAUUAGAUUUCAAUUUCCUCUAAAGAUGGGCAUGGAGCACUUUCCUAGAAAGAAAAUAAGAUUGCCUUAUGAAUCUAUGAUGAGGGCUACUUAUGGUUUGAGUCACCAAAGAUGAAGUGUGUGCGNNNNNNNNNNNNNNNNNNNNNNNNNNNNNNNNNNNNNNNNNNNNNNNNNNNNNNNNNNNNNNNNNNNNNNNNNNNNNNNNNNNNNNNNNNNNNNNNNNNNUAACAAAAAAUUAUCCUCGGGAGCCCCGAACAGCUGUUUAUAAUAUUCAGAGAUAUGCAACUUUAGGUUCUCAUGGCCGAUAAUUGUAAUUGAUGUAUCAGAUGUAGAUAUAAUAGGGAGAGUUUGGUAGUUUUUCGAUCCAUUAAUGAUACGAGGGGAUGCGCUCUAUGUGCACUGAUCCUUUAAUUGUACAUGGAAAUGUCCUUUACUAUAUAUUCAAGUGUACAAAUUACAAUUAUAAUUUCACAUUUACUACUAGUACAUAUCUACAAAUUUAAUUUAGGUCCAGGGCCGUGUACUUGUCAACUAUUUCUCAACAAUUCGUGCCCAAGUAAGUACAUAAAAAUCAAUAUGGGAAGGCCGGAAGGCUCAAACGUAGGAAAACAAAUCACCGAUUCCACUAUAAUCAGGAAGAGGAUGAAUAUUUUGAGCCUUUCCUCACUGCCAUAUGGAAUAAAAUCUACUACUUCACGACCUGAAUAGCAAAGCACCUCGGCCUAAUCGUAGGCCGCAACGACAGCGUCGGUGGCCAUGCCAAAUCAAAAUUGUGCAGCGCCAAAUUCUAGCGAGUAUCGUCCUCUGGAGGGAUAUAUGAUGGGAAGAGAACACAUGGCCCGUAGUGGAGAGUGGUUGCCCGCCAUCGGGAAUUGGAGAACUCGCAACAGAUGGAUCUUAGCUCGACGACGUGGUGCAGAGAGAGGGGAUCCCGACGGAGAGGAGGAACAGGAGAAGGAAAGAGAGGAGGGCNNNNNNNNNNNNNNNNNNNNNNNNNNNNNNNNNNNNNNNNNNNNNNNNNNNNNNNNNNNNNNNNNNNNNNNNNNNNNNNNNNNNNNNNNNNNNNNNNNNNUGCUUCUACAGACGAACGACCGAGCAGCAAUGUUGUGGACCAGCCGAGUUUCAGCUAGCCGGGACAGCUUCCUCGAACCGUUUAUCUAUUUUAACGGUUUCUUUGUUUCUUUUUCGUUUUUUGUUUCUGUUUCUUCUUCUUCUUUCUUCCUUCCUUUUUCGAAUUAGUGUUUCUAUUGUUUUAUUUUUUCAAGGUUAUUAUAUUAUUUUUAAACAAGUUGAUGUUCAAAAAUUGUUUUAAACUUCAAAACAAAUGCUUUUACAAACAAUGUGCGUAAAUUUUCAAAUAAUUGUUGUUUUCGAAAACUAUUCACAACUUCAAAAAAAUUGGGAAUUUCAAAAAAUGGUCUUGUUUUCUAAAAAUAUUCUUGUUUUGUUUCAUUUUCUCCUAUUUCCUUUUUCUUUUCUUAUUUCUUUUGUAUUUAUUAUUUCCUAAAGUUUUCUUCUUGUAAUUUAGAAAAAAUUGUUACUCGUAGUUCUUAAAUUUUGUCCUACUAAUUUUUGUUAGUAAAUUGUUCUUGUACUUACNNNNNNNNNNNNNNNNNNNNNNNNNNNNNNNNNNNNNNNNNNNNNNNNNNNNNNNNNNNNNNNNNNNNNNNNNNNNNNNNNNNNNNNNNNNNNNNNNNNNUGUGUAGAUUGGGUUCAUUUUCCCAUACUCUGCUCCGGAUCCGAUGCAAAAUUUUGGCAGCACCUCCAUAUUGUUCUCCUCAUACAUGUCUCAACAACAAGCCGAGAGAAUGUGUACCCGAAGAACAACGAUGUUGCUGAUAAAAUUUUGCCUUAGACCGAAGUAGAGCACGGAAAAAGAAACCCAAUUUACACGUACUCGGGUUGUCCAUGGAUGACAUGGACAAUUCAAAAUGAUGACAAUUAUAAAUAUGAAAAGACAUGCAUAUUUAUAGAUGCCACCCUUUCAAACGGGAGACAUCUAGGUUAUGCGACUUGAUAUGAGAAUAAAAUCUAGUGGCAUCGGCACGACAACGAGAACAAGGCACACAGGGGAUAGGGGAAGAUAUGGCAGUUGAGGUCACCCCUAGAUGGCCAUAGAGAAGGUAGUGAAAUGAUGAUGGAAAUGACAACGGGACCGACGGAGAUCCUGCACAUGAAAAACAUUUGCACAACCAACAUAAGCACCACAAGAAACAAAUACCUACAAGRUUGGUUCAGUAACGUAACUUUAACUCGGUAACUUANNNNNNNNNNNNNNNNNNNNNNNNNNNNNNNNNNNNNNNNNNNNNNNNNNNNNNNNNNNNNNNNNNNNNNNNNNNNNNNNNNNNNNNNNNNNNNNNNNNNCACCAACCCUCGACCUCGCAAUUAGUAGAGCUCUGCACCUUGUCUCCUUCCUCCAGACCACACCUAGCCGAGCCAGCAUGUCCCAGUAUGUCUCAACCCUUUCUUUUGACCAUUCAAACCGCUCCCCACCCAUCAGCUAGCCUCCAAGCUCCUCCUGGGGUGUGUGGCAGCCCGAGACCGACGUUCCAGAAGAUCCCCCUUUAUUUCCAUUUCAGUCGUGUGAUUAGUUUUAUUCCUUGCAUCGUCAUUUAUUUURCAUCAUCGCAUCAUGCAUGGCAUCAUGUCAACUGUGUUUUGCGGUGUUGCUUGUUGCUCCGUGUUGUUGGGUGUUAGUGCUUUGUGAGUGUGACGUCGUUUGUUGGCGAUGAGAAUGCGUGCGUGAGAGCCACCGGCUAAACCCUUUUGCACCGCGGACCUAAACCUUCUCUCCCCUCCUCUCUUCUCUUUAUUUGUUUUGGGUUGUGUAAAGUUUCCGUUUAACCCUUUAAAAUCGUCUUCUUUAAACUCUUUAUUAAUGUGGGGCACCCUGGUUCUUCAAUUCUCCUUUGUCUAUUUCAAAUAGAAUCUCUANNNNNNNNNNNNNNNNNNNNNNNNNNNNNNNNNNNNNNNNNNNNNNNNNNNNNNNNNNNNNNNNNNNNNNNNNNNNNNNNNNNNNNNNNNNNNNNNNNNNUGAUACUACAAUAUGUAACCAUAAUUUCCAAGUACCUACUCAGCAUGCAAUUGGGCAUAGKAUGGUAGAACUACGAUGCAUAAAACAUAGGUGAUACAUGAUCAAAUGACUUGCCUGGUGAUGUUGGCGAAGAAGAAUUUCUUGAGAAAUAUCUUGAUAGACUACUCGUCACUCUUCGAUGAAAUCUAUAUAACAAACAUAUCAUUCACAUAAGCACUCAUACUAGCAAUCAUUCUAGCAAUCAAAACAAAAGAGGGAGCGAAUAGGAAUCCGAAGGAAACUUCAAAUAAGACUAGGGAGUCCUCUACUACAUCAAACACUAAAUAGUUUUGUCCAACGGAAAAUAAUAACAGGGAACUAAUAUAUAAAUUUAACUAAGAUAAAAUAAACUAUUUUUCACAAAACUUUUUGAAAGUAUUUCCAAACGGGAUUUGAAACAGUAGAGAAACCAAUUGCAAGUUAUUAGGGAACUAGAAUUGAUUUCAUGAUAACAUAAUAAAAAUAAAAAUACAAAACUUGUUGACAAACCUACUAGUUAACUAACAGAACAAAACAUWAUUUUCUGAAAUAUAAAAGAAAAUAAUUUAAAACAAUUAAUAGAAAAGGAAAUAGUACAUAAUACCUAAAAGAGGUGAAACAAGAAANNNNNNNNNNNNNNNNNNNNNNNNNNNNNNNNNNNNNNNNNNNNNNNNNNNNNNNNNNNNNNNNNNNNNNNNNNNNNNNNNNNNNNNNNNNNNNNNNNNNUAGCAAUCAUUCUAGCAAUCAAAACAAAAGAGGAGCGAAUAGGAAUCCGAAUGAAACUUCAAAUAAGACUAGGGAGUCCUCUACUACAUCAAACACUAAAUAGUUUUGUCCAACGGAAAAUAAUAACAGGGAACUAAUAUAUAAAUUUAACUAAGAUAAAAUAAACUAUUUUCACAAAACUUUUUGAAAGUAUUUCCAAACGGGAUUUGAAACAGUAGAGAAACCAAUUGCAAGUUAUUAGGGAACUAGAAUUGAUUUCAUGAUAACAUAUAAAAAUAAAAAUCAAAACUUGUUGCAAACCUACUGUUAACUAACAGAAACAAAACAUAAUCUUUUUGAAAUAUAAAAGAAAAUAAUUUAAAACAAUUAUAGAAAAGGAAAUAGCCAUAAUCCUAAAAGAGGUGAAACAGAAAUUGUUUCACAAGAAACAAUGAGCUAAAAUACUCAAACAAAUCUGAAAUUUUAAUCACUGAUAAAUAAGAUCACUAGUGAUCAGUAGCAAAAGGAAUUAAAUAURWRWGCUAUUUUUAAACUNNNNNNNNNNNNNNNNNNNNNNNNNNNNNNNNNNNNNNNNNNNNNNNNNNNNNNNNNNNNNNNNNNNNNNNNNNNNNNNNNNNNNNNNNNNNNNNNNNNNCGAAAGGUAGGAACAAAACACCAGGCUAGAAGGCCGAGCCUUCCACCUUUACCAAGUAUAUAGGUGCAUUAAAUUAAAUAGCAUUUAAUAGGGUGAUAUGACAAGGAACCCAUGUUAUCACAUGGAAGCAUCUGCACCUGCAACUAGCAGCGCUAUCAACAGGGUUAAGCAAGCAGUAACAUAGCCAAUCAGUGGUUUGCUAGGUUGAACAGGUUGAAGGUUUUCAUGGCAUUGUUGAGAGGCUAAUAUUUAACAUGUGGUAAACAACGAGACAUAAUCGAUAGAAGCGAUAAAACUAGCAUGGCAAUGAUAGUAAUGGUAUCUGGGGUAAUGAUCAUCUUGCCUGAGAUCCCGCUUGGAACAAGAACGGCUCCGUGAAGCAGACGAACCUACGUAGUCGAACGGGUCCUCACAAUCCGGCACGCUUGCGGAACUCUAUCGAUACGGAGGGAAAUGGAAACAAGCAUCAACACACGAUAUACACCACACGAUGCAAGCACACAGGGGAUGCAUGAACGGUUCCAUGAUGCGAGGCAUGACAAUCACAACAUWCAAACACUACACAUUAAGUAGAAGUUACAAUAUGGACAACGGUAGUUCGACUAUAUUACGGAACGUAAACCUUACACGUAAUUAGUAUUAAAGUUUUACUUUACGUACCGUUACCUUACCCGGGUUUAAUAACCGACCGGUACAACGUUAAUUUAACGUUGUUAGUAANNNNNNNNNNNNNNNNNNNNNNNNNNNNNNNNNNNNNNNNNNNNNNNNNNNNNNNNNNNNNNNNNNNNNNNNNNNNNNNNNNNNNNNNNNNNNNNNNNNNACUGCUUGUUAAAACAUAGAGCUAGUAUGUGCAAAAACUUUUCCAGUUUUAUUUAGAAACUCUCUUUCAUACGGCGUAGAACAUUUCUGGAUGUAUAACUUGUCUAUGAAGCAGCAUGCAAACAUCACCUCUUUGUUACCCAGAUUUUAUAUUGAAAUGAUUGGUUAUAACUUUACAGCAUGAUGAGUAUUUAUUUUUACAGAAUCAUAGAUAUGCACACAAAAAAACAGACAGGACAAACUAAUCACCAUCAUGCACGGUACAUGUUAUUGAAGUUGAAAAUACAUGUUGAUAUAACUCGGGAAGAAGUCGUUUAUUUUGGCACAACCUGACUCGACAUAUAAUAAGCCUAAAGAAACACAAACAACUAGUGCUAAUUUAAAAAAUCAUCCUUGUGUAGCCUUGUGCAGGACUGAUGCCGGUGAUUUGUAGUACGUUCUUACUCUGUACCUUCCCAUCCAAGAACCAAUUCAUUGGUGUAAUUGGACACCAUGAAUGGAACAGUCAGAAAGGAGAAAGGGUGAGAAGAUUGAAAAUUCAAAUCCAAAGGCUCACCCGCACACGAGGCGAGCAAGGAGGAGCGACGGUCGCUGGCUGCUGGUUCGCUGCUUGGUAAACAGGUGUUCUUCUCCCAGCUUGGAACGGAAGCAAGCUCGGUCGCCUCGCCGACUGGAGCUGUGUCAGUACCUGAAAACAACUACUACAGUAUAAUACUUGUGUGAAACGAACUACUUCAACAUAAAGCACUACUUCAGAAGCACCUAGAUAUGGCCCUCCGAGGACGAACGUCUCUCAAAACAGGCUUUCGUUACGUUUUAUAAAUAAAUCGACAACAUAAUCUAAUACACAGCCGAACGAUACAAGGUGGUGAGGUUAUCAUCUUACAAAGCUGAUCCCAAGAUACGCAGAUCACAUACACCGCAAGCGGCUACGCUACCGAAACGAAAUAAAACAAAAGUCCAAGAGCACCACCGCACCACGUCGUAAUAUAUUUAAGCUCCACGACAAUGCCCUCAAGAGGGAGAACGAUACAAACGUUGUCGUUGUCGAGUCCACUGCGGACAAAGGUCUUACCCGGAACCCAGACACAGAGAAGAGCAUCGCAACGAUGUCUUCAAGAAGAGAGUAGCGCCUAUAGGCAUCACCGUCAUUGACGCUAAAGCGCGGGGCUUUCGUCCGGUAGCUCUCUCGUGUCACCAGGAGGCCUUCAGGAGUAGCACGACGACUCCCAAACCGCAGAUAAGGAUCAGGGCACCGCCAUCAUCAUAGACAAAGAGCGCGCCUAAGCCACUCGCCGCUAUGUCUCUAGUCGCCCACACGAUCAAGAGAAAUAGACACCACCAUCGCCAUGGUGCCUGCCGGAGAGCCAACUAUGCAGACCGUCAUGGUGUCUUCAUUUCUGCAAGACCAAUUUUUAAUAUCCGCCAAACAAAUUUUAAAUAUACAUUGAUUUUUUUGUAAUAUACGCGGAGCAUUUUUUAAAUACAUAUUAAACAUUUUUGUGAUCUAUGCUGAACAAACUUUAAAUAUAUUGAACAUUUUGUGAUAUACGCUAAACAUUUUUAUAGUUGCACAUUGAAUGUAUUUAGAAAAUUGUUGUAAACUUUAUUAAUAUAGGGUGAACAUUUCCUCAAAUAUAUAUAAAUAAGUAAUGAUAUUUGUGUAAUACACAUGAGAGAAAAAAAGAAAAAGAGAAGAAAAAAGAAUAGGAAAAGAAUAGAGAAAAAAUAGAAACAGAAAAGGAGAAGAAGAAAAUCAGCCGACCUUUCGUGCAGUGCAAAUUUUGUGCUUUCUUGAGGAAUUAAACUCUAACCCCUAGAUUCAAGGUAUGUGUUCGUUACCAAUUGAGCUGACCAAUGUUACUCAAUAAUAGCUCACAAGAAAGAAAAAAAAUUCGACCAUGGAACAUUUUAUGAUAUAUUCUGAACACUUUUUAAAGACAUUAAAUAUUUUUGUGAUAUAUGUUAAACAAUUUUUAAAUAAGCAUUGAUCAUUUUUUGAUAUACUCUGAACAUUUUUAUAAUGCACAUUUAACCUUUCAUGAUAGGAAAAAGGAAAAAAAAACUGCUUUUCUUUGUGCCUUUCGCGAAAGAAAAUCCAUUCCUCUACGGGAAGUAAAUCCCUACCUCUCGUGGUAAGGAAAAAUGUGUCUUUUUAUAGGCAUAAUCGUGCCUCUUGCGAAAAUGAAUCCGUACCCCUCAUAGUAGAAAAAAAUGAACCACGUUUUUUCUCUUUUUUUGAAAGGCUCAGUAGCAGAAGAAGAAAACGCGUUUUUUCACGUAAUUUGUUUUUCAACAUUUUUUUGGUUUAAAACCUAAGAAAAUCCAAUGAAAACAAAAAAAAAACAUAAAAAACAUCUAAAACCUGAAAACACAUGUAAUAUUUUUCCUUCAAAAAAUACGCCCGAAGCAUGACACGUUAUGGCCGCUGAGGAUGUAUUUGAUCAUGGGCAGCCCAGUCCGGCCCGACCUUACCAACGAGCCGGGCUAGCGCCUGAUAAUCAAGCCCGACGGUCGGGUCGGGCCCGGACCUAGGUCCAUGAAAACCUGAUUUUACGUCUAUGUGGGGCCGGACUCUUCGAGCUCGGGUCGGGCCUAGGCCUAAAAAUUAGGCCCGACGGUCGGGCUCAGGCCUGGGUUUUGUACUACGGUUUUUUUUAGCCCGGUCCGAGAUAUGGCCAGGUAUAGCUGAGGACGCACCAAGUAGGGCGCCCUCGCAGUCCAUUCGACAUGACCCUUGCGGGAGCUUUUCAAGGAGUACUUGAUUGGCACCUCUCCGAAAACAGCUAAGGAAGCAGCAGGCAAAUUCUGUACGUGCGCCGGCCCAGGCGGAGGGCGCCAUGGUGGUCCGCCGCCUCGUCGCUCGCAGGUGUAUCUUUGCACGGCGCCAUGACAUCUCUUAUAAGAGGAUAAAAGAAAAAGGAGCGAGACGUACACAGUCACUGACAUGCGAUCCUACAUACUUCCUCUGUAAAGAAAUACGGAGUACAAGACAUUUUAAAUCACUACAGAGAGAGUACUAUGGAAUUUGCCUACUGCUUCGUCUACCAGGCGCUCUCCAGACCCCAACAAGUAGCAUAUGGAUACAGUAAAGUCGUCUCAUUACAAGCACAGGAUUGAGCAACCAAAUGGAACAAGUUCAUAUGUAUUCACCAUGUUCAACCACCACAGGGACAACAGUCAACAGCUAAAAUACACGGAGCACCGAUUUUCCAGCCACUACAGUACCGAGACACGACUUAAUUAGGACCCGUCCUGACUUAUCUAGUUUUUAUUCCCAACACAGUUCUACAACCAUUGUAACUUACAGGCUCCCCCCACCUACUUGUAUACCACCCGAGUACAACAAACCCUGGACCCAAAAAGCAGCUACACAUAAUUAUACAAGAAAGAAAAACUCGAAUACCCAAAUUAUCUGCAGCAAUAUGAAGAGAGCCCCCAGCGUUGUACAGAUCAGCUUGGGGGAAAUCCGGCGAGCGAGCGAUCCUUGGUUAUUCCCUGGGCCUAGCAAGCCACAGAGAGCUCAGCGCGCGCAAACGCGAGAAGUAGUCAUGUAUAGCUAGAAGGGCACGGGAGGCCUGACGGAUCGUCAAGAUUCGCUGCAUUUGAUGCAAGGUCUGCUGUCGCAGGUUGUCAGCCUGGUAGAUACAAACGUAAGAAAAUUAUCAAAUAAACCAAACUGAUGAAAGUGAGCAGCUAAUUUCAUGCCAGCAAAUAUGCCGGAAUAUCACAGGUUCAAGGCUGGAAGGUGCAAGGAAAGAGGCUUGCCUGGCGAAGAAAGUUCUCGAGUGUUCCAAGCUUGCCCAUGGCCAUGGCCAUCUGACCCAUGUAGUUUGCAACAUUCCCUGAAGAACCAGAGGAGGAACCCAGAGAUCCAGCCAAAGUCUCUGCCAGUGAUUGCUGCAAUGCUUCCAUCCCUUGUGACAGUGCAUCCUCUGCCUGCUGGGAAGAUUGCUGGAGGUUGGUCAAUCCCAACAUCUGCUGCUCGGUUAGCGGCUCCAGAUGAUUCACCAGCAGCUGAAAUUUCAUGUCGCAUCGACGAAUCAGCUUACAGGACCAGUAAGGGAAAUUGAACUAACAACAAACACUGAGAUUUAAUACUUCACUCACCUUUAAGAGCUCGGAUGGACGGAAACCCCCAAGCCAUAGGAAGCACCUUUCAGCAGGCGUUUUCCACAUGCCUGACAGUAUAUGGAACACGUCAGCCUUGGCAGCUACACCUUUGACCUUAAAUAUCUCAUCAUAAUGUGACAUUAUCCCAUCUACGAUAAGGCGCAGGUCACUGUCACUUGCAUGAGCAUUAACUGCAGUCCUCAACUCAUUGAUUUGCUUGUUUUGGUCCUCAAGCCAUCUAGUGUAUUCUAGGUCGAAAGUCAUUGCUCCUGCAAAGAUAAGUUUACUGUUGGGAUGAACCUCUAACACAGAUUGAUAACACAAUGCAAUUGAACAUUAUGUAACAAAAGGAUGCUGCUGCAAAAAAUUAUGGCAUACAAAGAAAUUUGGAGAAGAAAAUACCGUUUCCACUCAUGGCAUGGGUUUGGUCUCCGGAGCUAGAAAUGAAGAUUCCCUGCAAAUAAAUAUCCAAAACAAGCAUUAAUAACAGCAAAAGCAUACUCUACUGAACAAGAUAUCCCGACCAACAUUCAGCUAAUUAAGAUUUACCUGCUGGCGAGCUUUCUGGAGCUCCUGCUCUAGUUGUGCAAGCUUCAGCUUGCUGCUUUCUAGCUGUUGCACAUAUGACUUCAAACAAAAAGAAAAACAUUAUCAGUGAUUCCGAACUAAAUGAACAAUCCAGCAUUCACUAUUCAGUGGAAACGAUAAAUACUAGUAUCACACAAAAGGCUCGUGGAUGGAGAAUUCAGUUAGUUGAUACUCCCUCUGUCCCAAAAUAAGUGACUCAAAAGUUAGUACAAAACUGAGUCAUUUUUAAGUCACUUAUUUUGGGACGGAGGGGGUAUAAUUCAACUGCCUGUAUGCACAGAUAACUAAGAAUUUUAUUCAAGUCUUGUAUACUGAAACACAUGGAGAAAAUUAUGACCGAACAAAUAAAACGGAGCCAUUAUACAUAUAAAACUACAGUAAAGAAACAUGCUGUUGAGUUCAUCAACACAACUACAAAUAGCUCUGUUUCAGCACAACCAAAAAAGGCUCCCGUCCCGCUUUAUAUAUAAAGCAACAACCAUACAAGACCAACAUGUACAACUCGAAACCACACACAACGCACACACCCAAUGCUGGAUACAACAUGCAAGCGGACAGACACACCACCCCAACCAACGCCAAGCCAACGACAAAUGUGCAAUAAGAGCCCUGCUUGAGGUUGUCGGAGAUCUCCUCCAUCACCGAGGUGUCAUGAAGAGACGAAGCUGUACCCGACGAACAGCGGCCUCCAAGACGACGCAGCGCCUUCCGGAAGGGAACGGCACUGGAAUACCGCCACGGCCCGAUCCAAAGGACCAUUGUUUUCACUCGGAGCAAUCCGAAGGAGGAGAGUAGCCGCGACAGCGCCUUUAGGAAGGAGACGAUGCCCAUGGACACCACGGUCGACGGCCGAACCAAAGCCAGACAGGGAUUACCCCCUCGCACUCACAGUCCACCUCUGGAACAACCACUGAUCGCCGAAACACCAGCCGCCAUGCUGCUCAAACGACCAUGGCCGCCAGCUCGCACCGAAGACGUGCGCCCUGCCCAUGAGCGCCGCGACUCCCGCCACCAAGGCUGCCGGCCCGCCGCCCCGGAAAUCAGACCACCCCUCGACCGCCACCACGACAUUAGGACACCGACCACCGGUGAAGGGGAAAAGGCCCCUCCUUCGACCCAACAACGAACCCUCUGGCCGAAAGGUGGCCAAGUCGGUCAACACCAGGCAGGGAGGGUCCCCAGCAGCCGCCGGCCUUGCCGCAGCCACCUCGCCGCUCCACCGAGAACAAGGGCCACCGACACGACCCAUCUGGCUUCUCCAGAUCUCGGCAUCGGCAUGGCCAAAAGGCCCCUUGCCACCAUCGAUCUGCCGUCAACGCCACACACCGGGCCACCAACAACAGCCAACAAGGUCCAACCGAAUGAGCAGAGGAGGGAUACGUCGCCACCACUGUCGCGCCGCCACUCCACCAGUAGAUAGCCACGACAAGGGCGGACGCCCGCAACCCGCAUCGCCCACGGCCCUCGCCACUUGAGGUCGGAUCUGGACGCGUCACCGCAUCCCACUGACGCCGCCAUCCCAUGCCCCAAGGAGGGACCACUCUGUGUCGCCCAUCACACCAUCGCCCCGGCACCGGCAUCGGCACCAACACACACCGUCACGCCACCGUGCUGCCACGCCCAACGCGAAGCGCCGCAUCCAGGCUUUGAUGACCCGACACUCGCCGAAUCCUCCGUGUGAGGAGACAAGAACUCCCCGCCGCCACCGUCGCCGUCGGGGCUUCGCCCGGCCACGCGCUCUGGCGGCAGCAAGGGAGGAGGGGGAGCCCCCGCGGCUGCGCUAGGGUUUGCCGAGGGGAGUUUCCUUUCCUUUUCCUGUUUCAACACGACUAAAAACAACUCUACCCAGAAUCUCUAAACUCCUUAAUUCUUUAAGCAUAUUCUCAAAUUACAGAUCUAACGUGAAUCAAGUUAAAUUACUAAACUAGGUUAAGUAGAAAAAGGAAAUUCUGAACAUAAAGAGAGCAAUGAAAAAUAGGGGCAAGAUUCAUAGUGAUACCUUCUUCCUUAGUCGACUUUUCCUUGCAGCCUCACGAUUUUGAGCAAGACGACGCAAUGUCUAUUGUAUGGCAAAUAUGACAAGAAAUUAAUAAUAUAAGAAAGCAUGAAACAUAACAAUAUACAAGAAAAAAGGAAAGAAAAGAAUACCUUUUGGUCCAAGGGUUUGUCGGACCUGUCAGACCUAUCCGAAGAAUUAGAAGCCAUGAUUGCCCCACCACUUUGUCCUUGUUCUAACUGCAAACAGUAGAUAACAUGAGCAUGUUUAGAGUAUCAAUGAGUAAGUUAAACCAAACUUAUUAAUUCCCUUUUUUUAACCAAAACAAAAUAGUAUGCACAAGCUGGCAUUCCAUACCGGACAAGAUUCCAGCUGCUCCGGCUGAAACAGAAUGUUCAGGUUAAACAUUUCCAUUCCAGUUGUACUGGUACCAGCUGACAGAACCAACACUGCAACCCUCUGCGCUACUCUAGUUUUCUUAUAAAGGCGUCAGCCGCACCGCAUUUUGGUUUAGCUACUCUCUAGUUCCCUUAUAAAGGCGUCAGCCGCACCGCAUCUUGGUUUUCUCGGCGAGGUGGUAUAAUCCUGCAUUGUGCAACAGCCAGGAGGAGGCAGGGAAUGGGCCCAUACUUCAUUGCAGAGGUUUGACCGGUGGGCUUCUUGCUUCUUACAGUGGGUCCGCAUGCACUAGGUUGACACAAAGGCCAGGCUACCCACUAGUCCAUUUGUCACCUUAUUUUUUUUUCCACUUCCUUUUAUAUUAUGCGCAUCAUGUAUAUGUAUAUAAAUGGGAUGCAUAUGAGUUAUGAAAAGCCAGAACGGAACAACGGAAUGCUCAGGUACCGAAACAUUCCAUUCCAAGUACCGGAACAGAAUUGACAAGUAUAAAACAGACUAAGAACUGCAAGUUUUAGUUGACAACUUUGGCAUAUUUGGAGUAUGAGUUAGCAGCUGAUCCACUCUGAAGUACCGAUAAGCACAGAUUUGCCAUGUCGGCGUCCUGCAUGCGGCAGAUAACCUGAUAAGUGUAUCCUGGAGGUGUCGUGAUUUUCAAUUUAAAAAGAGUGAAAAACAAAUUCGAUAUGGGUGGCAACAGGCUGUGGACACGGCUCAAUACAGCGAGGAUGUCAGCCCCAAGCCCAAUAGAAGCCCACGACCCACGACUAACCCUAACAUUUUCUCUAUCGCUCUCUGUUCGGCCGCACAAGCUUUGGAUCGAUGGCUACUGCAGGAGUCUGCCGCUGCCGCCGCCGCCUGAAAUCGCCUCACCGACCUGUCGAUUCGCCUCGCCGCCGACUUGAGCGUGUUACUUGAUUAUACCACCGCCGCCUGGAAUCGCCUCGCCAACCUAUCGAUUCGCCUCGCCGCCGCCUUGAGCGAGGUAAUUGAUUCCGUCACAGCCGCCGUCUGGAGUGGCUGACUGGCUGCUUGCUGGCGCGUCUGUGUGUUGCGAGUGCUGGCGUAUGCGUAUAUGCUUGGUGCUUGGCUGCUUGCUAAGUUGCUAUUGUUUGCUGUUUUGCUGCUACUGCUAGGGAGAUGUGAUCUGCGGGGAGUGGCAUGGCAGCAAGCCAACUUCUUUACUGGUUUGGACUUUGCACACUUGUCUGUCUCAAAUUGACAAAGUCUAAUAAUAUUAUAUGAUGUACUCCCUGCGUAAAGAAAUAUAAGAGUGUUUAGAUCACUCACUACUUUAGUGAUCUAAACACUCUUAUAUUUCUUUACGGAGGGAGUAUUUUGCAUACACCAUGUGGAUUGAAGACAUUGAUGAUCAUUCAGGACUUGGAAAGAGGCAUGGAGGCAAUCAACGGGGGGCAGUAUUUUGAUCUCAUCUCCUGCAUUCUAUUAUGUUUUGCCUUUAUUACAUGUGAUUUAAUUAAUUACUUAUAUAUAUACUCGCCGUAUUGCUGUUUCUAGAAAUUGCCAUGUCCGGUGUUCCCAUGCUCGUAUUUCCAUAUGGGUGUCGACAUAACAGUGCUUCAUAGCUGAUCCAUAUGAGCAAGUGAACAACAUGUGAAUCAUAGGGUAAUAUAGUUAUUUUUAACUAACAAUUCAUUACUGCUGUUAUAGAAUACGAAGAUGUCUUCGACGGUAUAUUUUUUCAGUUCUUGUGGCUCCAGAAUCCAAGUCCUACUAAUUACCAGAUCAGGCCACAGUAGUGUUAUAUAACUUACGAUUAUCAACUCUGCUGUUAAGCUAUAACAAUUAAUUCCAAUCACAGCGGGACUCACAGUUCAAAUGCUAAAACGGUGUGUGAGCAUAACAAUUAUCUAUUUUAUCUCUAGAAAAUGGUGCAGGUAAAGACAUAGGUGCUUACAUAGUUGAGUUCAGCUUAAAGCCUCUUUCGAUAAAGAAGAGGGGGGGACAGUUAAAACCCAAAAUUCAGAAGCAUGAUUACCCUAUAGAUCUUGCCGUCGUUGUCUACAACAGUUGAGUUGUCAGUCCUUGAGCUAGCAUCUGCCAUCACUCAGCGGACCACAAUCACAAUGAGACAGCAAAUCACUCUGCUCCCCCCUUCCUAACAGCAAAGUGGUGAGCCCAGCCUGUGCUGCGGGAGAUGGGUCGUUGCCGGAAUCUAUUUGUAACGAUGAAAAGAAAGUAAGCAACUCUGACAGAUAAGUAAUUCAAUUAUUCAAAGACAGUAACUGCAUACAUACAUGUAACGAAAUACAGUGCAUGGUCGUACUUACUACUUACUUUUCUCUCCAAGAAUCCAGAUUAGUAGCUGCCUAGGAUUUACUACAACCGUAUGGCCUGCAACAAAAGAUGUUUUCCUUAGUACGCAGUAGUACGAAGAUACACAGCAUGAUGCAAAUUAUUAGCAUGCUGGAACAAGGAUAUAUGCACAUUUAUGAACUAGUAAGUGCCUAUCUCAAACCCUACAGGCUGGUGGCCAAUCUCCCAGAAGGGACACAUCGGUAGUUGCACAGUGCCAGUGCCACUGGAGGAGCAAGCACACGAAUCCGGUAACAAGCAAAGCAUGGCCAGGCAGGGCUGUUCUUCACCACUCGGCCUGUCGUGUCAGCCAUGAUCCAUCCACCGUAUCGGAGACACAUACGGUAGGUACAACAACAGCAGGUAUCCUGAUCCGGAACGGCAAAACGAACCGAAACAAGCAACAGGAAGUGGGGGCGGGAGACGAGCUCAGAGCGGGGGCGCGUACGGCGUACGGUCGGCGCGGUCGUCCGGAGCGGGGCUCGGCGUGGCGCCGGCGGGCCGCGGCCAUGGUCGGUGGUCAGCCCUCGGGCCCCCGCCCGGGAUGGAUGGGGGGGAGGGGUGCCUCAGAGCCCCCGCACCGAAUCCGCGCGGCUUCUACCCGGAGGCCACCUCUUCCUCCUCCUCCGAGGAUACGAGCUCCGACCGGCGGCGUCGCCGAUUUGGUUUGGGGGGAGCGGUGGCGAAUCGGGGAAGCUUCGAGAAGCUCUUUCGGGUGGUGGUGGUGGAGGAGGAGGACUAGUGGGGAGGGGGAGGGGGAGGCGCCAAAGCGGCGGGGGNNNNNNNNNNNNNNNNNNNNNNNNNNNNNNNNNNNNNNNNNNNNNNNNNNNNNNNNNNNNNNNNNNNNNNNNNNNNNNNNNNNNNNNNNNNNNNNNNNNNAAUUAUCAAGGGGGUCCCCAUAACAACCCCGAUCGUGUUAGGAGCGCUCAAUUAUGGAACAUAACACCGGUAGCCGGAAACUAAGGGGGCAAAGGUGGAACAAAACACCAGGCUAGAAAGGCCGAGCCUUCCACCUUUUACCAAGUAUAUAGGUGCAUUAAAUUAAAUAGCAUUUAAUAGGGUGAUAUGACAAGGAACCCAUGUUAUCACAUGGAAGCAUCUGCACCUGCAACUAGCAGCGCUAUCAACAGGGUUAAGCAAGCAGUAACAUAGCCAAUCAGUGGUUUGCUAGGUUGAACAGGUUGAAGGUUUUCAUGGCAUUGUUGAGAGGCUAAUAUUUAACAUGUGGUAAACAACGAGACAUAAUCGAUAGAAGCGAUAAAACUAGCAUGGCAAUGAUAGUAAUGGUAUCUGGGGAAAUGAUCAUCUUGCCUGAGAUCCCGCUUGGAACAAGAACGGCUCCGUGAAGCAGACGAACCUACGUAGUCGAACGGGUCCUCACAAUCCGGCACGCUUGCGGAACUCUAUCGAUACGGAGGGAAAUGGAAACAAGCAUCAACACACGAUAUACACCACACGAUGCAAGACACACAUGAUGCAUGAACGGUUCCAUGAUGCGAGGCAUGACAAUCACAACAAUCAAACACUACACAUUAAGUGAAGUUCAAUAUGCAACGAGUUGCAUAUUGACGAAACUUCACAUAUGAAUUAUUUAGUUCACUCCCGGUUAUUAACACGGCAACAUUAAUGUUGUGAAACAUGCAAGAGGUGAAGCGGAAAUUAAACUACCUAUCUAGACAAUUUAAAUGAGGUCGGAAAUGACAUAUAGCACCUCCGAAACGACCUCACAUGGUAAUUUUCAAUUCUGUCCAGAUCUGAUUUAACACCUUUAAUUGGUUGUUAAACAGCAAAACAAAUAUACUCACGUGGUUCUACGCGUCAAGACAAGCAAUUUACACAUAAAGAACAUCUCCUAUGGAGCUACGGUUCAAAAGAUACAAGCAUCGCAAGAUAUGAUGGCAUGAAUGCAAUAUGUGUGCAACGACGGUCACGAGCACCUCAAAACAAACAACCAGCAAGAGAAAAUGAAACUACACGAGAUUCUAAGCAAGUUCCAUGUAGGACACAAUCAAAUCGGAGCUACGGUUCAACAUCUACGAGCAAAAUAAGAAAUGACUACAAUCUGCCAAAAUCAGCCACAUAGCAUUUUCUACGCCCCACAACUACGGCUACACAACUCCGAUAUGCUCAAGCAAGGCAUGGCACGGAAGAGGGCAAGAAGAACUACUACAAACAACUAACAACAACUAUCAUGACAUCAUGGAUCACUAGGGAAAGAAGACACAAAAUGGCAUCUCACACACUAUUUCAGACUUAGUGAAAAUAACACCUCAUGAAAGUGCAGUUUUCAGCCUGAAGCUAUAUUGACAACAGCAAAAUCUAUAGCUACAGGACUCUAAAUGGCAUGAAAAUUUACAGCAUGCUAGAGAAACACAAGGGGUACAAAUAACUCCAUUGGACCAACCUCAAAAGAGCUACAGAUCACAAGAUGCAAGCAAGACAAGACAGCAACAAAAUAAUAACAGAUUCCACACUUAGAAAUAUUUCAGCUCCUCUAAAACAGCACUAUUUCUAGCAACUGGAGAGCAAGAAAUUGACACCUAAACAUGCAUUUCUAUUGCAACCAAAAAUACCAGGGGCUAAACAAAACAUCCAAGAUCAACUCUCUAGUUGACAACUCCGUCAAACGACGCACGGAAUAAAUCCUACGAAUUAAUCAAAAGGGCAACAUAGCAAAAUAUCUCGCGAACUAACUUACUCGAAAGCUAGAAGUAAUUGCACAGAAAAAUCCAUGGGAUUUUUCUACCCCGGAAACAUAUAAAAUAUGUGGGGUUUGCAACACAAAAUAAUGCCACACAUUAAUGUGAGAUAAACACCUAUAUACGGGAAAAUAAGCUACCGGCAAAUCCCUACACGUAAAAAAUACAAUUGACCGCUCUAAAAUACAUGGAUAAAUAGCCCCUAAAACAUAGGCAUUUCUAACAUGGCAUUCGAGCAAUUCGAACACGCUCAGAAAAUAAAUGCGGGCACUUUCCUAUUGAGACAGCACGUAAACCCAUGCAUACGAUACGUCAAACAACGUCAAAUAAAUAUGCAAGUUGCUAAAUCGUAUUCUACACGAAAUUCGACACCAAAACCAUAUAAGAUACGCCUCGUUUCGACUUACGGAUUAAAAGUUACGGGGAUUUUAUUUAACGUCUAAUUUUCUGGAAUUUUAAUUAAAUCCCGAAAAAUCCUAAAUAUACCAACGGGCCGAACAGGCAGCGCAAUAUAGUAGGCAACACCUAGGGCGGGGGAUAGACGAGGGGAGGCCUCACUUUGGUGGGCUCGGCCCAUGCAGUAGGAGGCGGAGGCGGACUGGAUAGACAGUGGCCGACUGGGCCUCGGGGCGAUUGGGCCGGCUCGGCGCGCUCCUGCGCGGCCCAGCAGCGCCUAGGGCACGGGCGGUUGCAGCGGCCACCUGGGCCGGCUGGCGCAGGACGCUGGCGUCGUCUCCUCGUCCCCUCGUCCUCCCGACCAGGAGCUUCUGGCGGCGGCGGUUGCCGACGAGAGGGAACCGACGCGGGGCUAUGAGGGGAACCGGCUCGGCUUGCUGCCUCCUCCCGGUGAGAUCUGGCCCGGGAACCUCCCCUCAGGCAGCUCGGACAGAGCGGGGCGACAGCUCGGUCCGGCGAGGACCCACGGUGGCGUGGCGAGGGAACCUCGGGCAGGAGCUCGCGAGGGACGCUGGCAUACGGCUCCGGGGCUCCGGCGGCGAGGAUGGCCGACGAAGAGGCGAACCCCGGUGGCGAGGAGGCUCGGGCUACUGCGGGCGGGAGGAGCUGCGGGGCUCGACGGGAGCAGGGAGGUUGCGGCGGCGGCGGGGCGAUCCGGACCCGGGCGGGCCCCAAAUGGGCUUCGCGGGCCCGGCGGCUGGAGAGGGAGAGAGGAGGCUGGCUAGGGUUAGGGGUAGGUGGCGCGGAAAUCAAGGAGGGAUUAGAGGGAGGCUGUCCGAAAAUUAGAAGGGGUCUAUAUAUAGACAAACGAGGGGGCUGGGUUGACCGGAAUUUUGUUCCGGAUCCAACCGCGGGGUCGGGUUCGGACGAUUCCGAACGCGGGUAUGGGUAUGCGGCCGUGUAGACGGGAUAUCCGGAGACGAGAGGGGGAACGGGCGGCGCGGCACGAAUUUUAAAACACCGACAGACGUCCGACGGUAGACCAAAUACGGUGCCGCUACUAGCGACCGUUCGGGUACCAGACGGUCUCCGAUCGCGACGAAAUUCGACAGGCGGCCUAGCUAGAUUAAAAUAAGACCGCACGUCAAAUCUCGACCCGAUCAUAGGAAGUUUAACGCAGACUUUUUAAAACAGGGUUUCGACGGUGCCGCGGGCGCGUGCGAGUGCGGUCGGACUCAGAACGGACGACGACGAGAACCGGCAACUACUAACGAAUGCAGGUUUUUUUUGGAAAACUGGCGGCAACGGCGAUGCCGAUGCAAUGCAGAUGAUGCGGCAAAUAAAAUAAAUCACACGACGAAAACGGAACAGAAGGGGAAUCUUCUCGAACGUCGGCAUCGGGCUGUCACAUGACUACUUGGGCACUCCUCAGCUGGGUGAUUUUCUUCACAAUGAGUGCAUCCAUCCUUGUGUUCUCCCUGGGUGUGUCCUAUUUCUCCACAGAUCUUGCAUGCACAAGUCUUCUCCUUCGGAUUUUCAUAGCAUUUCUGAAUAAGUCGGGAUCUUAAUAGAGUGUUCUUGAAUUCGUCCCAGGUUUCUGCUCCACUAAAUCCUUGUAUGGCAUGGUGCAUUUUCCACCAGAUAGCAGCACUUUGGGUAAAGUACUGGAGAGCGUGUUCCACUUCAUACUUCCUUGAGAUCAAGUUGCUCCCGAAGUGGUUCUCCAUGUUCUGAAUCCAUAUUUCAGCCUCCAGCUGGGUCAUUGGUCCAGAGACUACAAGUCCAGCUUCAUACUCCAUCUAGUAGGGUUGAGGUUUUGGGGAUGAGACGGGUAAGAGAGGGAGGGAGAUACACACAAUACAAUUUUUUUUGAGAAUAGGUUUUAGUUGUGGUCGUCGGAAAACACACACCAAUGACGGCUCACAAAUCAUCGUAACUAACGUGGGUACAUAAUUGGGCUUUGGACUUCUAAUGGUCAUAUAAUUAUUCGAACGCUUCAGGGUCUUCAAUAGGUGUAGCUUCAAUUCUUCAAAUGCAUGGUGAAAUCCUCUUUACUUUGAAGUAGAACUCCGUUGAUUCUUCAUGAGGUCAAAGGGGUAAGGGGAUUGUAUAGCUAUUUGAAGUGAGAGAGAACAUUUGAUGAAAUUAGAAGAGAUGAGAAGUGAAAGGUGUAUUCGAAAAUAAGAUUUUUUUGAGAGAUCCUAUCAUAAGAAGUUUCCAGUUUCUAGGGUCACGUCCUACAGUCAACAUGUGCUCUGAUACCAUUUCUGUAGUGACCUGACUCAAAACGAGUCAAGCCUCUGUGUUUCUGUGCCAUCCCUGGAUCAGUAUGCUGGCACACACAGUACAUCAAUGUAUAUAUCAAAGUGCAAUCAUAUGUAAAUAGCGUAAAACUGAUAUAUACCUUAAAUAUCUCAGCGGAAGCAGUCAAGGGAGUGGAGUCCUAAUAAACACCAAUGGCAAGUUGAGUGUAGACCGUAACCCUGAAUCGUACUCUUACUCGUCGAAGAAAAUAUCUGCAACAUAAGACGUUGCAGCCGUGUAGGUCAGCAUAUUGAAUAUGCCGGCAAGUCACAUAAGAGAGGGGUGAAAAGCAAUCAUCUAUACUAUAUGCAUAUAUGGCAGGUGCGGCUAUAAAUUUUUAGCGAAAAGCAAGUUUUCUCCUACAUCAAGAGAGGGCUAAAAGCAAAAUGUUACUACAUUGUUGGUUGUUAACGAGAUGGUUCCACCAACCAAUUCUCGUACCCAUGUUGUCAAUAAUACCCACAUCAAUAUUAUUAUUUGUGUUGAGAAUUUCAGAUAACUUCAGUUCCUUUGGCUCAAGUUGUCCAUGACCGUGGACACGGCUAAUCGAUUAGGUUUGAGUACUCUGCAGAGUUUUGCACACGUUCACCACAAGAUUUGAUCGCCUCCGAGUAUGUCCUCGCACUUCAGGGUGUUUGAAGACCGGAUGAUCAAAACAUGGUCUUUCAACGGGUCCCUCUGAAUCCCUGUCGGUGCCCAUCCAAUCCUACCAUUCUUCUACAUCUGCUAGCACCGCCUGUCCAGAGUCGCCGCGUUGUCCAACCAAGCCAGAGCCCAUAAUGACUUGUGGCUGUGCAGGUAAGCCUUGGGUCUUGAAAAUAUCCGUCCGUCUCUUUGAGCCUGGGUGAAGCUUUCCGCAAGAUGUCAUGGCCGUCUCCAGCAUCCCGGGUCAUCCACUGGUUUCUCCAGGGAGCCGAUCAACCGUCCUUCACCCAGAGUUGCAUUGCAUCACGAGGUCUUGAAAAGUCUUGACUUAACCGGUCUUGGUUAUUAAAUUAUUCUCGCUUCACUCGUGGUAAACUAUCAACCAGAAUCCCGUCUACUCAAGCAUAGCAAUAUGAAAUUUGUCAUCCCGGGCCAAGUAACGGGGUUGUUGGGUGCCUACCACAUGAUACUACAAUAUGUAACCAUAAUUUCCAAGUACCUACUCAGCAUGCAAUUGGGCAUAGGAUGGUAGAACUACGAUGCAUAAAACAUAGGUGAUACAUGAUCAAAUGACUUGCCUGGUGAUGUUGGCGAAGAAGAAUUUCUUGAGAAAUAUCUUGAUAGACUACUCGUCACUCUUCGAUGAAAUCUAUAUAACAAACAUAUCAUUCACAUAAGCACUCAUACUAGCAAUCAUUCUAGCAAUCAAAACAAAAGAGGGAGCGAAUAGGAAUCCGAAGGAAACUUCAAAUAAGACUAGGGAGUCCUCUACUACAUCAAACACUAAAUAGUUUUUGUCCAACGGAAAAUAAUAACAGGGAACUAAUAUAUAAAUUUAACUAAGAUAAAAUAAACUAUUUUUCACAAAACUUUUUGAAAGUAUUUCCAAACGGGAUUUGAAACAGUAGAGAAACCAAUUGCAAGUUAUUAGGGAACUAGAAUUGAUUUCAUGAUAACAUAUAAAAAUAAAAAUCAAAACUUGUUGCAAACCUACUGUUAACUAACAGAAACAAAACAUAAUCUUUUUGAAAUAUAAAAGAAAAUAAUUUAAAAACAAUUAUAGAAAAGGAAAUAGACAUAAUCCUAAAAGAGGUGAAACAGAAAUUGUUUCACAAGAAACAAUGAGCUAAAAUACUCAAACAAAUCUGAAAUUUUUAUCACUGAUAAAUAAGAUCACUAGUGAUCAGUAGCAAAAGGAAUCAAAUUAAAAGCUAUUUUUAAACUCCUGGAAAAGGCAAAACAAGGUUUAAACUAAAUCUGAUCUAAUUCAAAUUUGAAAAUUUCAAACAUAGACAAAUUAUAUGUUUUUAAAAACUACAGAAAAAAUUUUAUCUACUCGAAAAAGAAUCAACCUCGUUGGAGUUGUGGUUCAAAAGUUAUGAGCAAAACAAACUGCCUCUGUUUCUGAAUUAAACUAAAAAUAGAAAAAUCUAACUAGUGCAGGGGGGGGGGNNNNNNNNNNUUGUUAUCUACUCGAAAAAUAAUCAACCUCGUUGGAGUUGUGGAUCAAAAGUUAUGAGCAAAACAAAACUGCCUCUGUUUUUGAAUUAAACUAAAAAUAGAAAAAUCUAACUAGUGCACGGGGGGGGGGGGGGUAUGUGGCGUGCUCUCAUUGGCNNNNNNNNNNUGUGGGGGUUCUAGCAAACGACCGCUAUUUAACCAAAACCUCUUCGGCUAAAAUUAAGUGAAGUAAACCGGCUCGAUUUUUAACUGAAAACCGAAGGGUUAUCUGCCAUCUAAUCUAACACGUAUAUUUGAGAUCCAACGGCUACAGGGAAGAUGGAGGCUCACAGCGAGGUGGAGGCGCUCCGGCGAGGUCCCCGGCGAUGACAGAGGCGGAGACGAGUCGGGGAAGCGGCUCCGGUGACCCUCCGGCGGUGGCGACGGGUCGGGGAGGCGGCGGCGAGUCCCCUCCGGCGAUUGGUGGUGGUGGCUAGGCGAGGGAGGUGGCUGUGUGAGCCCGGGGAGGCUCGGGGUGGCCGGGUGGAGCUCGACUCCGGCGAGGUGGCAGGGCGACGCUGCGGUGGCGGGGAGCUCGGGCUGGUUGGGGAAACGGGGUGCGGCGGGGCUCCCGCGCCCGGUGGUGGCGGCGGCGAGGCGAAACGGGGCCGGGGUGAGCUGCGGGGCGCCGGGGAGCUUCGGCUCCGGCGAGGUGGCGGCAGGGGCGGCGAAGCUUGGGCAGGGGCGGCGAGGAGGGGAAACGGGGUGAGGAGAGGGGCUCGGGGCCGGCUACUUAUAGGGGAGAGGGGAGACUGCGGAGGGAAGGAGAUCGGCGAGGCGGGGGCAAGUCCGGCAAUGGCGGGGUGGCCGGCUGGGCAAGGAAAGUGGAGGGAGGCGCGGGGGAGAGAGAAGGAAGGAGAGGUGGGCGCGGGGUGCGCUGGAGGCGGGGUCGACCAGGUGGGGGAACGGGUGGGGCCGGGCGUCAGCGAGGGGGUGCGGGAGGGGUUCGGUCAGUUUGACCGAGAGGAAAAAAAGGGGAAGGGAUCCCGGGCCAGGGGGUGGGCCGAUUCUAUAAUGCGCCCACGCGCUUUCCUCUUAAAAAAAUCCGUUUCCUGUUUUAGUCUUUUUUCAAAAACAAAAACUAAAACAAAUAAAAAGGCAACAAACAAAAUAGUUAAUAUAGGGUAUUAUAUACCAAAAUGAUCAGAAAAAUAUCCUCUACUCGAUUAACAUUUUUCCAAAANNNNNNNNNNGGUUUCCUGUUUUAGUCUUUUUUCAAAAACAAAAACUAAAACAAAUUAAAAGGCAACAAACAAAAUAAUUAAUAUAGGGUAUUAUAUAUCAAAAUGAUCAGAAAAAUAUCCUCUACUCGAUUAACAUUUUUCCAAAANNNNNNNNNNACAAAGGUUAAGCAAGCAGUAACAUAGCCAAUAAGUGGUUUGCUAGGUCGAACAGAUUGAAGGUUAACAUGGCAUUGUUGAGAGGCUGAUAUUUAACAUGUGGUAGGCAACGAGACAUAAUCGAUAAAAGCGAUAAAACUAGCAUGGCAAUGAUAGUAAUGGUAUCUGAGGAAAUGGUCAUCUUGCCUGAGAUCCCUCUUGGAAGAAGAAUGACUCUGUGAAGCAAACGAACCGAUGUAGUCGAACGGGUCCUCACAUAUGACACGCUUGCGGAACUCUAUCGAGACGGAGGAAACCGGAAACAAGAAUCAACACACGAUAUUCAGCACACGAUGCACAACACAAAUGAUGCAUAACCAGCUGAUAACAUGCAAGUCACGGCAUGACAAUUCACACAAACAAACACUACACCUUAAGUGAAGUUCAAUAUGCAACGAGUUGCAUAUUGACGAAACUCCACGUUUAUUUAUUUAAUUCUAUCCCGAUUAGGUACACGACAAUAUUAAAUGUGGUUAAACAUGGCAAGAGGUGAAGCGUAAUUAAACUACCUAUCUAGGCAUUUUAAAUGAGGUCGGAAAUGACAUAUAGCAUCUCCGAAACGACCUGACAUGUUAAUUUACAAUUCUGUCCAGAUCUGAACUAACACAUUUAAUUGGUUGUUAAACAACAAAACAAAUAGGUUCACAUGAUUCCACGCGUCGUUACAAGCAAUUUACACAUAGAGAACAUCUCCAACGGAGCUACGGAUCAAAAGUAAAAGCACCGCAAGAUAUGAUGGCAUGAAUGCAAUAUGUGUGCAACGGCGGUCACGAGCACUUCAAAACAUACAACCAGCAAGGGAAAAUGAAACUACACGAGAUUCUAAGCAAGUUUCAUGUAGGACACGAUCAAAAUGGAGCUACGGUUCAACAUCUACGAGCAAAACAAGAAAACACCACAAUCUGCCAAAAUCAGCCACAUAUCAUUUUCUACACCCCACAACUACGAGCUACACAACUCCAAUCUAAUCAACCAAGGCAUGAAACGAUAGAGGGCAAGAAGCACUACAACAAACAACUAACAAAAAUUAGCAUGGCAUCAUGGAUCACUAGGGAAAGAAGUCACAAAAUGGCCACUCACACACUAUUUCAGACUUAGUGAAAAUUACACUUCAUGAAAGUGCAGUUUUCGAUCUAAAGCUAUAUUGACAGCAGCAAAACCAAAAGCUACAGGACCUCAAAUAGCAUGAAAAUUUACAGCAAGCUAUAUAAACAUAAAUUCUAAAACUAACUCCAUUGCACCAACCUCAAAAGAGCUACAAAUCACAAGAUACAAGCAAGACAAGACAGCAACAAAAUAUAACAGAUUUCAGACUUAGAAAUAUUUCAGCUCCCCCAAAUCAGCACUGUUUCUAGCAACUUGAGAGCAAGCAAACCACACAUAAACAUGCAUUUCUAUUACAACCAAAAAUACCGGGGGCUAGACUAAACACCAAAGAACAACUCCCUNNNNNNNNNNCUUAAUCAAACGAAACACGGAAUAAAUCCUACGGAAAAGACAAGAGGCCAACAUGGCAAAAUAUCGCGCGAACUAACUUCCUCAAAAGCUAAAACUAAUUGCACAGAAAAAUCCAAUGGAUUUUUUUUACCCCGAAAACAUAUAAAACAUGUGGGGUUGCAACACGAAAAUAUUGUCACACGUAAAUGAGAGAAAAUAACCUAUACACGGAAAAAUAAACUAGCAGUAAACCCUACACGCAAAAAUACGAGUGACCGCUCUAAAAUACAUGGAAAAAUGGUUCCUAAAACAUGGGCAUUUAUCUAAGGCAUUCGGGCAAACCGGAUACGCGCGAAAAAUAAAUACGGGACGCAAUCAUAUUAGGACAGCAUGUUAAUCUAUGCAUACGGCACGCUAAACGUCUUCAAACAAAUAUGCAAGUUGCACCAACGUAUUCUACGCGCAAUACUACGCGAAAUCCAAAUGCUACAUGUCGCGAUCUGAUUUACGGAUUGAAAGAUAGGGGCAUUAUAUAUUCGUCUAUUUCCUGAAAAAUAUAUAUUGUCAGGAAAAAUCCUAAUAAUCAAACGGGCCGUAUUGGGGGCGCUUUACACCGAAAAUUGCACAGGCGGGGGAUAGUCCAGUCUCACCUUGGGGCCUUCGGGCCGGAGGGUGGUGGAGGAGGCCAGCUGGAGGCUUGGGCCGAGCGGGGCUGCUGGGCCGCAGGGUCCAGGAGCGCGGUCAACGCCUGGAGGAGACCAUCGGGCCUGCUGGCUGCUGCUGGGCCUCAUGGGGGCGCGCGUCCCACAGACGAAGGCGGUGUGGAGCUGGGCCGGCGGGACGGGGCCGGCGUGGGCGAGCGAGGCGACGCGGCCGAGGAGCGGGGCUCCUCAUCGUCCUCCCGACGCUGCUCGUGCUCGAGCGCUGCAGGGGCGGCGGCGGCUGGCUCUGCACGCGCCGGUGGCCGAGGUGGCGCGGGAACCCGGGCAGACGCCGGCGCCGGCGCGGAUCUGGCGUGUCCAGGCGGAGGCAGGCCAUCGGGCGGCUUCCUUCAGGCUCGGAGCGGCGGAGAUGGUAGGCGCAACGCCGACAGAGCAAGAUGGCGGCGGCGGUCACCGACGGCGUGGAGGCGGGGCAUCGGGGAAGGUCCGGUCGCGAACUUUGACGAGCUCCGACGGCUCCUGGUUCGGCGGGGAGCUGCGGGAUGGCCGGCGACUGCGGGCGCGAGGCGCGGGGAGCUCGGGGCAGGAGGCAUAACGGGCGGCGGCGGCGGCCGGAUGGGCUUCGGGCGGGCCACGCGCGGGCUCGGGCGGGCCUUGCGGCUGGGGGNNNNNNNNNNNNNNNNNNNNNNNNNNNNNNNNNNNNNNNNNNNNNNNNNNNNNNNNNNNNNNNNNNNNNNNNNNNNNNNNNNNNNNNNNNNNNNNNNNNNUGUUCCGACAUUUGAAAAAAUAUUCCGGAAUUUGAAAAAAUAUUCUGGAAUUUGUAAAAAUGUUCUGGUUUUAAAAUUUGUUCUCAAAAUUAACAAUUUGUUCGUGCUUUAAAAAUUUGUUCGCACUUUCAAGUUUGUUUAGUUUUUUUUCCAAAAUUGUUCUCCUUUUCAGAAUUUUGUUUUCACGAUUAGAAAAUGUGCAUGCUUUAAACAGUUGUCCCGUUUCCAAAUUUGUUCAUGUUUUUUCAAAAUUGUUCUCGGUUUUAAAAUUUGUUCUCAAAAUUCAAAAAAUGUUCGUGCUUUAAAAAUUUGAUCUCGCUUUCAAAUUUGUUCGGAGUUUUUAAAAAUCUUGUUCUCAAGAUUCAAAAAAUGUUCGUGAUAUACAAAAUUGUUUGCGCUUCCAAAUUUGUUCAUGUGUUUUUAGAAUUGUUCUCCUAUUUCAUUGCAUUUUCACAAAAUUGUUUGUAAUUCCAACAAAUGUUCUCCUAUUUUAUUUUUCCCUUUUCCCAUAAAAAUAUUGAUCGUUCUCAAAUAAUAUUCUUGUUUCAUACAUUCAUGUUGGCAAUUUUAGGAAAAGGUUCGAAUCUGCAGCGGCUUAUGGUUCGUGUUGUUAAAUUUCACAGCUUUGUUAUGUUGGUUAACAUUCACGCAUGUAACCUUCCACCUCUGGUAGUCAAUCGAGAUGGUUAACCAUGGCAUACUCCGACCUAGAGGUCCCGUGUACGAUUCCUUUGCUCGCUCAUUUUCCUUUUUGCGUUUUUCCAUCCCUACAGCAAAUGGGCCGGCCCAGGAAAGCUCGCUCUAUGCGAAACCGCCGCUAGUCGCCGCAAAAUGCGGCGUAUAGGAGCUCCCCUCCUCUUGGGCUUAGCGAACGCAGUGCUCACGCGCCUCCGCUCGUGGGCCAGCCCAACCAGCAGGCGUCCUCGGUUCACAGUUGACCGUUGCCAGCGGGAGCUCCUAGUCGCCGGGAGCUGCGGCAACCAGUCAGGGCUUCGCACAGGGUGACUCCCGACUAGGCCGGCCCAGUACGCGCGCGACAACUGUAACUUCUUUUUUCCUUUUCUGCUUAUUUCUUUUUUUUGGUUGUUUUUCUUCCUAUUUUCCUUUUUUUCCUUCUUUAUCGAAACGAAUAAAUGUUGAAUUACUUAAAUCAUUUUUUGAAAGCAUGAACAUUUUUUAAAACAGGGAACAAAUAUGAAAACACGAACAAUUUUCUAAAGGAUGAACAUUUUUUGAAUCUUGAGAAAAAAAAAUUAAAAUCCUGAAAAAAUUUGGGAACACGAACAAAUUUUAAAGCACGAACAUGUUUUCAAUUUUACGAACAAAAUUUUGAAAUGGAGAACAAUUUUGAAAACCCUGAACAAAUUUGGAAGCGUGAACAAGUUUUUAAAAGCACAUUUUUUUUAAAACAUUAAGUUUUUUUUUAAAAUGAGAACGAUUUUGAAAAAUCCUGAACAAAUUCAUAAACGUGAACAUUUUGCAAAUUUUGAGAACAAAUUUCGAAAAAUAAGAAAUUUUUUUGAAUAUCAUUUUGAAAAAUCCAGAACAUUUUUGAAUUUCCAGAACAUUUUUUGAAAAUCCAGAACAUUUUUGUAAAAAAACAAUUUGAAGAACAAGUUUUGAAAAUCCUAAAGAUUUUUCAAAAAUACAGAACAUUUUUUGAAAAAAAGCAGAAACAUUUUCUGAAUUUGAAGAAUAUUUUUGAAAACCACAUUUUCUGAAUUUUAAGAAUAUUUUUUGAAAACCUAGUUGAUUUUUUUGUAAAUACAGAACAUUUUUCUAAAAAAUACAUUUUUAGAAUUUGAAGAACAAUUUUUUAAAAUCCCAAACAUUUUUUGAAAAUCCAGAACAUUUUUUAAACAGAAACAGAAAAAAGAAUAAAAAAAAUAAUAAAAAAAGAAAAACCGGUUCAUGAAACCUUCUAGAAAGUUCCCAAAGCCGGAAAAACCCGGCUAGGAAAGUCUUGAAGAUUCCCCAAACCGGGAUCCCCCCAACCGGUAAUGGCUCAUCCUAGAUCGCGUCGCUCCCUCUUCAUCCUAUGCGAAGCAACGACAUCUUGACGCAAUGUGCGUCCUAUAGGAUUUUCCGUUGCGAGCCGCGAGCCUUAUCAUCACCACUAACUGACCACUAGCACGGUAGCAGCGGCGGGGAUUACACAUCCUCCUGCAAGCUAGUCGGAGUCCACCAAAAUUCCUCACGUCCGAUGGGGGUUCUUUAACGGACAAGAGCCUUAUGGGGUAGGAGUACCAACUGAGUGUUCCUACUCCUAUAGAGGGAGUCAUCGACAGAAGGGAGAAGGAGGUAGUAUGUCACACCCCACAAGGUGAUGUAUGACAUGUUAGGUCCACCUGCUGUCAAGGUGGACUCUAUAGUAGGUGUUGAGUGUGUGUGUGUGUGGGGGGGGGUGUUAGAGCGUCUCCAACAGUCGCGCACAGGCACGACACACAACAGAAUUUUUACAACGCGCGCAACAAAAUAAUUCGUUCAAAAAUAGUUUAAUUAUUUUUGCAACUGAAACAAAUAAUUAAACUUCAAUACAACAAAUAGUUUAUGACCAAUAUAACAAAUGUUUAGCACAACAAACAUACAACAUCAUGUGUUUUGUUGCCCAUUCCAUGCCCACCACUCCUCAACUAAAUUUCUGAAGAUCAUCAUUCAUUUCGGCACGUGAUGCGGCUCUCGAGAAGGGUUGUGCGAUGCAGCUCGGGAGUUAUGCUACACCAAAGAUCAUUUGCAAUGUCUCGUUAGCAUGAUGACACUUAUAUGUUAAGACUAGUAACUAAUGACCAUUCUAAUAAAACUCACCAUUCCCAACGAAGUAAUGACUAGCAUUAGUGGAGGGGUCUCACCAGUCUUCUCGCACAUAGACUGCACAUUUGGUUUUGAUGAGUCAGUCAUAUUAGUUAGUAAUGAAACAAACAUUACAUGCAUGAUUGGGCUAAUAUGGAGAAGAAACUUACCACGAGGAGCUCGUACAUGGCCUCGUGAGCCGCCUCAUUCCGUGCCCUCUCCUCCUCCAACAACCUAGUCGUCCUCUCCUCCAUGAGUUAUUCCUUCUCCGCCGCCACCCGGUCCCUCUCCCCCAGAAGCGCCUCGGUUGUCGCUCUCUCUUUCUAAAGAGCAACGUGCAACACCACUCCUCGUUAGCAUUGUAAUCAUCGAUGUCCGCACACACAAUGUAAUAGAGGAAAGAUAUCCGAGUUCGCAUAACUAACCUUGAUGGCAAGAUCGAUUGGCCGUGGACGAGUCCUUAUCUCAGGGCAGGAGCUCGUUUGGCGCGCCUUGAACUCCGGGAGAGUGAGAGGACAACGUAUCAGUCCAUCUCCAAUGUCUAUCGAGUCAUGGGGCCUCCUACCACCAGCUGUCAUCGCCAGCUCUGGAUCAAUAGGAUGCUGGCUCGGGUUAUAGUCACCCCCUUUCCUCGCCUUCGCCUCCUUGUUGUACAUCACGAGCUUGUGGUGGGAGGAGAUGUUGGUGAACUUUUCAGGAUGAUCCAGGUCAGACUUAGAGAAUGCCUUGUCCUUCUUGUACGAGGCAGUAUGGGACAUGGCAUAGAGGUCAUACACCUCUGGCACCUUCGUGCUAUUGUGUCGCGCCUAAAAGAGAAGAACAAAGUAUUAGUAAAGGGCUCAAGCUAGCAUGAAGAAUGAAUUGCAUGAAUCAUGAAGCAAACCACAUACCCAGUUUCGUUCGAACUGAUAUAAGUUAGCGUUGCCUUGAUGGUGUGGCACACCAACCAUUUGGUCACGCCCGUCCUUGGAAUUAUUAUAGAAGGUUCGCCAAUGGUUUGUGCACCACUCAUCCACCAACGCCUCCCAACAAUCCAUCUUAUCCGUGCACCAUCUCGGGGCACCUAAGUAGGUAAAGAUAAAUUUGAGCGCUACGCUUACGAAUCAAAUCAAAGAAACUAUGUAUAAGGCCUUAAGAGUAGGUAAUUACCUUCAUGUACUGAUCCUUCUUCACAAACUUUUCGCGGCACAACGGCUUGUCCUUCUUAAUACCACCCGUGGCGUAGUAGUCUCGAAUAGCCCGCGACCGAGCCUCGUGCCGUAAGUUCUGUAAUAGGCGCUUGCACUCAGUAUCGAAAACCUUUGCCGUAGCUUCCUCAUAUCCCUCCUCACACGUGUAGAAGGUCCGUAAUCAAACGAGACAACACUGAUUAGUACAAUAACUAGAUAUUGUUGAUUUUUAAUUGUGUAAAGGAGAAAUUAUCCAAAAGCUUAUGAUCACCAUCUCGACCCUCGUGUGGCACAAGACACCAUCGAUCAUCUCCUCCAGCGGGGCCGGGACAGCCAAGUACUGCUCCUAGCUCAAUCCUAGUUGUGGAAGCUGACCCUCACCGGGCAACGUGACAAACUCCGGGAAAUUUUGCCGGCAAAGAACAUUAAGGACGGUAUUAGGCUUGCGGAGUCCAUUGCCGUGUCGCGAACCCCAUGCAGUAUGAGAAUGCCAACGCAUUAGAUAUUUGAAGAAACGUGAAGGCAACAUGUACAAAAAGAGUAAAUGCACUUACUUCCCUCCCUCAGGCGUAAUCACCGACCUCUCCUCGCGGGUCUCCGGCAGGGGCGGGAGCUGUGUACCACCACGCUGGUACACGGUGACCCCCUCAACCACCUCGCCCUCACUAUUAGUAGACUGAUCCCCGCCACCAUCAGCAUGGCCACUUGGAUCCCCACCACCAUCACCAUGGCCACUCGGAUCUAGCCAGGUACCCCAUCCAGACGUCUCCUGGGACGCAACCCGAUCCCGGCCCUGGGCCGUAGUCUCAUCGGCGAAAGCCUCUGGGACUGGAUUCUCGUGGGCCAAAGUCUCGUCGACCGGAGGCUCGUGGUCCGGAGUCCGUGUAGCCUCCACCCGAGACGGGUCCACCCUAAUAGUCCUGUUCCCGAGUGAAUGAGCUAGGGGUGGCGGCGAGGAAGGUGUAGCAAUGUUUCUACCACUCCAGCGGCCACAUCCUUUACCUCUCUUCUUACCACCCUGAGCUCCUCUCUCGGUGGGCAACGAAACCGACGAAGAAGCGCCCGCCAGUGUACCCAUACUGUCUAUCAACGCUCUCCGGAGAGAUAGUGGUGGAAUCUAAGUACCCCUCCCGUGGGCCGCCGACGAAGAAGCCCGGUGGAAAGAUCUUCUCUAACUUGUAGAGUAACUCCGGCGCCAACUUUUCCAUGCCAGACAGCAUGCCAAACCAUAGUUCUUUCGCACAACGAACACGGAAGAAAUAACUCAGCUAUGCGUGUACUAGCAAUUCAUCCUCAUGGAUAAAGUCAUGCAACAUCACCGGCAUUACCCACUCAAGCCAUAUGUGCCAAUCAUGACUUUUGAGACCAAUAUUUUUAGUUUUUCAAGACUCGCUCCUCUCUUUAGAUUCGUCGCAUACCAAUCGGGGAACAUCAAGUGCAUUUUCACCCACAAGAUAAUUUCCCUCAUAGCUCCCCUUCCAAGAUUGAACCAGGCCUUUGGUUUCGUUCAGUUUUGCUUUCCUUUUGGUUGUCGCAUGUUUUGUAACGGUCUAUCAAAUAGAGUGUGUUGAUCGACUCUGUCCUUAGGAUUAUUCUUUGAAUUUCCUUCUAUGCCGAAAAAUGUACCAAAAAGGGCCUCCCCGAUAUUCUUUUCAGUGUGCAUCAUGUCAAUGUUGUGUGGAAGAAGGAGGUCUUUGAAGUAAGACAGAUCCCACAAGCAUGACUUGUGAGUCCAUAUGUGUUCCGAAUUAUACCCCUUGAAAUAUCGUGGAUUCUCUCGAUCAGUCUUAGAGAGUUUAACUGAUCUAGGAUCUGUUGGCCUAUCAACACAGGUGGUGCAAUGUAUUUGACAACUCUACCUUUGAUGAAGUUCUGUUUGUCUUUUUUAAACUGAUGGCUAGGAUCCAGGAGCUGUCUAUGCAAGUCGAAGCAAGAAUACUUGCGACCCACCUCCAGCCAAUGAAAGUGAAGAGCCGCCUUGCAUGUGGGGGCACAGGAACCUUCCAUGCACACACCAACCAACGAAUAGCGCAUACGCCGACAAUUCAUGCAUCGAGUACAUGUACCAGACAUGCAUUUUGAAGCUCUCUUUUCUAGCGGCAUCAUAUCUCUUGAACCCAUUAGCCCAAGCUUCUUACAAUUCAUCCUUAAGAGGCUGCAUGUACACAUUCAUAUUCUUCCCGGAUAGUUGGGCCCUGGAAUUAUCAACGCCAGGAAAAUGUUAUUUCUUUGCAUAAUCUGUCCGGGGGGGGGGUGUCGAGUGAAAUGACAAAUACAAGCCAACAACUAUAUUGGGUUGCUGUCAUACCGAACAUAUUGAACCCAUCCGUGGCGACGCAGACUCGAGGAUGCCUUGGAUUUGCUGCUUGAUCCUCAUGUAAUGCAUCGAAGUUCUUCCAUAAAAAAGCAUCUGAUGUGUGUACCAACAUCUGAUUCCCAUCCGCAUCUAGUUCAGUUCUUUUGCCCAAUUUGUGCUAUGUCAUCUGUCUGGCCAUCUCUUCGACCAUGAAAAGACGUUGAAGUCUUGGUAUGAUUGGCAUAUACAAAAUAACAUUAACGGGGAUCUUGGUUUGCUUCUUCUCCCCAUACCGUUGUCUACCAUAAUGUACCUUGAAGAGGUGCAAAUGGGACAAUAGUUCAAGUCUGCGUACUCAAGCCUAAAUAAGGCACAUCCUUUUCACAGGCAUCUAUCUUCUCAUAGGGCAUAUUAAGUACACAGAGGAUUUUGUCCGACUGGUAUAGGUUUGCAUGCAUUAAUGGCCUUUGGGUAGAAAGCGUUCAAAUAGUGUCAUCAUGGUGUCGCAACAUUCUUUUCCCAAGUUGAACUUAGUCUUCAGAGCAAUUACUUGUGCAAUGGCAUCCAGCUAACAAAGCUUAGUGUGAUCGUAGAGAGGACGUUUUGAAGACUCCAACAUUUCAUUGAAGGCCUUUGCAGAUUCCUCCAUCUCAUCGUCUGAAUCUCGAGCAUCAUCAAAGUCUUGCACCAUGUCGUCGAUCCCAAUACCAUGCUCGUCGGUGCGACGACGAACCACCCCAGCUUUGGGACCUUGGGCAGACUCGCCAUGAAAUGUCCACACCGUAUAAUCAGGCGUAAAACCCCACUUCUGCACGUGCUUACCCAUUUCACCCACUUUCCUCUUUGAAAAGUUGCCGCACUUAUGACAGGGGCACCCGAUUUUUCUGUGGACGUUUGCAAAUACGGCUUUCACAAACCCCUUGGUUUUUGUUAACCAUUAAUUGCCAUGUCUUCCUGACUAGUGUGACCGGUGUACAUCCACGCACAAUCACUCAUCUUGCCUACCUACUAAAAACACAAGAAAUAUAUAUUCAUCCGUUAAUCAAGUUUAUCAAUUUUAUUACGUCCAUGCAACCCUACAUGCUAAUAGGUAAAGAUAGGUCCUAAUCCCACUCGAGUAUGUGUAGAUUGGGUUCAUUUUCCCAUACUCUGCUCCGGAUCCGAUGCAAAAUUUUGGCAGCACCUCCAUAUUGUUCUCCUCAUACACGUCUCAACAACAAGCCGAGAGAAUGUGUACCCGAAGAACAACGGAUGUUGCUGAUAAAAUUUUGCCUUAGACCGAAGUAGAGCACGGAAAAAGAAACCCAAUUUACACGUACUCGGGUUGUCCAUGGAUGACAUGGACAAUUCAAAAUGAUGACAAUUAUAAAUAUGAAAAGACAUGCAUAUUUAUAGAUGCCACCCUUUCAAACGGGAGACAUCUAGGUUAUGCGACUUGAUAUGAGAAUAAAAUCUAGUGGCAUCGGCACGACAACGAGAACAAUGCAAAUAGGGGAAGGGGAAGAUAUGGCAGUUGAGGUCACCCCUAGAUGGCCAUAGAGAAGGUAGUGAAAUGAUGAUGGAAAUGACAACGGGACCGACGGAGAUCCCUGCACAUGAAAAACAUUUGCACAACCAACAUAAGCACCACAAGAAACAAAUCUACAAGAUGUUGCAUCAUUAACUGCAUUUUUAGUCAUUAACUGCAUUUUUAGCCAUUUAAUGGAUAUAAUUCAAAUUUAAACUAUGAAUGAAUGAAAUAGUGUGCAAAAAUGAUUUGAAAAAUCAUAUUUAGGGCAUUGAGUAUAUGUGUGUGCAUCAUACAAGAAAUAAAUAUAGAAUAUAAAUAUCUAUGUGACAAUAAUCAAUCGUGAAUAUGAAGUUUAUUGGUAUUUUAAUUCUAGAGAAUAUAAAUGAUGUCUAAUAAAUACGAAGCUUCUCAUAGUGUCAAGAUAUGACUUCACUAUACUUUGGUAAAAAAUUGAGAAGGUUUUCACAAUUUUUCUCAUGAUAUAAGGGCAAAAAUCAAAUGGCAAGAAAGCACACGUAUGUGUACUAAAUUCUUAUUGGUGAACAGAUUGAAGCGUUGGAUCGAUGGCAUGGCAUGAACCUAUUCGUCCACACUUCACAUCCAAGAAAAAUAUCUAGCAUUAUCUAUUCACCACAUGCUCUACCACAUCCAUACAUAUAUCUUGUUAGCAUCAAUCCAACCUCUUGUAGAACCACAAACAUGACACACACUUCUUUCAUGCCAUGGCUGGCGAGGCGGACGACGCCUGCUCCACCCUCCAACUAGGAGCAGUACACGGUGGGGCGGGAGUGCUCGACGUCGGGCAACCGUGUGUGAAGCGGGUGCCGUGGACGCCACUCGUCGUCGGGCGUAGACCGAGCACACGCACGAAGGAGCCGUCCAACUCCAGGAUCUCUGUUUGUGGCACAACUUCCUUAACAGUUUAUGCAUCCCGGAAGGCAACAUCACGAAGGCGUAGUUCGUGGCCAUGUAAACUACCUUCACGUGCGUCUCUUUUCAAGAAUUCAUCCACCAGGUUAGCUGCUAGCUAGCUUGUCGGAUACUACUAUUUAAUCUUGUUCGUGGCCAUGUCUAAGCCUGAUGUCUCUAGCCAUCUAAUCGAUUUUUGAUUCUUCCCAUCUAUCGAGAUUCCCCAAGAUAUCAAACUAAUCACACAGUCUCUCUUGUCAAGUCAUGAACUUUCUCGUGCAAUACUUUUUGAGAAUUGUUUUAUGCAUAACUAGUGAAAGAACUAAUUUCAAGUAGGAUACCUAAGUAUGUAAUAUAAAAAUUCAUAAAAAUAGAAGUAUAAUUUGAAAAAAUCAUUUUUUUUCAUGGUAGAUAAUUUAGUCCGUGAGUACGCUCCAAAUUUCAGCUCAUUUGGACAUAUGAGUAGCCGUCAGCAAAAAAACAAAUUGGGUCGGAAUAGUACAUGAACACUAAAUUUUACAUAGCCCAAAUUUUUCUUUUUUGCCGAGGGAUACUCAGAUAUCGAAAUGAUCUGAAAUUUGAAGUGCACCUCACACACCAAAUUGUCUAUCAUGCACAACAAAUUUGAAUUUUUCUAGUAUUUGUUUUGAUUUUUAUGUGUUGAAGGUGUAGAUGAGCCUGGGCAUCGAAUCAUUGUUGUGUGUAAUGAUGUGAUUUUUUUACCUUGUCACUCUUUUCUCUUGAUUUUUAGGAUAAGAUAUAAUAAGAAAUAUGAGAAGAUUUGGCAGUUGAUGUCAUUGAUGAACAAGAAAGUAAUGAAGCUUUACGACGUAAUUAGAUGUUAUUGCUAGUUGUAUGUGUUAGCUGUUGUGUGACGUGAGAUAGUAUGUUUGUACUUUUAUAUGUUAUAUGACAAAGCUUGAAAAUAAAUCAUAUAAUGGAUUUUGAAUGUGCAUUUUUACGUUAUGUUUGUUUGUGAAAAUGUGAUUAUAGUAAAUUGAUUAAUGUCUAUCUGAAUUAAUGAUUAAUUAACACGUCGUUAAGAUCACAUGUUGCACACAAUUCUUUGGAUCCAAUGGUGUGUGACGACAUUUACAUCACAUAUAUUUUUUUAGUCAUGUGCAAUGUCUCACGCAUUACGUAUAAUUUUCAUGAAAUAACGAUGUGUGAUGCUAAUCCAAAUUGCACACAGUUUUUGUGUUUAAUUGUGUGGGAAGUACACCCAAUCACAAAUAGUUUUGAUAGCGUGUGCGAUGGACCCCUCUCCCUAUCGCACACAUAGGCAAGGUGAUGGUUUAAAACUGCUUGGAAUGUUUGAAAGGGGUUAAAAACUGUUUGCAUAGGACGUCGUUGCACCAGUGACGUGCCAUGUUGCAAGGCAGGAGGAUGCACUUCCAUAGAGUUCAUAGGUUCCCCCUCCAUGAUGAUUUCCUCAGUUCCCUCUCGUUCAAACUCCACAUGUAGCAGCCAAGCCUCGUCCUCAAUGUUGUUGGAGGAGGACCACAAAUAGCUUCCACACCUUCAAAAAACUAUCAGAAAACAGCCUGAAACAACAACAAAUGAGAAACUUGUGAUGCGGUGGUCAGAACAUAUGGGAGUAUAUAUAAUGAUUUUUUUCAAGUCAGAAUACUAGCCCAGUAAGAAAAAGAGUCGGGAAGGCGCAUGAGGAUCUCCCAAGACAUCAGGGCGCACCCAGAGGGGGUAGCCGCGCCCUGUUAGCUUGGGACUCCCUCGUGGGUCCCCUUGGAUGGUUUUUAUUUUUGCACUUUUCCUAAUAUUGCAAAAUGAUAGUAAAUAUUUUUAUGGAAUUUUUUGAGUCAGCUUACUGUAUCACAUACCUACUCUAUUUCAGGGUUCUGGAGUGUUCGAGAAAGUCUCUCCUAUGUGUUCUUCGAGUUUCAUCACUUGAAUAAUGUUAGUUUCAGUAUUAAUAGACAUACCUGAGAUAUAAUGUUUAAUUUUUGCCCAUUAACCACUCUUAGAUUUGUGUUUUCAACAUUGUUGAUUUUGAUAGCUCUCGAGGGAUAAACUUCUUCGACGAUAUAAGGUCCUUCCCAUUUAGAGAGAAGCUUACCUAUAAAGAAUCUGAAACGAGAAUUGUCCAAAAGAACUAGGUCUCCUACUUUAAAUUCUCGUUUCUGGAUUCUCUUGUCAUGCCAUCUUGUAACCUUUUCUUUAAACAACUUGGCAUUUUCAUAGGCUUGGGUCCUCCAUUCAUCUAAGGAGCUAAUAUCAAUUAACCUCUUUUCACCGGUAGGCUUGGGUCCUCCAUUCAUCUAAGGAUUCACCAAUAAGCUUUAUGUUCUAGCUCAAGAUGUAAAUGACAUGAUUUUCCAUAGACGAUUUUAUACGAAAACAUUCCGAUAGGAUUUUUAUAAGCAUUUCUAUAAGCCUGUAAUGCAUCAUUAAGUUUCUUAGACCAAUUCUUUCUAGAUCUAUUAAUAGUAUUUUGCAAGAUCAAUUUUAUUUCUUAAUUAGUCAACUCAACUUGACCUCUAGACUGAGGACAAUAGGGCGAUGCAAUUCUAUGGUUAACAUCAUAUUUAUUUAGAAGUUUACGGAAAGCACCAUGAAUAAAAUGUGAACCACCAUCAGUCAUUGAAUAUCUAGGGACUCCAAACCUCGGGAAAAUAACCUUUUAAAGCAUUUUAAUAGAAUUGUUAUGAUCAACACUACUAGUUGGAAUAGCUUCUACCCACUUAGUAACAUAAUAAACAACAACUAAAAUAUGAGUAUACCCAUUAGAGGAAGGAAAAUGUCCCAUAUAAUCAAGGACUUCCAAUUUUUAUGCCCCUCCUUGCUUAGUUCUCCUCAGUUUUGCCCACGCUCUUUGGCAGUCCUCACUUUUCCCCUCCAUUGUGCGGCCCACCCUUACAAAAGCCCAAAUGGGAGUUUGUCGUUGGGUCAAAGCCUUUGACCAUUACUUGGUGCGGUUACUGACGUGUGGGACACCCCUCCCCUGGUAGUGGCAGUGCGGUCAUUUGUGGUGGGUGUCGGUGUCAAAAUCGAUGGAUCUCGGGUAGGGGGGGGGUCCAAACUGUGGAUCUUGGAUCGAUGGAUAACAUGAGACAAAGGAGACGACAUUUACCCAGGUUCGGGCCCUCUUGAUGGAGGUAAAACCCUACAUCAUGCUCUUGUUUAUAUUGAUGGUGGAAUACCAAGUACAUAGUUGAUCUAUCUCGAGAUCGUAUGUUGUGGUCUAAACCCUAGGAAUAAUGAUCUUAACCUAUCCUAUGAACUAAAGCCCUUUGGUUUAUAUAGAUACAAGGGGUACUAGGGUUACACAACAUCGGUUACAUUAAGGAGGAACAUGCCGAUUACUACGUGGCCGUGGGGUGCACGCCAAGUCUUCAGAAGAGUCCGUCUUGGAUACAACAUCUCCUUAUUCAUCCGGAGUCCAAUAACUAUAGUAGGACGACCCAUGAGUCUGACCCAUUAUAUGAUCGGGAGUAUGUGUAGAGGGGGGUGAUUAGACUACUUGACCAAAUUAAAAGCCUACAUUAGCAGGAGAAAUGCUAGCAGUAGCGCUAGUUUUGCCCUUACCAGUAGCGCUUGUGCCAGCGCUACUACAAUCGCGCUACAACUAAUCUAUUAGUAGUAGCGCUGAAAAUAGAAGCGCUACUGGUAUACACAUUAGCAGCAGCACUAAAAUAAAUAAAGCGCUACUGCUAAGCCAACACUACUGUUAAUAUUCCAGCGCUACUGCUAAUAUUCCUGCUUUUAAUAUUUAAUUCACGUCGUAUUUAUGUCCCCCUACGUAUUUGUGCAUGCUCUAUACAAUGGUUUCAUCAUAUCAUAAUAAACAUGCAUAAUUUGCAUCACAUCAUACACAUAAAGUAGUCUCUUCAUUUAUACCAUCAUCAUCAUCAUCAUCAUUAUCCAACACAAAUAUCAUCAAAUCUGGGAAAUAGCGAUACACACGAGUCAUGGCACACCCACAAGUUUCAUCAUCCCUGUCUAAACCAUCACGUAGAAGAGAAGGGCGAUCAACAUGAGCAAGAGCGCGACUAUGUAGUACUUCUUGAGGCACCGAUUUCGCUCCGUCUCUUGCCGUAGCAUCCACCUCAAGUAACUCAUUUCCGUUUCGGCUCUGCUGUCGAACCCUCUGUGGCUAGCCCCCGGGUACCUGUCCACCUGGGCCUGAGCGUCUGUCCAGUGGUCGUACACUCCUGGAACUCGCCCAAUGAAUACGACGUAGCAACCCUUUGCCAUCUCCGAUCUAUGUACUUGCAUUGUAAGUUGAUUAAUUCAAUGAUAUAUAAUAUGAAACAUAAUGUACUUGAGAAACACAAGCAGUAAACAUAUAUAAAUGACGAAGCUCCUCAUACACAAACUAAUUAACUAGAGCGAUGUAUGGUAGUUCAUAUAAGGACUAGUAGUAUUAAUUAUAAUUGAACACAAACAUUGUCAUCGUCAAUCACUAUUCCUCAUUGAAAUUCCAAUCUUCAUAUUCAGUGAUGAAGCACCCGAGCUUCUUGAAAGGAUUCAUGUCCAGACCCUGAGCGACUAGCACAUCUCGGACAGUCUCCCGCCUCAUUGGCCCAUGGUAGAACAUCCCUCCUUGUUCGACGACCUGCUUCAUGAUCACCCGGGCAAGUUCACACUGGAUGUGAUAAAACUCAGCUCGGAUUUGAUGAUCCGGUGUGCUUCCUAUGCUUGUGGCCCAGUUGAGAAUAUCAGCAUCACCGGAAUUAGAUGACAUGCGAAGGCAUUGUCUAUCCCUUCUGAACUCGAUCACGUGAUGCAUGAGGUAGAAUCCAUCAGCCCUACUACCAUUUGGUUGCUGGAUGCACUAGAAGUUGGUCUUAUGGCCGAAAGCCGGCACUUUGUUCCUGUACUUUUUCACCUUGAUAUAUCCACCAGUAAGGCUGUAGGAGAAAAUGGCACCAUUGAGAACAUUCUUUAUGUGCGUGUAAUCCUUCUUCUUGAUGUUCAUCGAUGAGUCCAAGUAUAGAGCAUAGGAGUAUUGAGCGUACAAACAGAUGAGGACGCCCCCCCCGCCGCGCAAAAUAAGCGGAGCUCAAAUUAUCCUCCAUGCUUGCAAAGGAAUGAUCAAAACUUACGAAAGGAUAUCCACGGAUAACUUACAUGGGAUGAUAAGGCAAGAUAAUAAUUUCCUUGUCCUUAUUAGCGAGCAUGAAGUCACUGAUGUACUUGCUCGCAGAGUCCCGGUGCUCUUGGCACUCUGCCAACAAGCUCUCAUGCAUAUAGUACGGGUCUGCGACGCACAUAUAUUCUAUGUUCUCGCGCCUGAUGAUGUAGUUGAGAUGCAGCGCAUACAGGCGGAUGAACGAAAAAUCCAACUUGGUCAGGUGGAACAUGUCGUAGAUGUAGUCAAAUCGCAGGAUGAACUUGUCCACGGGCGAUGUGUCGACGUAUCCACUCGCACCCGGAACCUGAACCGGGUAAAGCUGGUAUCCUGGUUUUUUUUAGCUGAGAAGUUUCUUCUCUGUGGCCAGCACAUCACCAUGAAGUCUCCUUAGAUCAUUGUUCUUUAUGCUCACUACCACUUUCUGAGGUAGGAUCGGGUGGCCGGCGACAUGGAAACGCUCCGGACCUUCGACAAGUAUCCUGUCUACCUCCCGGGGUUGCGGCUGGCUGCUUGAAGCAGCUCUGGCACCUUUACAACCUUUCUUUUCCGAUCUCCUCCUUGGCUUCUUGGCGGGUGGCGGUAGUGAGCCNNNNNNNNNNNNNNNNNNNNNNNNNNNNNNNNNNNNNNNNNNNNNNNNNNNNNNNNNNNNNNNNNNNNNNNNNNNNNNNNNNNNNNNNNNNNNNNNNNNNNNNNNNNNNNAGCGUCUUCGGGCUAAUUAUCAGUGGACGGCCCCUGUGUUAUUCUUGCUGGGUAGAGGCGAUAUCUGGAAGCAUCUCCUGCAAGGAUUGCAUGAAGAGAGACUUUUUGCAAUCAGUCGUCGGACGUUCCGGCUCUGGCAAAUCAGGCAUCAUCAAGUCAUCUGCACGCUCAUAGUCUGAGUCAUAUUGCUAAGCAUCGUCACAGCCGGUAUUGAUAUACUGGUUAGGGUCCUCAUCCUCCUCCUCCUCCAUGACAUCAUCAACAUUUGCUUCUUCGAUGGGGGCGACGUCAUCUCGCACUAAUGGAGGCUCUCCCUCACCGCGUCAUCCGCUAUCUCCCCCCACGCCAGGUGCAGGUAAUUGGGUAGGUGGGGUGGUGUUCAUACCUUGUUGAUGAGUUGUCGUUGGUGUGCUACCGGGCGCCUUGACACGAAGGUGAGUCUUCGGCCAAGGCAAGAACCAACUCUUGCAUGCGCCAAUCAAUUGAGGGGUCUCGUCAUCACCGGCUGGUGCCGGAAGAGACAAAUCCUCGAAGCCCGCUUUGACACUGGCCACACAAACUUUGAAGACGCCAUGGGGCAUAUGCUUGUUGUGGAGCAUGCAGUCCUUCGGCUUUGUUUACGUUGCCUUUCCCACGUCGACCUUCUGGUCGUUGAUAUCAUACAGUAGGGUGCACGGGGUUUCGUCGGCCUACAAAGACAUGACUGCGAUGUCAGACAUCCGAAAGGCAACUGAAACGAAAGACUAUAUAGAUAUGCUUAUGACUAGUGUAUGACGCGUAGUUACUGUGAUGGCGUCGAGCUCAGCCAAAGAAGAAGCCCCGCCGAGCACACCAGAGACAGAUGACGGGCUCCUAUGAACCAGAGCGAGACCAGCUACGAGAGCAUUUGUGGUUGCGUGAGCAGGUGCUGGUGGUGCGAUGUUCGCCAUAUUGCUCCCGACAAAGCUGAGUAGUGGAAAGUCCUCUGCCCAUGCUUGUGGAUUCCUCCUCACAUACUCAAAAACUGUCAGAACCAAUCGGCCCAAGGAAGCUGCCACACGUGCAUUGACCUUAUCGUCGACUACCUUAGUCAACUCUUCUUUGGUCUGAUCGACCGCCCGUGCGACCUUGGUAUCAUGAACUCCCUCGGCCUAUCGUGGUAGCAUUUCUUCCACGAGGUGCCAUCUCUUCUUUCUUUCCUCCGGCCUAUCGUGGUAGCAUUUCUUCCACGAGGUGCCAUCUCCGACGCCGUGCACACGUCCACCCGACGGAGGUUUGUCCACUGAGACAUUUUUCAGUAUGUUCAUGGCCCGGUUGAACGGGUUGUCCCACUUGGGCCUCGCCGAAGACUGAGACGACUCGUCGCUUUCGGCUGCCUUUUGGUGCUACUCUUUCUGCAGAAGGAACGUGGAUGGUUUACAAAUGUGACAAAACUAGUUGUCAAAUUAAUUAGAAGCUAAUUAAUAUAAUUAAGGUGGUAAUACAACAAUUACCAGUAGUCUCAUGAACUCCCUCGUGCUCGGGUCCGUGUAAAAGAUCUUCUUGACGGGGUCCCACUUGUGCCUGGCCCUGAUCCAGUCAUGCUCCAGCGGGUCGGUGAACUCCGCCAAGGGGUCUGGAAUUCCGUGACUUUCACGUUCGGCGUCCUCCUUGGCUCAUGUGCUCCUCUUCCUCUCGUAACCACGGCUUCCGAGGCGGUGGGCAGGCGUGUUCCUGGCUUGGAGCCCCUUCAUUUUCUCCGACUUUUCCUGGGCUUCUUUAGGGUUUAGGGUUUAGGGUUCAUUUCUCCGACAAAAUGCAUGCAUAUAAAAAUUUGGCAUGACCUUGCCUAAAAAUAGGACAUAUCGAGUUUACUCGCAAUUCAUCGAAACGGAAAUAAAUCGACAUUUCAGCAAAACAUAAGCAACUCACGGGUCAUGUCACUCACACAAUAUCCCUUCAUAUCGCAAACACACAUAUUCCCAUUAUUGAAAUGCACAAGUUUUUACUCACCUAUAUAUAUCUCGAGAGAGAUUGUGCAUGGCUAAAUAAUGGAGAGGUAAAAAUGGUGGAGAAGUAAAUUAGAGAGAGGAAAGGAUAAAGGUGGGGAUAGGGCAAGGGGGGGAGGGGGAGAGGGGGUGUGUGUGGGUGAAAUGAGGGCAACAAUGGUGGAGGAAAGGAGAAAGGAGGGGAUAGGGAAAGGGGGGGGGAAGNNNNNNNNNNNNNNNNNNNNNNNNNNNNNNNNNNNNNNNNNNNNNNNNNNNNNNNNNNNNNNNNNNNNNNNNNNNNNNNNNNNNNNNNNNNNNNNNNNNNAGUUGAUACGUCCAUUUUGCAUCAUGCUUUCAUGUUGAUAUUUAUUGCUUUUUGGGUUGUUAUAUUACUUGUGGUACCAUAUUUAUGCCUUUUCUCUCUUAUUUUGCAAGGUUUAUUUGAAGAGGGAGAAUUCAGGUAGCUGGAAUUCUGGACUGGAAAAGGAGCAAAUCCUAGUCCACUAUUCUACAUAUCUCCAAAUGCCCUGAAAAGUUACGUGGAUUUUUUCUGGAUUAUAUAAAAAAUAUUGGGCGAAAGAACUACCGGAGGGGGGCCACCAGGGCGCAGGGCAAGCUUGUGGGCUGCCUGAAGGCCCACUAGCUCCCCUCUUUUGCUAUAUGAAGCAUCCUGGUCCACAAAAAAUCAAUCGGGAGCUUUUUCGUGGUUUCACCGACGCCACGAGGCGUAACUUGAGCAGAUCCAAUCUAGAGCUCCGGCAGGACGAUCCUGUCGGGGAAACUUCCCUCCCGGAGGGGGGAAUCGUCGCCAUCGUCAUCACCAACACUCCUCUCGUCGGAAGGGAGGCAUCUUCAUCAACAUCUUCAUCAGCACCAUCUCCUCUCCAAUCCCUAGUUCAUCUCUUGUAACCAAUCUUCGUCUCGCGACUCCGAUUGGUACUUGUGAGGUUGCUAGUAGUGUUGAUUACUCUUUGUAGUUGAUGCUAGUUGGAUUACUUGGUGGAAGAGUUUAUGUUCAGAUCCUUGAUGCUAUUCAUUACACAUCUGAUCAUGAUUAUUAUUAUGUUUUGUGAGUAGUUACUUUUGUUCCUGAGGGCAUGGGAUAAGUCAUGUUAAUAAUAGUCAUGUGAAUUUGAUAUUCGUUCGGUAUUUUGAUAUGUUGUAUGUUGUUUUUCCUCUAGUGGUGUUAUGUGAACGUCGACUACAUAACACUUCACCAUAUUUGGGCCUAGAGGAAGGCAUUGGGAAGUAGUAAGUAGAUGAUGGGUUGCUGGAGUGACAGAAGCUUAAACCCCAAUCUAUGUGUUGCUUCGUGAGGGGUUGAUUUGGAUCCACUAGUUUAAUGCUAUGGUUAGGCUUUGUCUUAAUUCUUCUUUUGUAGUUGCGGAUGCUUGCGAGAGAGGUUAAUCAUAAGUGGGAUGAUUGUCCAAGUAAGGGUAGUACCCAAGCGCCGGUCCACCCACAUAUCAAACUAUCAAAGUAACGAACGUGAAUCAUAUGAACAUGACGAAACUAGCAUGACAGAAAUUCCCGUGUGUCCUCGGGAGCGUUUUUCCUCCUAUAAGACUUUGUUGAGGCUUGUCCCUUGCUACAAAAGGGAUUGGGCCACUUGCUGCACCAUUGCUACUACUUGUUACUUGUUACUCUUUGCUUGCUACGUUUCACCUUGCUACACAAUCACUUGUUACCGCUACUUUCAAUGCUUGCAGUUAUUACCUUGCUGAAAUCCGCUUAUCAGAGCCUUCUGCUCCUCGUUGGGUUCGACACUCUUACUUAUUGAAAGGACUACGAUUGGUCCCCUAUACUUGUGGGUCAUCACAGGUCUGCUCCAAAGUCCAAGUCCACUGCUCCCAAGACCAAAAAUCCAGUAGCUCCUAAACCCAAAAGGACUACUAGGGAUAUACCUGCAGUAGAGAAGAACAAAGGCUCUGCAUCCAGACAUGCUACUGUAGAGGAGGAAGAAGAUCUUUCUGUUUUGAGAAAGUUGAGAGCUCACCUGCCAGAUAAUGAUGAUACUCAUCCAGUGGUAAAGGACAUGAAGAAGAGAAGGGAUCAAGGUCUGAGAUUGUGGAGAGCAGCAUAUCCCUAUGCUGUUAGGAGAAGAAUGAUUGUUGAUGGUCGCUUUCAUACCAAGGAGCAACAAAAUUUCUAUGAGACUGUGCUUUUGAACAAGAGUCCUGCAAUGAGUGAUAUGAGAUAUGUAGACUAGGACUACAUCAAGGAACAUGAGGACUACGUCCCUCAUGUGAGGGAGAAUUUCACGGCUAUUGAUAUUGAAGACUUUUCGGAAGGAAGAUGACUACCUGGAAUGAUGAGAUGAUCAUGCAAUUCUACCCCACUGCACGUUUUUAUCCUGAUGGUAGAAUUGUUUGGAUGACUGAAGUUCACAUAUAUGAGUCAGCAUUUGAGGAGUGGGCUGAAAUCAUUGGUGCCCCACAAGCCCAAGAGGGUGUGUUGGAUGUGUACUCUGAAUCCAAAAUGAACCGUAAUUAUAUGGCUAACGUGUACAAUUCAGUGCCCCAGCAAUACGUGAAGACACCCAAGUUUGGCUCUAUCUAUCUUUUGCAAGCUGGGAUACCUACCACAAAGAACAUUAUGAGGUACACCCUAAUGCCCAAAUCAGGAGAUGAUAAAAUAAACAGAGGGUAUUCCAUCAACAUAUUGCACCACAUUGACACCCAAACAAGGAUUGGAGUGAUGGAUCUGAUAGUUGAGACUGCCACGAAGACAACCGCAGAUCAAAAGAGAUCUUGUGGAUAUGCUCCAUAAAUUCAGAUGCUCAUCAAUGCCAAGACUGGGAUGCAUAUCUACUUGAUCGUCCUCACAUGCCACUUUAGCCAGAGUUCGAAGACAAUGAAGUAGUGAUGGACCCAAGCCAUCCUAGUUCAGCUACAGCUCGUGCAGACGCAGAGGCAACAACAGAGGCAGAGGCAGCCAGAGCAGCUCGAGUACCAGAGCUAAGGACCACAGAGGAGCAUAUGUCUUUUCUUGUCAGCACCAUCCAAGGGAAGGAGAAGAAUAUCUAUGAAAUCUUGUUGAACCAUAAAAGUCUUGAGAGGAUCCUGGAGACAAAAUUCCAUAACCUCGAUGUUAAAGUGACAGAGUUUUUUUUCGAACCGGGAUCCUCCCCUUUCCAUUAUAUCAUAACGGAAAUACAAUGUCUUUUGGACCAGAACCAUAGAAAGAAGGGAAAGGAAAGAAGCGAGCUCGUGACAAUACCAGGAAACCCACCAUCUACGCGUGUCAUCAGGAACGUAGACUGUGGGGCGAAAACCUAGUAUCAUCAAAAGCCACGCAAAGCAAACUAGCCUACCAACUUAAAAGUACCACUAGAACAUCCCCAUACAACAUAUCGCCAACCCGGCUCGAAAGUGCAAAAGCGAAAUGACCAAAUUGAGAUCACACAUAGAUAUAGCUAUUCUGGUUGCCACCAGCCCAUUUAGCAACGCCAUCAACUCUCCUUCCAGCUUCACCUGUAUCACCACUUCUCCCAACCUUCUUCUUCAUCAGCUUCUUCAGUAGCUUCCGGCAUCAGAGGCCCGCACAGCAACAACAUCUGAGAUGCAUUUUCUUUCAGCAUUUCAGCACCUUUUUUGACCACCUCCAUCAUCGCAGGCUAGUGUAAGCCUGCCCAGUAUUUAAGAAAUGCACAAGCUGUAAAAACAAUCUCAAAAGGGGUAUUGAUCCAUUUCCUCUCGAAUGUGGCACGAUUCCGGGCCAACCACAUUGCCCAGCAGAUCGCAGCUAAGCCAACGGUAUAAGCAUCACAAAAGCCAUGUAAAAAAGCAUACAUCCACGCAUAAAACUUCCAUAUAGAGUUUGGAACAUAACUAGUUCCAAACAUAGCCCCCACAGUUCUCCAAACUACCCUGGCUACUGGACACAAAAAAGUAAGUGUUGUGCCGAUUCUGGUUGUUCACAGAAUGAACAUUUAGGACCCCCUGCCAUUGUCGUUUCUUCAUGUUGUCUCUAGUAAGAAUAUAAUCCUAGCAAAGUUGCCACAAGAAGAUUUGUAUCUUUAGAGGGAUCUUAGCCCCCAAAUCCAUUUAUAACAAGAUACAGCAAGGUUUUUUUCAACCACCUGUACAUAGAUUUGGUUGAGUAUUCUAUGGAGUUGUCCAACUUCCAGUAUAUCUCAUCAUCCUUAUCUUUAUCAAUCUUGUUCAACACGUACCAUUUCAUCUCAUUCCACUUUUGAAGCAGUUCACUGGACAAUCUUCUUCUAAAUGAAGAAAGAUGGUUCAUAUUAUUCAUCUUGUCCACAAUACAUUCCUUAUCCAUACAAAUUUCAAAUAAUUCAGGGUAUUUGUCUUUUAAAAGGAAGUUAUCCCCUAGGUCAUCUAGCCAAAGGCUAGCUAUAUUUCCUUUAUUCAGCUGGAUCCCUCUACCAGCCAUAUAGUGAUCUUUGACUUUUAAUAUUGCUUUCCAACAUGGGGAGUCAUUAGCUUUCUGUUUGACCCUAGCCACUGAGGAUUUUUUAAGAUAUUUAGCUUUCACAAUAUCCUUCCAUAGUCCUUACUUUUUUUUAAGUUUCCACCACCAUUUUGCCAGCAGGCUAAUAUUUUGUUUCCUCAAAUCCUUUACCCCCAAUCCCCCUUUCAUCUUGGAUCUGCAAACACGAGUCCAUUUCACCAUAUGAUAACAUUUCCUCCCAUUACGAUGCCAAAUUUUUUUUGCUCCUAGGCUUGUCCCAUCUUUCUAGAGUAGUUUUCUUAAUUAAGAACAUGGACAUAUAAUAGGAUGGAAUGUGUGACAGCACGACAUUAACUUUAAUAAGUCUGCCUCCGCUAGACAAGGUUUCGCUGAUCCAGGUUUCCCCAACGCUAGUAAAUUUAUCAUCAACAAACAACCAAUCAUUGCCCUUAAGGCCGGCAUAGCUGACAUGCAUGCCCAAGUAUUUAAUGGGAAAAGAUCCAAUUUCACAGUUAAACAUUUCAGCAUAAUUUCUCAUUGUUUCAUCAUCAGCACCAACUGAAAAAAUCUCACAUUUCAGAAAAUUGAUCUUUAGGCCUGACAUAAUCUCAAACAGAUACAUCAACAGUUUGAUAUUAAGAGCGUUUCUAGGGUUAUCUUAAAAGCAUAAGAUGGUGUCAUCGGCAUAUUGUAAUAUAGCUACCCCAUGUUUCACUAAGUCUGCUGCUAAUUCUGUAAAUAAGCCAUUUUCCUGCGCCUUAAGGACCAUCUUUGUGAGGCAAUCGGCUGCCAAAUUAAACAGGAAGGGACAGAAGGGGUCACCCUGUCUCACCCCUUUGGCACUUUGGAAGUAUUCCCCCACCUCAUCAUUCAACUUCACGCUGAUAGUGCCCCCCACAAAGAUUUUCUUAACCCAAUCUAUCCAUUUGGUGUUAAACUUCCUUUUUCUAUGACAUUCUAAUAGGAAGUCCCAAUUUACUUUGUCAUAAGCUUUUUCAAAAUCGAGUUUGAGCACAAUCCCAGGUUUCUUAUGAGCAUAGGAGUGGUGCAGAAUUUCAUGAAGCGACAUAAUUCCAUCCAUGAUAUCCCUUUUCUUAAUGAAAGCAUUUUGGUGACUACUAAACAUAAUAUCAACAAAAGGUUCCAACCUAAUAGUAAGCACUUUAGUAAUCAGCUUGUAUACACAUCGAAGCAAGCAUAUAGGUCUGAAUUGUUGCAUUUUAUUAGCACCGGCCACCUUGGGAAGCAAAGUUAUAAUACCAUAGUUAAGCCUCUCCACAUCAAGCUUGUUCUCGUAAAACCACUCAAAAAGGAACAUCACAUCCUUAUUUACAAUAUCCCAGCAGUGUUGAAAAAAUUCAAUUGGAAUGUUAUCGGGACCAGGCGCUUCAUUAUGUUUCAUAGAAAACAAAGCAUUUUUAAUCUCCAUGUCUGAAAAGGGUCUCAAGAGAAUAAAAUUCUCAAUAUCACCCAACUUUUCCUUCUCUACCCACAUAUUACUGUCAAUCCCGCACAAGUUUCCAAGAGCCAGUCCAAAGAGCUCUUUGUAAAAAUCACUGGCGUGUUUAAGUAGAUUCUUGUUUCCUUCUAUUACCGUAUCUCCAUAAUUAAGCGAAAGAAUUGUAUUCCUCCUCCUUCUACCAUUCACCGUCCUGUGGAAGUACUCAACAUUUCUAUCACCCUUCAACAACCAAUUUUCAUGAGAUUUUUGCAACCAAGCUACCUCCUUUUCUAAUAAGAGGUUAUUCAACUCAACUAGAAGUUCAAGCUUUUUACAGUAAAGCGCAGGGCUCAAGGUAUCUGUUUCUUGCAACUACUCAAGGUAUCCCGGUUCCUCUCUCAGCCACUUUCUUCUCUUUCUGUCCUUACCAAAGUUAUCUGAGCCCCAACCUUUGAAAUAUUUCUUAAAUCUUUUCAACUUAAUGUUCAUAAUGUCAAUAGGAUUGUCAGAUUGCACAUGUUUCAUCCAAACUUUGGCCACAAGAGGCAGAAAAAACAGGUUUAUGUAACCAGUUUAGAUCAAAUUUAAAAUCUCUUUUACCAUUAAGAAUAGGCACAUUAUCAUCAGUAUUAAGGAUCAAGGGACAGUGAUCCAAGAUCUCUCUCACAAUCUUCUUGACAAAGGUAAAAGGGAAAACACUCCCAAGAUUUGGAAAUGAGAAUUCUAUCCAAUUUUUCUAAGGUUGGUUCCCGCUGAUUAUUAGACCAAGUAUACAUGCCACCACUCAUAUCUACCUCUUGCAAGGAAAGAGGAUUGAUAAUGGAAUUGAAAAGACCCGAGGAAUGACCCAACUUGACUUUCUUAUUCUUCUCAUUAGUAAAUAUAAGGAUAUUAAAGUCACCUCCUACAAUAUAAGGGCAUGAUAUAUCUCCACGCAUCGCUGCAAGUUCUGUAAGGAAUUCAAUCUUAAAUUCUUCGUGCGCAGAUCCAUAAACCACCAGAAUACACCAGUUCAUUUUCAAGGUUUUGUCCCACAACUCAAGUUUCAUAACAUACUUACCCACAGUACAAUUCACCAAAUCAAAGAAAUUAUUCCUAUAUCCACAUAAGAUACCUCCCGACUUCCCUUCCGAUGGAAUCCAAUUCCAACAAAAAACAUCCCCAGGAUCAAAUUUCCUCAAGAAUUUAGAGGAAAAAUAUUUCUUCAUAAUUUCCUGAAUCCCAACAAAAUCAAGUUUAUACUGUCUAAUCAGAUCAGACAAAUAUGUCACCAUGCCUCUAUUCCCAAUCCCCCUACAAUUCCAAAAUAGACUAGUCAUUUUUUCUUAUUUUUUGGAGAUUGAGCUUUGUUGCCAGGUUUGCCAGGAGCCAUGGCCUUACCUGCAACUCUACUCAACUUCUAAUUUUGAAUUCUAGUCAGAGGUUUAGAUAUCAUGACAUUCACUUUCUUUCUUUAUUUUUUCCUGGAUCUAACAACUGUAAAAUCAUCAUCAUCCAAGGUCCCCUCCUCCACCCAAGUUGUGUUCAAGGGAGAUGAUUCUCCAGCAGCAUUGGUGAUAAACAACAUUUUAUCUUGCUGCUCUUCGUUUUUAUCUAUAUUUUUUGCAAUAUUAGUCCUAGAUAUUUCAAAUUCUCUAAUAGUACCUAUAGUAGCAAAGUUAUCAUCAGGGAUAUUCACACGCAUUUGAGUAGCAGUAGAAAUAAUCUCUAAAUUUGAUAAAACUUCAAAGUAGUUAUGAGGAGACACUUCCUUACCUUGCAAAUUUCUCUUUUUAGUCAUCUUCUCAGCCCUGAUGCCCACAUGCUCCAUAUUGAUCCCCGCGGUCCUUUUACUGAACCUAGUUUGUACUUCCUCCACAGCAGGUGGUGUAGGAAUCACCUCUACAUUCUCAUUAGAUGUACCAGGAGAUUGCACAGAGUAAGUAUGAACUUUUUGCUGACAGGAAUAGUCACUAGGGUCCAUUUCAGUCACCACAGGUUCCCCCACACAUGCUUCCAAGUAAGAUGAAAAAACUUUGCCAGAAACAGUACUCGGAACAAUUUGCAUUGAGUUCACCACAAAUUUAUCAUAGGAAACAGUAGCAGGGUACACAUUUUCCUCCCCCCUUAGCCUGAUUUUUUUCUGCUUCCUCAGCCAUAGUAUCAAUGAGCAGCUCAUUGACCACUUCCUCACUCUCAUCCUCAGAUUGAACCUCUUCACUGUCAUUUUGUGUUUUUUCUUCCUCCACCACUUCCUCUAAUGGUGCCAUAUUCAUAUUUUUCACAUUUCUUCCCCCAGCCAUCCCCAGAGGAUCCAAAGACUCCCCCAUAGUAGAUGAGGAGGCAAUAUGACCUUCUGGAUGCUUAUCAUCAUUAAACCUAGCCCUUUUUGGUGAGGUACCCCCAUCAGUCUCUUGCUGCACAUUUAUUUUCUCCUGGGGUGGACUUUUCACAAGGAUCUUAUCAACAGAAAAGAAGAAGUCAUAGAAGUGCCCUCCUAACACUCCCUCUGCAGAAGCAGGGAUAUCCUCUGCAUCUCUGCAUCCCAGCUUAAUUCUCACAGAUUCAGGUAUAUUAAUCGUCGUCUUAUCAAUCUCCAACGUGACCCCAACCAGAGAUCCCACAUACGCAAUAUUCUUCUCAUGUCUUUUAUCUAGAGGUAUAUUGCUAACGUUUACCCAAGCAACAUUAAGAACACCCUUGGCACCCACAGAUUCAGACCACUUCCUCAGGUUAAUAACUGCACCACAACUUUUUAUGUUCAUGCUCUCAGCAAAGCAGGCCUUGUCCACAUCUCUGGGAGAAGGGAACCUCAUCACAAAUGUAUUUGGCCCAAUGGAUCUAGCCAAGCAUCUCGAAUUAGUAUUAAUGUAAGCAUUAAAAAAAAUCCUCUAACUGCCUUGCAGAUGCAUGCCCUUCUACAACCGAUAUCACAAUGAACCUAUUCCUAUCAGUGUUCUGGUUUGGUGUGCCAUGAUCAUGAUUAUAGAAGAAUCCCUUCCCCACAGCCUGAAAUCCACACAUCGGAGCCACAUAAUCCCAAGGGAGCACAAUAUUGCAAAUCGACACCAAAUGACCAUGAUUCCCACAUCUACCACAAAUAGCACGCGGACAUCAAACAAGCAAAUGUCCAGAUUCCUUGCAUGUGAUGCAAACCUGAGCGCCUCCCACUAGUGGGGAAGCAUUCCUCUUGCCGGGAGUAGGAUGACGACGCUCUUGAGCUUGAUGCAGGAUUUGUUGCUGAUGAGGGUCUUGUUGACGACCUCCCGCAGCACCUCCAGCUACGGUCUGGUUGAUGUUGUCGCCCCACUUCUCCGAUCCGCGGCCACCACCUUGCGUCUCCAUGGCCGCCGCUUCCCAUCUCGCCUUGCCGGACGGCCCCUGUCGUGGAUCCACGUUGGAAGAGUUCUAACCGCCGUCGUCGAUGUCUUGCAUCCACACCAUGUUGUGGCCGCCUCCACCCCUGCCGCGGUCACGGCCUCCGUCGCGACCAAAUCGACCACCACCACCACCGCACCCGAAGCGCCCCUCGCUGCCACCAUCCCCGCGGAAUCCACGGUUGCCCAUCUCCCGCCCCGCCAUGGACUGAGUCCGCGGUGGCGAGGCAACAACUUGCGUGAAGUAUCUACUAUCUCCUCCUACUUUCCCUCCCACCAACUGAAGGAAGAUGAAACCCUAGGUGGCAAAACCCUAGUCCCCCCCCCAGAAGUGGUGAAAGACGGAGGCGAGAUCUGGAAUGGGGGAAACGAGGGGUGCGGACGAGGCUAUCUCCGGAACCCUAGCCUCACGCCCUGUAGCUAGCGGGCCCUCGUGGGUCAGGGCCGAGGCACCCCCAGGUCCAGCCGCAUGCAACCCGUGCCUAGGCCCGAGAACACCCGUUUCGGUCGAACGCUGCGGCACACGGCUACGUAGCGGCACAUGCACGCUUCCGACGGUCACCUCCUCCUGCGUGCUGGCUCGUGGCGUCGUCGGUGGCGAGGGUCGGCGCCGGGAACCCGCGUGCGGCGAGGGAGAGGAGAGAGACGUGAUAAAAUCCAUCUAGACAGAGUUGGCUACCAUUGUUGACCACGUGAAACAUGAAGUUGAUGUAGUGCACAGACCUCGCUCCAGUAGUGAUGAUGAUGAUGAUUCGUCUCUUCCCACAACUACUCAGUUCAAGACCUAGAGCAGAUCUACACCUAUGCCAGUUCUGGGAGCCAAACCAUCUUCACCGGCUCAAGCUUCAACACCUUCAGCUCCUUCAACUCCACCAGCUCAUGCACCUCCAAUGUCAACACAUCCACCUUAGAGGAUAUCCGUUGAAUCCUUUGUCGACGCUCUUCUAUCAACUCCAUCAACUGCUACCGGAGGAGAUCGUGCCUAGAGAGACGCGUGGUUCUAGACUUUUGAACUUUUUUGGCUUGUUGCCAAAGGGGGGAAGUGUAUAGAUCAUUAGGACUUUGAGUGAGAGAGAGUGUUUCUUUUUAUCACUCUCUUGGUUUUUCAAAAACAUUUGGUCCUUUGGAUGUCUCAAACAACUUUGGGUUUGAUCAUACGCUUUGAUUGUUUAUGCUACUACUUAUCUUUGAGCUAUCUACAUUAUGAUCAUUCACUUAAUUGUUUGGUGUUUUGUGCAUUACUAUCAAUUCAUAUCAUUUAUGCGCACCACCAAGUUGUAUGUGACAUGGAAGAGUAACCCAUGAUCCCAAUCCAUUGUGCAUUUGCAUUCAAAGCAAAUUUAAAAUAAUGCACAAAUUUAGGGGGAACUCUUGUUUUUCACAUACUUCUCAAAGCGACGAUGAUAAUCAUUGAUUAUACCUUUUGUCGAAGCUUUGAUCUAUAUGUUGUCAUCGAUUAGCAAAAGGGGGAGAUUGAAAGCACAAUUGCUCCCUAAGGUGGUUUUGGUAAUUAAUAACAACAUAUGUAUCAUUGAAAUAAUGAUUCUAUCCAUGUAUAUUUCACAAAAGUUCAAAGAUGCCUUGGCUAAAGGAUUGUGAGGAGAAACCCCUUGAUGGAAGGAAAGGAAUAGGAUUGUCCAAGCUUCAAGCAAGAAGACUCUACAUUUUAUAUUUGUGAGAAGUCACAUUUGAGUCCAUAGGAAAGCCAAUACUAUUAAAAGGGGAUGUUGUCUCUAUGAUGAAUUGGUUACUCAAGUGCUUAGAGAUAGCCACAAAAAAUACUGAGGCAUUCUCCCGCAAAAGUUAUUUGUCCAAAGCCUACACAUCAAAAUCUGUGUCACCAACACUCUCCACUUGGCCCUACUGAAUUUUCCACCAGAUAGAACCUUUGACAAACCCUAGAAUCUCGAUACCACCAACUUCCAUUUUGGUGCCACCGAAAAUAGUGACCAACCUUCUGUUAAUCGAUUUUAAGAAUCGAAAUUUCUGAGUUUUGAAAUUGGUCUCACCGAGUUAGGAAACUACCCUAAGUCGCUAUAUCGGUACCACCAAGAUUUCUAUAUCGGUCUCACCAAGAAUUCGAAAGUUGCCACAUUUUGUGCAAAUCGGUGCCACCGAUAUUUACUUAGGUUUCACCGAGUUGGGAAAUAAUGUUGUAACGGUUGGAUUUUUGGGGAUCCCUAUAUAUACCCCUCCACCACCUCUAACUCGUAGAGUAAGCACUCAUAACACACUUACACUUGCCAUAUCCAUAUUUCUGAGAGAGAUCCACCUACUCAUAUGUUGAGAUCAAGAUAUUCCAAUCCAUCCAUUUGAAACUUGAUUUCUAGCCUCCCUAAGUUGCUUUCCACAAGAUUAAUCUAUCCUACCCAUUCCAAAUCUGUGAGAGAGUGAUUGAAUGUCGAGGAGACUAUCUCUUGAAGCACAAGAGCAAGGAGAUCAUCGUUCUACCGCAUCUAUUACCUUUUGGAGCGUGGUGCCUCCUAGAUUGGUUAGGUGUUGCUUGGGAGCCUCCUAGUUUGUGUUGUGGAGUUGAACCAAGAAGAUCGUAAGGGCCAGGAGAUCGCCUACUUCAUGAAGAUCUACCCUGAGUAAAGCUAGUCCUACGUGAACGUAAGCCAUGGUGGAAUAGACAAGGCCGCUACUUCUUGGACCCUGCUACGGCAACAGACAACAGCGCCAGAAAUUGGCACGUUGACGGAGACUUGGCUUGCGCUGGUUUUUCCCUUGAAGAGGAAAGGGUGAUGCAGCAUAGGAGCAGUAAGUAUUUCCUUCAGUUUGAGAACCAAGGUAUCAAUCCAGUAGGAGAAUCGCGUCAAAUCCAGAGUACCUGCGCAAACACAAAAGAGCUUGCACCCAACGCUAUAAAGGGGUUGUCAAUCCCUUCAAGAUUGAUUGCAAAGUGAGAUCUGAAGGCGGAAAGUGCAACGAAUUAAAAGUGUAAGGCUGAAAAUAUGAUGUGAAGUAGACCCGGGGGCCAUAGUGUUCACUAGAGGCUUCUCUCAAAAUAGCAAAUAUUAUGGUGGGUGAACAAAUUACUGUCGAGCAAUUGAUAGAACCGCGCAAAGUNNNNNNNNNNUGAUAUCUAAGGCAAUGAUCAUACAUAUAGGCAUCACGCCCGAGACAAGUAGACUGAUACUUUCUGCAUCUACUACUAUUACUCCACACAUCGACCGCUAUCCAGCAUGAAUCUAGUGUAUUGAGUUCAUGACGAACAGAGUAACGCCUUAAGCAAGAUGACAUGAUGUAGAGGGAUAAACUCAAACCAAUGAUGAAAACCCCAUCUUUUAUCCUUGAUGGCAACAACAUGAUGCGUGCCUCGCUACCCCUUCUGUCACUGGGUGAGGUCACCGCAUGGUAUGAACCCAAAACCAAGCACUUCUCCCAUUGCAAGAAUCAUAGAUNNNNNNNNNNUACACUUGAUGGCAACAACACGAUGCGUGCCUCGCUACUCCUUCUAUCACCGGGUGAGGUCACCGCACGGUAUGAACCCAAAACCAAGCACUUCUCCCAUUGCAAGAAUCAUAGAUCAAGCUGGCCAAACAAAACCCACAACUCGAAGAGAAUUACAAGGAUAUGAAAUCAUGCAUAUAAGAGAUCAGAAGAAACUCAAAUAAGACUCAUAGAUAAUCUGAUCAUAAAUCCACAAUUCAUCGGAUCUCGACAAACACACCGCAAAAGAANNNNNNNNNNUUCAUAGAUAAUGUAGUCAUAAAUCCACAAUUCAUCGGAUCUCGACAAACACACCGCAAAAGAAGAUUACAUCGGAUAGAUCUCCAUGAAGAUCAUGGAGAGCUUUGUAUUGAAUAUCCAAGAGAGAGAAGAAGCCAUCUAGCUACUAGCUAUGGACCCGAACGUCUAUGGUGAACUACUCACGCAUCAUCGGAGAGGUCAUGGUGUUGAUGAAGAAGCCCUCCGUAUCUGAAUCCCCCCUCCGGCAGGGCACCAGAACGUGCCCCAUAUGGGAUCUUGCGGAGACAAAAGCUUGCGGUGGCGGAAAAGUAUUUUCGUGGCUCCCUUGAUUUUUUUUGGGAUUUUAGGGAAUAUAUAGGCGAAGGAGCUAGGGCAGAGGAGGCCCAGGGAGCCCACAAGCCUGGGAGGCGCCCCCCCCCCCCCUUGNNNNNNNNNNGACCCUCUGCCUUGGUUCUCAAGUCUCCCGAUCGUCUUCUGUUUCAGAAAAAAUCUUUUUGGAUGUUUUAUUCCGUUUGGACUCCGUUUAAAAUCCUCCUAUGAAAAGGGUCAAAAACACGGAAAAAACAGGAGCUGGCACUUGGCACUGAGUUAAUAGGUUAGUCCCAAAAAAUAUAUAAAAGGCAUACGAAACAUCCAAAGUUUGACAAGAUAAUAGCAUCAAACCAUCAAAAAUUAUAGAUAAGUUGGAGACGUAUCAGACCCCUUGUGGGUGGAUCCCUCCAUGGACUCUCGCAGUCAUUACCCUCCGUGAGUUGAAGUCUCCACUAACAUGGACGUACGAUAGCACCACCUAUCAGAACCAUGCCAAAGACCGUCAUGCCAACCUUUGUGUUUGAUCUUCCUUCCCUACUCUAUUUACAUAUGCUUGUCUUUACUUUUCGAUGCAAUACUCAUAGACAUGCAUGUGUAGGGUGUGCUUGACUUGCUACAAUUGCUAAAAUAUGCCAACCACUAAAAUUGGGAAAAGGCUAGCACUAGUAGGAAAAACCUUAUAGGUAGGAGCCUAGUAGUAGCGCUGGAAAAUAGCACGCGCUGCUGCUACUUAGCAGUAGCGCUGGAAAUAGGACGUGCUACUGCUAACUACCAUAGUAGUAGCGUUGGUUACAGUUCCAGCGCUACUGCUAAACGGGGCCCAACGAGGCCACCCACAGUAUCUGUAGUAGUAGCGCUGGACUGUAAAAAGCGCUACUGCUAAGUUCCAUAGCAGUAGCGCUUCCUUGGAACCAGCACUACUGCUCAAAGGGGCCCAACGAGGCCAUCGACAGCAGCUGUAGUAGCAGCGCUGGUUGGGGAAAAGUGCUACUACUAAGUGCAAUAGUAGUAGCGCUCCUCUGGAACCAGCGCUACUGCUACACGUGGUUGUGGGCAGCUUUUCACCCACACACACACACCCUCUCCCCUUCCUCCCCCUUUGCCCUCCUUUCUCCUUUCCUCCUGCAUUGUUACUUCUCCACCACUCUUGCCCUUCUUCUCUCUUCCUUCUACCUAUCACCCACACACACACCCUCUCCCCCUUCCUCCCCCCAUUUGCCCUAUCCUCUCCUUUCUCCUUUCCUCCACCAUUGUUGCCCUCAUUUAACCCACACACACCCCCUCUCCCCCUUCCCCCCCCCUUUCCCUAUCCCCUCCUUUCUCCUUUCCUCNNNNNNNNNNCGGAGACAGAAGCUUGCGCCGGCAGAAAAGUAUUUUCGUGCUUUCUUGAUUUUUUCUGGGAUUUUAGGGAAUAUAUAGGCGAAGGAGCUAGGGCAGAUGAGGCCCAGGGAGCCCACAAGCCUGGGAGGCGCGGGCCCCCCUGGCCGCGCCAUAAGAGCUUGUGGGGUCCCUGGUGACCCUCUGCCUCGGUUCUCAAGUUUCCCGAUCGUCUUCUGUUUCGGAAAAAAUCUUUUCGGAAGUUUUAUUCCGUUUGGACUCCGUUUAAAAUCCUCCUUUGAAAAGGGUCAAAAACACGGAAUAAACAGGAACUGGCACUUGGCACUGAGUUAAUAGGUUAGUCCCAAAAAAGAUAUAAAAGGCAUACAAAACAUCCAAAGUUUGACAAGAUAAUAGCAUGAAACCAUAAAAAAUUAUAGAUAUGUUGGAGACGUAUCAAGCAUCCCCAAGCUUAACUCCUGCUCGUCCUCGAGUAGGGAAGUGAUAAAGACUGAAUUUUUUAUGUGGAAUGCUACCAAGCAUAGUUGCCUUUGUAACUUCUUUCAUGUGACAUGAAUGUUCAGAUCCGUAAGAUUCAAAACAAUAGUUUGCUAUUGACAUGAAAACAAUAAUACUUCAAGCAAACUAGCAAGGUAAUCAUGAACUUUCGAAAUAACAAGGCCAAAGAAAGUUAUCCCUACAAAAAUCAUAUAGUCUGGCUAUGCUCCAUCAUCCCCCACACAGCUAAUUUAAAUCAUGCACAACCCCGGUAUUGGCCAAGUAAUUGUUUUCGCACUCUUACUUUCUCAAACCUUUUACAACUAUCAUGCAAUACAUGAGCGUGAGUCAUGGAUAUAGCACUAUAGGUGGAAUAGAGUGUGGUGGUGGUUGUGAGACAAAAAAGGAGGAGAUGGUCACACUGACUCGGGGUAUUAAAGGGUUAUGGAAAUGCCCAUUAAUAGAUAUCAAUGUGAAUGAGUAGGGAUUGCCAUACAAAGGAUGCACUAGAGCUAUAAGUAUGUGAAAGCUCAAAAGGAGAACUAGUGGAUGUGCAUCCAACUUGCUUGCUCAUGAAGACCUAGGGCAAUUUGAGGAAGCCCAUCAUUGGAAUAUACAAGCCAAGUUAUAUAAUAAAGAUUUCCACUAGUAUAUGGUGGUGACGAAACGAGAGGCUCUCAAUCAUGAAGAACAUGGUGCUUUUAUGAAGCACAAGUGUGGAAAAAGAUAGUAGCAUUGUCCCUUCUCUCUUUUUCUCUCUUUUUUUUGUUUGGGCUCUUUGGCCUCUUUUUAUUUUUUUUGGUGGGCAUCUUUGGCCUCUUUUUUUAUUAUUUACUCACAUGGGACAAUGCUCUAAUAAUGAUGAUCAUCACACUUUUAUUUACUCACAACUCAAUACUUAGAGCAAUGGUGACUCUAUAUGAAAUGCCUCCGAUAGUGUACCGGGAUGUGCAACGAUCUAACUUGGCGUAUGACGUUGAAACAUCUCGCUAGCUAUCUUACGAUCAUGCAAUGGCAAUAUGAGAGUGACGGCACAAGUCAUGAGACGGAACGGUGGGAGUUGCACGGCAAUAUAUCUUGGAAUGGCUAUGAAAAUGCCAUAGUAGGUAGGUAUGCUGGCUGUUUUGAGGAAGGCAUGUGGUGGGUUUGUGCACCGGCGGCAAUUGCGUGGUACUAGAGAGGCUGGCAAUGGUGGAAGGUGAAAGUGCAUCUAUACCAUGGACUCACAUUAGUCAUGAAGAACUCACACUUGUUGUGAAAGUUUUUAUUAGUAAUCGAAACAAAGUGCUAAACGCAUACUCCUAGGGGAAGGGUUGGUAGGUGUUAACCAUCGCGCAAUCCCGACCGCAACACAAAGGAUGACAAUCAAUAGAUCAAUUAUGCUCCGACUUCGUAACAUAGCGGUUCACCAUACGUGCAUGUUACGGGAAUCACUAACUUCAACACAAGUAUUUCUAGAUUCACAACACCCUUCUAACAUAACUCUUAAUAUUACCAAAUCCACGUCUCAAAACUAAUUGAGAGGAAUCAAACUUCUCUUUCUACUCAAUGCACAUGAAGAUGGAGGUUUUUGUAUCCCCUUUGGGUACCUAUCACGUUUUGGACUACUUUCAUAGCACAAGCCAACUACCAAGUUACGCACCGCCGUGCUCUAAAAGAUCUAAGUGAAGCACAUAGAGCAAAAUUAUCUAGCUCAAAAGAAAUAAGUGAAGCACAAUGAGCAUUCUAGCAAAAUCACGAUGAGUGCAUGUCUCUCUCAAAAGGUGUGCAGCAAGGAUGAUUGUGACACAACAAAAAGAAAAGACUCCUACGAUACAAGACGCUCCAAGCAAAACACAUAUCAUGUGGUGAAUAAAAAUAUAGCUCCAAGUAAUGUUACCGAUGGAUUGAAGACGAAAGAGGGGAUGCCUUCCCGGGGCAUCCCCAAUCUUAGGCUUUUUGAUGUCCUUGAAUUUGGCUUUGGAUGUAUUGGGUAUCCCCAAGCUUGAGCUCUUUCCACUCUUUAUCCCUUUGUCCAUGAGAACAUCACCGAAAACUUGAAAACUUCACAACACAAAACUUAAACAGAAACUCGUGAUAUCAUUAGCACAAGAAAACAAACUACCACCUCCUUUGGUACUGUAGCAAUAUUGAUUUCUAUUUAUAUUGGUGUUAGAUUACUGUAUUCUCACUUUUCCAUGGCUAGUACCCCCAGAUACUAUCCAUAGUUUCAUCAAAACAAGCAACCAACUCAACAAAAACAGAAUCUGUCAAAAACAGACCAGUCUGCAGCAAUCUGUAUACUUCGUAUACUUAUGGUACCUGCAAAAUUCUGAACAAUUACGACUGCCUGGGUAAAAGGCAUAUCAACCAGCAUAAAAAAGAAUCAACUCAAAAUCGCUUUCUGAAUAAAAUGAAAAAUAAUAUCGUGAGCCAAAAGUUUCUGUCUUUUUCCAGCAAGAUCAAACAACCAUCACCAAGACUAGUCAUAAAGGUUUUGCUUGGCUCAAACACAAAAGACACUAUCAAUACAGAAAUAUGAUGGUGUGGACGCAACAAAAUAGAAAGAAGAAGGUAAAUUCAUUGGGUUGCCUCCCAACAAGCGCUAUUGUUUAACGCCCUUAGCUAGGCAUAAAGCGAUAGAAUCACGUAUCGUCGUCUUUGGUGCUGAAACCAUAAGUAGCGUGAUCACUCAUCAUCUUAAGGUCUUCAUCUUUCUUACUAGAUGAUUCACCACUAUUUUUAGGAACAAAAAUGGACUUGGUGGCCUUAUUGUGGGCAAAGUUUGGAGUAUUCUGCACAGCGGCAAAAGCGGAACCCAAGUUGGUUAUAACAUCCUCUAGUUUGCCAAUCCUAGCGGAAUCAUGACCUAGUUUUUCGUUAACUGGGGGUUCCUUCUCCUUUAAAUUUUUAAAAACCAUUCCCACCUUGGAUCCAUACUGAGUGGUUUGAUUGUGGAUCUUUUUAUCCAAAUUCUCAAUGAGUUCGAUCGUAGCAACUUUAUUUUCAAUGACGUCCAGCCUACGCAUCACAUGUUCCAGAGUUAAGGUAGUUCCAUUAACCAUGAGUGGGGGUGAGCCUACCAAAUUUAUUACAGCUCCGUCCGCAUACGAUGGUGUCAAGAAUAUACCUACUCCAAGGAGAAAUACCCACAUAAAAACUACGAAGCAGGACGGUAGUAGAUUGCUUACGAGUAGAUCUACUCUGAGCAUUGCAAAUCCUAUACCAAGCGUCCUUUAAGUUUUCUUCCUCAUUUUGCUUGAAAUUGAGAAGUUCGUUCUCGGGAGUAUCAUUCGAAGUCUAUCCAUGAGGACAGGUAGACUAUCCCACACAAGCGAACAGGAAGCAAUCGAGAGAAAAGGGCGAACGAAAAAGGCAAACGAACAAAAGGGCAAAUGAAGAAAAAGGCAAAUAUUUUUGUAAAUUUUUGUUUUUAAGAAGUGGGGGAGAGGAAAACGAGAGGCAAAAAAGGUAAAUGCAAGAGAUGAGUUCGCGACACUUACUUGGAUGAGUUCUUGACUUGAUCCUCCCCGGCAACAGUGCCAGAAAUUCUUCUGCUACGGCAACACACAACAGCGCCAGAAAUUGGCACGUUGAUGGAGACUUGGCUUGCGUUGGUUUGUCCCUUGAAAAGGAAAGGGUGAUGCAGCACAGGAGCAGUAAGUAUUUCCCUCAGUUUGAGAACCAAGUUAUCAAUCCAGUAGGAGAAUCGCGUCAAGUCCAGAGUACCUGCGCAAACACAAAAGAGCUUGCACCCAACACUAUAAAGGGGUUGUCAAUCCCUUCAAGAUUGAUUGCAAAGUGAGAUCNNNNNNNNNNGUAAAAGUGUAAGGCUGAAAAUAUGAUGUGAAGUAGACCCGGGGCCAUAGUGUUCACUAGAGGCUUCUCUCAAAAUAGCAAAUAUUACGGUGGGUGAACAAAUUACUGUCGAGCAAUUGAUAGAACCGCGCAAAGUCAUGACGAUAUCUAAGGCAAUGAUCAUACAUAUAGGCAUCACGUCCGCGACAGGUAGACCGAUACUUUCUGCAUCUACUACUAUUACUCCACACAUCGACCGCUAUCCNNNNNNNNNNNNNNNNNNNNNNNNNNNNNNNNNNNNNNNNNNNNNNNNNNNNNNNNNNNNNNNNNNNNNNNNNNNNNNNNNNNNNNNNNNNNNNNNNNNNUGUUUGUUUGUGUGAAUUGUCAUGCCGUGACUUGCAUGUUAUCAGCUGCUCAUGCAUCAUUUAUGUUGUGCAUCGUGUGGUGAAUAUCGUGUGUUGAUUCUUGUUUUCGGUUUCCUCCGUCUCGAUAGAGUUCCGCAAGCGUGUCAGAUGUGAGGACCCGUUCGACUACGUCGGUUCGUCUGCUUCACGUAGUCAUUCUUCUUCCAAGCGGGAUCUCGGACAAGAUGACCAUUUCCCAGAUACCAUUACUAUCAUUGCCAUGCUAGUUUUAUCGCUUCUAUCGAUUAUGUCUCGUUGUUUACCACAUGUUAAAUAUCAGCCUCUCAACAAUGCCAUGUUAACCUUCAAUCUGUUCGACCUAGCAAACCACUGAUUGGCUAUGUUACUGCUUGCUUAACCUUGUGUUAGCGUUGCUAGUUGCAGGUGCAGUUGCUUCCAUGUGAAAGCAUGGGUUCCUUGUUAUAUCAUCAUAUUAAAUGCUAUUUAAUUUAAUGCACCUAUAUACUUGGUAAAAGGUGGAAGGCUCGGCAUUUCUAGCCUGGUGUUUUCUUCCACCUUUGCCCCCUUAGUUUCGGCUACCGGUGUUAUGUUCCAUAUUUGAGCGCUCCUAACACGAUCGGGGUUGUUAUGGGGACCCCCUUGAUANNNNNNNNNNCGUUUUAGAUUAAAGCUGGUCUGGCAAGGCCCAACAUUGGUACUACAUUUGCCUAAUAACCUAAUAAUAAUGCAUAGGGACCCGCCGGCACCCGCAGACUAUUUUAAUCAACCCCCGGGCCAGUGCUCCUCAUGAGUGUUGGUCCAAACANNNNNNNNNNAGUUUUAGAUUAAAGCUGGUCUGGCAAGGCCCAACUUUGGUACUACAUUUGCCUAAUCACCUAAUAAAAUUGCAUAGGGACUUUCCGGACCCCGAGGAUAAUUUAAUCAACCCCCGGGCCAGUGCUCCUCAUGAGUGUUGGUCCAAACUGGACAGACUGCGGGGCCACCACGGGGCAACUCGAGGUUUGGUACCUGUAGGCUUUUCCAUUCGUCGUGUCCUGAGAACGAGAUACGUGGCUCCUAUCGGGAUCGUCGACACGUCGGGCGGCCUUGCUGGAUUAGUUUNNNNNNNNNNGAGCAGCUUAUUAACGCUACCGGGGGCAACCCGGCGUUUGGCGUGGUAACCAUCGCUCAUCCGUCGUGUCCUGAGAAUGAGGUAUGCGACUCCUAUCGGGAUCGUCGACACGUCGGGCGGCCUUGCUGGAUUAGUUUUACCUUUGACGAGAUAUCUUGUGCAUCGGGAUUCCGGUGAUGCUUUGGGUAAUCUCAGAGUUGAGGUUUUCCACUAAGGAAUCCGAUGAGAUCGCGAGCUUCGUGAUUGAGGAUUUCUAUGCGGCUUGUGGUAAUUUGUGAUGGACUAGUUGGAGCACCCCUGUAGGGUUAAAAUUUUCGAAAAGUCGUGCCCGCGGUUACGUGGCAACGUGGAAACUUUGUUUAACACUAGUUCUAGAUAACUUGAAGUUAAUUAAUUAAAAUAUGCCAACUGUGUGCGUAACCGUGACUGUCUCUUUCGUGAGUUCCUUCUCCGAUCGAGGACAUGGUGGGGUUAUGUCUGACGUAGGUAGGUGUUCAGGAUCAUUCAUUUGAUCAACCGUAGUUCACGUCCGCUAUGCGUAGAUCUUCCCCCUCUGAUUUCUUGUACUCGUAAGUUUAGCCACCAAAUAUAUGUUUAGCCACUGCUGCAACCUCACCACUUAACCAUGCCUCACCUAAUAAGUUUUCCUAGUCUUGAUACCUUUGGAAAUGAGAUUACUGAGUUCCCUGUGGCUCACAGAUUACUACAACACCAGUUGCAGGUACAGGUAAAGGUUACUUGACGCGAGCGCGUUGAUUGUUCAUUUGGAGUUGCUUCUUCUUCUUCAUCAUCGAUCUNNNNNNNNNNNNNNNNNNNNNNNNNNNNNNNNNNNNNNNNNNNNNNNNNNNNNNNNNNNNNNNNNNNNNNNNNNNNNNNNNNNNNNNNNNNNNNNNNNNNCUUUUGCCGCGCCCCACAAUUUUUUACGAAUCGGACGCGUUUGCAGGAUCUGGUCUGACAGUAUUUUUCAUCCCGAUUCGUAUUUUAACGAUUAUUUUACGGAUCGGGGCAUUAUAGGGGGUGUGCUAGAGAUGUUCUUAGGCCCCGGAACUUCGGACUCUAGACUGCUGCUGCUGCUGGGCGGGGAGUAGAAGGGGAAGGAUCGAAGGCAAAAUCACACCAAGCCAUGCUUCUCUUUGCACAGAAGGACAUAAUUAUGCGUACAGAUUCCUCCACCAAGAUCUGUGCCAUCCAACUCCAAUCCUAGGGUUGACGUUGUGUUUUUCUGUUUAUUUUUUGGAAAAGUCUAUCCCUUAACCGGCAGAUCGAGCGGAGGACAUCCGCCACCUCCUUCGUUCGAUACGUGAGCAUGUGUCAGGCGUUCCUCGCAGAACAGCUCGCGCAGUCGGCUGACUUUUCAACGGGUCGGCGGCAUCUGUCCUACGACGACGAGCGGCAUGGACCCGAGCACACAGAAGAUUCUGAGUAACUGGUUGGUCGCGCGGUGACCAGGGGAGCAGUGGCUCGCCGGCGAGCAGCUCCGCCAUGACGCAACCGAGCGACCAGGCAUCCACGAGCUCCUCCAAGUAGCGGAUGUUUAGUAAACUUCCUAGCAGGCCCCAAUAUUUUUUGGCCAAAAAGGCCCAUUUUCUAUCCUAGUCGCUCCCGCAUAUUCCCCACCCCCCUUCCUCUUCCGUCGCGGCGAAGACGACGGCGACAGUUAGCCGGCCGGCCAGACAUGCUCGGUCUCAGAGCCACCAGGGCCGCGCGCCUCCCGUGCCCCUACCCCUCUCCGUGCUCCGCCGCCCAGGCGGCCUCCCUUUCCGGUCCCGCGCGCCGCGGCCCGCCCCUCGCCGUCGCCAGCCNNNNN
This 166489-nucleotide long non-coding RNA is filed under the name Hordeum vulgare. RNAcentral describes it as "long non-coding RNA (HVUL_LNC002813)". The record is from RNAcentral. Lineage: Eukaryota; Viridiplantae; Streptophyta; Magnoliopsida; Poales; Poaceae.